RNAcentral lists this long non-coding RNA (146391 nucleotides) under Medicago truncatula (barrel medic). RNAcentral describes it as "long non-coding RNA (MTRU_LNC000318)". The stretch from base 90699 to 90787 matches the Rfam family "MIR2617 microRNA precursor family". The record is from RNAcentral. Lineage: Eukaryota; Viridiplantae; Streptophyta; Magnoliopsida; Fabales; Fabaceae.
GACCUUGAAUUUAUCAAACUGUACGGCUCUCACUGAAUUACCAAUACAUGUUGGAAAUUUAGUUAGUUUACGUCACCUUGAUAUAACUGGGACUAACAUAAGUGAGUUGCCUGUGGAAAUUGGGAGACUAGAAAACCUUUAAACUCUCGCACUAUUUUUAGUGGGUAAGAGACAUGUAGGGUUAAGUAUCAAAGAGCUCAGGAAAUUCCCAAACCUACAAGGAAAACUUACCAUCAAGAACCUGGAUAAUGUGGUUGAUGCCAGAGAGGCACACGAUGCCAACCUAAAAAGCAUAGAGACAAUCGAGGAGUUAGAGCUGAUAUGGGGAAAACAAAGUGACGACUCGCAAAAAGUGAAAGUUGUGCUCGAUAUGUUGCAACCACCAAUAAAUUUGAAGAGCCUGAAUAUUUGUUUGUAUGGUGGGACAAGUUUUCCGAGUUGGUUGGGAAGUUCUUCGUUUUAUAACAUGGUAUCUCUCAGUAUCAGUAAUUGUGAAAAUUGUGUGACACUUCCAUCCCUAGGGCAGUUACCUUCUCUCAAGGACCUAGAAAUAUGUGGUAUGGAGAUGUUGGAGACAAUUGGCCCGGAGUUCUAUUAUGCCCAGAUUGAAGAAGGAUCUAAUUCUUCCUUCCAACCAUUCCCAUCCCUUGAGCGUAUAAUGUUCGACAACAUGCUCAAUUGGAAUGAAUGGAUUCCCUUCGAAGGCAUAAAAUUUGCUUUUCCUCAACUUAAGGCUAUAAAGUUACGUAAUUGUCCAGAACUAAGGGGACAUUUGCCCACCAACCUUCCUUCCAUAGAAGAAAUUGUAAUAAAAGGUUGUGUUCAUCUAUUGGAAACACCAUCUACUUUGCAUUGGUUGUCUUCAAUAAAAAAAAUGAAUAUCAAUGGGCUUGGUGAAAGUUCCCAAUUGUCAUUGCUUGAGAGUGAUUCUCCUUGUAUGAUGCAAGAUGUAGAGAUUAAAAAGUGUGUUAAGCUAUUAGCUGUGCCAAAAUUGAUUCUGAAAAGCACUUGUCUUACACACUUGGGACUCGAUUCUCUUUCUUCUCUCACUGCAUUUCCCUCAAGUGGUCUACCCACUUCAUUGCAAUCACUUAAUAUUCAAUGUUGUGAGAAUUUAUCCUUCCUUCCUCCUGAAACGUGGAUCAAUUACACAUCACUUGUGAGUCUUAAGUUCUAUCGUAGCUGUGAUACACUUACAUCCUUUCCACUCGAUGGUUUCCCUGCGCUCCAAACACUUACCAUAUGUGAGUGCAGGAGUCUGGAUUCCAUUUAUAUUUCAGAAAGGUCUUCACCUCGGUCGUCGAGCCUCGAAUCACUUGAGAUCAUAUCCCCUGAUUCAAUUGAAUUAUUUGAAGUCAAGCUUAAGAUGGACAUGCUCACAGCUCUUGAAAGGUUGACUCUAGAUUGUGUAGAGUUGUCAUUUUGUGAAGGAGUUUGUCUACCUCCCAAAUUGCAAUCAAUUAAGAUUUCUACCCAAAAAACAGCACCGCCGGUUACGGAAUGGGGUCUCCAAUAUUUGACAGCACUUUCCGACUUGGGUAUUGUAAAGGGUGAUGAUAUAUUUAACACCUUGAUGAAGGAGUCAUUGCUACCCAUCUCCCUUGUGACUCUAACUAUCAGGGAUCUCUCUGAAAUGAAGUCCUUUGAUGGAAAAGGGCUUCGUCACCUCUCCUCUCUCCAACGUCUCCGUUUUUGGGAUUGUGAACAACUUGAGACAUUGCCAGAAAACUGCCUCCCUUCCUCGCUGAAAUUACUUGAUUUGUGGAAAUGUGAAAAGCUUAAAUCAUUACCAGAAGACAGCCUCCCUGACUCUCUGAAGAGACUGCUCAUUUGGGAAUGUCCAUUGUUAGAAGAAAGGUAUAAAAGGAAGGAACAUUGGUCCAAAAUUGCUCACAUCCCAGUCAUAUCAAUAAAUUACCAAGUCACAAUAUGAUAGACAAGUUGUGUUCCCAUUUCAGGUAUGUUCCACAGUUCCUACCAGAAAGCCAAUAAUCAAUCCUCUGUAUGAGAUUUAAUGAUAUCUCAGAAUUCAACUUUUUGUAUAGCGUGGACACUCCAGUCUUUCCGUUUUUAUCGGCAAAGAACAAUAAAAUUGGAAGAAAUAAUUAAAUUAGGGGUAAAAUUAGAAGAAAAAAUACCACAAUAUUUUUUAUUUAAGGUCAAAAUAAGAUUUUUUAUAAUGUUCAAUAUUUUUUCUAUUUUUGCGGAUUGUUCAUAUAUUGUUAUAGACGUGUAUUCUCUGUAUGAGAUUUGAGAUUCUAAAUGGAAUUUUGAUCAUUAUUUUCUUAACUUCCCUCCUUUCACCAAAUUUCUUGAAACAUAUAGGUGAAGAAAUUUCAGUUUUCUGUAUUUUAUAAGGUUGUUUAUCAAUAAACUCCUACCUAGGGUCCAUUUGGAAUAGACUUAUUUUGAAGUUUAUAUAAAAUAGCUUGCAAAUAAAUAAGCUUAUAUGUAUUAUUCAUAAGCUUGUCAAUGUAGUUUAUGAAACAACAUUUUAUGAAGAUAUAACUUUUGUUAGUGAAAACUUAUAAAUUAUCGUAAAAGCUUGUUUAUUUGCAUAAACUUAUAAAUAAAUCAAUCCAAACAGGCCCCUAGUCACUUGCUAUUAUAUUAUUUGCCAAGAAAUUCACUUCCAGAAUCAUUCUGUUGAAACUGUUGGUGUUUGCCAGUUAACAUAAUAUUAAUUGAGGUGUUACUCAAUAUUUGAUAUUUUGUGUCUUCUUUUCAGAAUAGGCAUAAUAAAUGGAUGAAAAUCAGCUCACUUGAUGAAAUGAAGAAAAAAGUGAAACAAGAUUUUGAGUUCAUGAUUCCUCUUGUAAGCUUGUUUUAGAGGAGCCAAAUGCAUGGUUGCCAUUGAUUGCAUCAAGAUUGAAUUUGCUUAGCUAGUAUUAAUUAUGUAUUUUCUUAUCAUUUGACUUCACCUUUGAAUAUUUUUCAAUACUAUGCACAACAGGGUUUGUAAUAUAAGUAAUUUUCGAUUUUACACACCGUAAAAAAAAAAAAUUGAUUUAUCUCUCUGUAAAAAAAAAUUGUUUCGAUUUACCCCCUAAUAGACUAAACAAAAACGAAAAUUUCUUAAAAAAAAAAAUUAAAAUUGGUUCUUGUUUGGCCUAUUAGGGUGUAAAUAAAAAAAAAUUACAGGAAGGAAAAUCGGAAAUGACCUUACAGAAGUAAAGACCUAUUAACCCCUUUGUUAAAUAAUGAUCAUGGUUGAUGGAUAUGAUCAGAAAGGGUAGAUACUUACUGGUGGAAGAUAUGAUUAAAGGAUAAAUAACAAAUAUUUUUAUGAUUGUCAAGCAAGUCUUCCUUUGCCAAGGUUAUGUUGUGUAUGAAUGAAAGUUUAUUUUUUGGAGAAAAUAUUUUCCCAAUUAAGUUGUUGUGACUUGUGAUUAUGCGGUUUGCAAACUAGGAAUAGUAGUUUGUUUCUGUCACAACUUGUUUUAAAACUUAAUCUUUUAACUUAUCCCCAAAAUAAUGGUACAUUUUCUUUUUGGUUUCAAAGGUUAAACGGUCUAGUUCUUCCUUCACAUCUUUAAACAAAUUGUGUAACACAUCUUUAUUUAAUUUUUUUGAAAUUGAGUAUAACCGUGGUACUAAUCGUCAUUGCACAACUGUGUCAUAUGGAAUAUAAUUUAGAAUACGGUUACAAAUUCAAACUUGUAUCUCAUGGACAUCGUAUAUUUCAUUUUAUGUUCCUAUUCAUAAAUUUGAAUCAGCAAAAUGUUUUUUCUAUACAACAUAAAACAUUAGACUAUCAACGAGUGUAUCUUGUCUGGCGCAUAAGCAAUAGAUACUUAUGAGCAACUUUAAGUCAAUCAAAAUCUCCUUAUGUUCAUCUUUUAUAUGAUAUUCAAGUGUUGAUAUCUUAUUAUCCAUGCUCACAAAGGAUUGUGCAAGUUGUCACAGAGGAUUGUGCGACGCCCAGAACUUAUGUGUUAUUAUAUAUUAUAGUAAAUUUUAAGAUAUGCAUAUGAAAAUGAUUGUUUAUAUAAUUGUUGUUAUGGAACAAUUAUAAGUAAUAUUGGCUCAUGUUUUAAUUUUGGUUAAAUAUGUUUUUUGUCCCUAUAAAUAUACCAACUUUUCUUUUUAUAGUCCCUCUAAAAUUUUCAAUCACUACUUUUGGUCCCUAUUUUAAAGUUAAUUUUAGUAUUUUUUUUUCGUAAUGAAAUUGUGAAGAAAUGUCUAGAAUAUUGUAAAAAUAUUUCCCAAAAAAAUUAGAAUUUUUUAACAAAACAUAAAUUAAAUAUGAAUUUUUAACUGUCAAAUAUAUAAAAAUUCAUAUUAAAUUCAUGUUUUGUUAUAAAAUCUUUUUUUUUUUUUUUUUGAUAGAUUCUUAUAAUAUUAUGAAUUUUUCUGCAAAAUUUUAUAUAUGAGCACUUUAAAAUGGGGACCAAAAUUGAAGAUGGAAAAAAUUUUAGGGACUAAAAGUUGAAGAAAAUUUUUCGAGAAACUAAAAUGAAAAGUUGGUAUAUUUAUACAAACCAAAAACAUAUUCAAUCAUUUAAUUUUUAAAAUUUAGAUGAUGUUUAUUUCUUCCGAUUAUAAAUAUAAUAUCUUUAAUAUUCGUAUAUUUUUUAUAAAAUAUUUAUUUAUUUUAACAAAUAUAAAACUAUAAGACCCGUGCGCAUCGCAAAGAUCGACCGACUAGUAUAAUUGAAUGGAGUAAAGCAUAUUAAAUACACCUAACAAUCAUAACAAUAAGCCACCACAAAGGAGUCAUCAUGUAAUAUGCAAUUCACAUGCAACCUAGAAAAGAUCUACUCCUACUUGUGUAUCCAAUCUACAUCGAUUUACUGCAAGAAGAUAAGUCACCUUUUCAUAUAAAUGUUUGAAAACUGAUGUUCACACAUUAAAGUUGGUUGAAACACACGAGUACUUUACGAAAUUACCUCCAUCACCCCAUCGGCAGUUAAUUACCGCCAGUUUCUCUCGGCGGUGGCAGUUAACUGCCGAACUUCCAUCACUCCAUCGGCACUUAAGUGCCAAAGUCACCAUUCAGAAACGCAUCACAACAAUUUUUCGCAGGUUUUGUCCAUGGUGAUAUGAUUUGAAGAAGUCCCAUAUCAAUUUAGAAUUUGAUUAUUUCAUGGACAAGAAAUUAGACUCGAAACUUUUAUGGUUUUGAUCAAUUUAGAGAAGCCCCAUAUGAGCACUCCGAAUUGUCAAAUAAAUUGUGUGAAUCAAUAACAGGGGUUUUGGAUGCAAGUUUUAAUUCAAGAAAAGCUCAAACAAACUUCAAAUUUUGUGAGUUGUCAACAUGAAGUGAUGGAGAAUAAGAAAAAAUGGUGAGUUUAGUAGGAACAAGAGGAAAUGGUGAGUUUGAAGAGAAACGAAAAUUGAAAAAUAAAAUAAACAAAGAAGUCUUGAAGAAGAGAAAUGGUGUUUUGGUUUAACAACCAUUGAAGUUUCACUCUUUUUAACAGAAACAUUAGGAUCAAGUGGCUCUGAAUGGUGACUUCGGCACUUAAAUGCCGAUGGAGUGAUGGGAGUUCGACAGUUAACUGCCGAUAGGGUGAUGGGGUAAUUUCGUAAAGUACUGGUGUGCUUCAGCCAACCUUAAUGUGUGAAGAGCAGUUUUCUAAAUGUUUGUAUACAUUCGAAACACCCUAGUGAUGCCCCACCUUUCAUGUAAGAUCUUGCUCAAUUCGGCCAUUCAAUUUUCAUAGAUUCCAUGGGCCCUUUAAAAUUCUAAAUCUAGAAAAUUGAGAAUUUUCUCUAAUUCUUUAACCAAAUGUUUAGUAUGGUCUUAAAUAAUUCUCUAAUAGCUAAAACUAUUGGAUGAUGUUUAGAUUCCGUGGAAAUUGUUUCGGAGGUCAUUUUGAAAAACAUUGCUAUGGACAAAGUUGAUAUAGUUGUGAGUGGUUAAUUUACAUAGUAGCCAUUUUUAAUAAUAUUCUUUCUAGAUUAUCUUUGAAAUUUUUAAUGGUUUAUUUGCUAUGGACCCUGUUAAUUUUAACUGGUUUUCUUGCCUCAACAAUUAUGUUUAGUUUUCUACCCUGAAUAUAUAAUUAUUGUUAGUUAGUAUUGGUUUGAAAUUGCGAAAUCUUUGAAAUAAAAUGCAAUUAUAAUUGUGACUGAAUAUGUCGUUUGGUAUCAUAUUCCUUGUUUUGAACGUUUUAAUCGAUAUUGUUAGUUUUAUGAUGGAACAUUGUUAUCUGCAACGGAGAGAUAAUACAACAUGUGAGUUAAAUACUCAUAGUAAUUUAAGAUCAUAACUACUUGUUUCAACGAAGAAUUAAUGUAGCCUAUAAAUUUAGUGCUUGUAGUAACUUGAGAUGGUAUCAUUCGUAAACAAAGAGAUAGUGUGGUAUAUGUGCACAUUGUGGAAUGAGAUAAACGAAUAAUGUGAUUUAUUUCUAUUACUUUCAAUUGUAGAUGUGUUUGUAGAACUUUGUGUAUGACUUAUGAUUGGAUCAUGCUAAAGAUUUUAUUGAAAAGUGUUAUCCUUAAGGGAAUUAAUUAUGAAUGAGAGUUUUCAAAGGAUGAUACAUUUAGUUUAAAAUUCAUUUUGGAUUAAAACUCGCAAAAUUCUUACUUUUUCUUCCACUUUGUUAAUUAGGUUCUCCUGGAAUUCACAUAUCUAUGCAAACUAUCAUCCUUAGUGAUUCACACUGAAGAGAAAGGCUCUCCUGAUCUAUGCAGAAUUUCAUCCUUGUGGUAGUUAUUUAUCUUUAACCGUGUUCAUUAUUUUAUUAUUUCAGUAUGAUGCAAUUAUAUGAAUAGGAGUUAUUCUUCUCUUUUGAGUUGUACAAUUGAUGACAUAUCUUUUAUACACCUCUCGUUGAUAUUUAGUUGACAUUUCAAAUGUUAUGAAAAUGGAUGAUAAGCUACUAAAUUUUGAUAGUUAUGCAUUUUAUAAAGGUGUAUGUGUUAUAAUGUAUUAAUCUUGCUUGGGUAAAUGUAUGAUGAGUUAGGGUUAGCCGAUGCGCCGGUCAUGACCUAAAAUUGAAUCGUGACAAUAUGUUUUCCUUUUCACACUUUACACACAUGCAAUACUUAGCAUGCAUUGUUGCUCACUACUUCCUUUCUACUUCAAGCGUUGUGAAUGCAAUGUGUAAAUGUGUAUUCCCAUAAAUGUCUUUGAAUUUUAGAGUGAGGGUUCGAUUAAGUCUUUCAUAAGUGAGGCAGAAAACAAAUACCUUUAGAUUUAAUCUAUGAUUCAGAUUUUUUUUUAUUUUUAAAAAAAAAUGAGAGCAUCUACGCAUUGCUACACUCAAGCUUUCUCCUAUCUGCAAGAGAUGGUUUCUGACAAGGUGCAAGCAAUUAAUUAGGUUAGAGUUUGUAAAAACACUACAAAUCGUAGUUUUGAUGUAUUUUGAUAGAAUACUAGAAUCAAAUUUAGGCAUUUUGAGCAUAGUAUAAGCUAAUUUAUGGCAAGUUUAGAUUGCUUUAUUUGGGUUUAUCUAUUCGCGUAAGCGCUUAUCAGACUCUUUAGGAGAGCUUAUGAAAUCAAUUUAUGACAUGUUUACAAAAUUUUUUAGGUUAUUUUCACAAACUCUCUAAAUAGCCUAUGAACACAACUUAUAGUUUAUAUAAAAUUAAUUUGACUUUAUUUUUUUAAAAGUAUAUGAAUUUAUUUUUUAUUUUGUUAUAGAAAUAGCUUACAUAAGCACGUAUACAAUAACCGCUUUUGUUAUAAGCACUUCAUUAAAUUAUUUAUCCAUCAAUUUCAAAUCAUUUGACCAGCCAGCUUCUAGGAGUUUUACCUGCUGAGAAGUUUGCUUGUUGUUGCCCAUUUUUAAUUUAUUUUAGCAAAAAUAUGAAAUAUAACUUUGUUUCUUACCUAACAAACAAGUCUUCUUGAGUCUACGUUUACUAUCUGCACUGCCAGCCAUCCAAAAACAGUACUAUUAUCCAUUCAUUCUCAUGCAAGUCUUUCCUCCUUAAUUGCAAUCACUACUAUUCUUGAAUGUUCAUAGCUCUUAACUUUCUUUGCAACUUACUUGCAAUAUCAUUUACAACUUUUUUCCUUUGCUGCUUUACUUUACCAAUCAGAUAUGGCUGCAGCUUUGGUCGCAGGUGCAUGUCUCUCAGCAACUACUCAAACCAUAGCAGACAAGCUAAGCUCAUCAGAGUUUCGUGGUUUCAUCAGAAACACCAGGUUCAAUUACUCACCGCUGGCAGAAUUGAAAACAACAUUGUUUGCUCUUCAAGCUGUGCUGGUUGAUGCAGAGCAGAAACAGUUCACUGACCUUCCUGUCAAACAAUGGCUUCAUGACUUGAAAGAUGCAAUAUUUGAUGCUGAAGAUUUGCUUGACUUAAUCAGCUACGAUGCUCUGCGGUGCAAGGUGGAAAACAUGCCAGUUAAUCAGUUGCAGGACUUGCAUUCGUCAUCUAUAAAGAUCAAUUCCAAGAUGGAGAAAAUGAUUAAAAGGUUGCAAACUUUUGUCCAGAUAAAAGAUAUCAUUGGCUUGCAGAGAACUGUAAGUGAUAGAUUUUCUCGUAGAACCCCUUCAAGUUCAGUGGUAAAUGAAUCUGUCAUUGUGGGUAGGAAUGAUGAUAAAGAUGACUCAUCAAUAUGUUGGUAUCAGACUGUGGCACCAGUAGAAAUAAUAAUUUAGGUGUUGUUGCAAUCUUGGGUAUGGGAGGUGUCGGUAAAACAACCCUUGCACAACUUGUUUACAAUGAUGAAAAGGUUGAACACCAUUUUGAUCUCAAGGCCUGGGUUUAUGUAUCAGAGGAUUUCGAUGUUGUGAGAGUAACCAAGUCUCUCAUUGAAUCUGUUGUUAGAAAUACAUCAUCUUCUGCUUCAAAGGUCUGGGAAAGCAAUAAUCUUGAUAUCCUUCGAGUUCAGUUAAAGAAAAUCUCAAGGGAGAAGAGAUUUUUGUUUGUGUUGGAUGAUCUAUGGAAUGACAAUUACAAUGAUUGGGAUGAGCUAGUAAGUCCACUCAUUGAUGGAAAACCUGGAAGUAUGGUGAUUAUAACAACCCACCAACGAAAAGUUGCUGAGGUGGCACGCACAUUUCCUAUACAUAAACUAAAACUUUUAUCAAAUGAAGAUUGUUGGUCUUUACUCUCAAAGCAUGCAUUGGGAAGUGAUGAGUUUCACAAUAGUACAAACACAACCCUUGAAGAAAUAGGCAGAAAGAUUGCAAGAAAGUAUGGAGGAUUGCCAAUAGCUGCUAAAACAAUAGGAGGACUUCUACGUUCAAAGGUAGACAUAACAGAGUGGACUUCAAUUUUGAACAGCAACGUAUGGAACUUAUCAAAUGAUAAUAUUCUUCCUGCUUUGCAUUUGAGUUAUCAAUAUCUUCCCUCUCAUUUGAAAAGAUGUUUUGCAUAUUGUUCAAUUUUUCCAAAGGAUUUCCCACUUGAUAAGAAGACAUUGGUUUUGUUGUGGAUGGCAGAAGGCUUCCUCGAUUGUUCUCAAGAGGGAAAAAUGGCAGAGGAAGUAGGUGAUGACUGCUUUGCUGAAUUGUUGUCCAGAUCCUUAAUUCAGCAAUCAAAUCAUGUUGGUCGUGGAAAAAAGUUUUUCAUGCAUGACCUUGUCAACGAUUUAGCUACAAUCGUAUCUGGAAAAAGUUGUUACAGGCUUGAAUGUGGUAAUGUCUCUAAAAAUGUCCUCCAUUUGUCAUAUACCCAAGAAGUGUAUGACAUUUUCAUGAAGUUUAAAAGUUUCAACAAUUUUAAAUGCUUGUGAAGCUUCAUGCCCAUUUGCUUAUGGAGAGAACAAAAUUACUUAUCCACCAAGGUAGUUGAUGAUUUGCUACCAACACUCAAAAGGUUGCGUGUGUUAUCGCUGUCAAAGUAUACAAAUAUCACCAAGCUACCUGAUUAAAUUGGCAAUUUGGUGUAGUUGCGGUAUCUAGAUCUCUCUGAAGGUGAGAAAAACACAAGAAGGGGGGGGGGGGGGGGGGGGGGGGGGUUGAAUUGUGUUUUCUUUUUCUCUUCUAAAAUCUUCUUCUGAAAUCACUUCAGAAGCUGUUUAAGAAAGCUUCUGAUGAGAAGUUCAGAAUUGGAUACGCAGCGGAAUAAAAACAGAGUAGAGAAAGAAGAAAGAGAGACACAAGCAAUUAUCCUGGUUCCUUCCACAAACCGGAAGUAGUCCAGUCCCCCUUGAACUUCCAAGGAGAUUUCCACUAAGAAAUAAUCACACAGAUUACAACUGCUCAAUACUACACCUAGUAUGAGACUUCAUAAAUGCUCAAGCACGCAGGCAAGAGACUUCCUUUGCUCAAGCACUAAAGCAAGAGACUUCUAUUCAAACAGAAUUACAAAGAAAAUUGUUUGAGUUUGAACACUUGAUAUACAAUCAGUGGUGUUCACAAUACAAUGCAAUUGAAAGACUCUCUAGACUUAAGAAUUUCUAAGAUAUAUCAAAUUAACACAGAAAUUCAAAGUGCUUUUGAGUGAAACAAAUUUGGCAGAGUUUGGGCGCUUUUAACUUGUUGUAUUGUCUCUUCUGAUCUUCAAGUCUUCACUCCUUUAUACAGAGAUGUGUAGAGAGACGUUGAGAUCUUUAAGCACGUCAAAAGAGUCAUUGAGAAACCUUGAUCAAAUACCAAUGAUCUUUUGCCUGAUUUGGAUGUUGUCCUAUGAAGGAUCACGUUCAAAUCCAUUCCUAUCUUGAAGGAACAUUUCUGCAGGCAGAGCUGUUUUCUUGUCUUGUAGCGUAGACACAAGCAGAGUCGUGGAGGUAGUGGUUGUACACUUCGUACUUUGUCAACUCUCAAUGAAGGACAAGCACCCAAUGCUUUUCAAACGAACGUUGGCACUUUCCUUUAGUCUUUCGCUUUCCUAGACGAGGUUGAAUCCAAUAACCAGCUAUUUGAAACUUUAGGUUGCAUCUUCUGAUGAGCUGUAGCUUCUGGUGAUACACAGCUUCUGAUGAACUUUGCUUCUGAUGACGUCAUCACUUCAGAGGCACUUUGUCUUCAGGAGCACUCCAUAACUUCACACGCAGUUUUCUUCAGAUGUUUUAGGCUUCUCUUCUUGUUGAUAUCUUUGCUCUCUUUUGUUCUUCCAAGACCUAUUAAAUUGAUCAACUUUGUCUAUGGUCCUGUACACUUGAACAAAUAUUAGCAAUAACCAAUUGAAAAUUUUUAAUACCUUGUUAUCAUCAAAACUCAUUAAGAUUUAUUGUAAAACACAUUUUGUUCCAACACUCACUUUCACUGAAAUCAAAAGCUUGCCUGAUACAUCAUGUAACCUUUAUAAUUUGCAGACUUUGAUUUUAUCAAGCUGUAGGAAUCUCACUGAAUUACCAGUACAUAUGGGAAAUUUAAUCAAUUUAUGUCACCUUGAUAUAAGUUCAAAAAAUAUGCAGGAGUUUUCCUUGGAAAUUGGUGGGCUAGAAAACCUCCAAACUUUGACAGUUUUUGUAGUGGGGAAAGCAUCAAGUAGGGUUAAGUAUCAAAGAACUUGAGAAAUUCCCACACUUACAGGGAAAACUUACUAUCAAGAAACUGCAUAAUGUCGUUGAUGCCAUGGAUGCAAAAGAUGCCAACCUGGAAGACAGAGCAAAUUGAGGAGUUAGGUCUGUUGUGGGGAAAAGAAAGUGAAGACUCGCGAAAAGUGAAAGUUGUUCUAGAUAUGUUGCAACCACCAAUAACUCUGAAGAGCCUUCAUAUUGGCUUGUAUGGCGGGACAAGUUUUCCAAAUUGGGUCGGAAACUCUUUGUUUUAUAACAUGGUGUCUCUUCGCAUCGAUAAUUGUGAAUAUUGCAUGACACUUCCACCGCUAGGGCAGCUACCUUCUCUAAAGGACCUAAAAAUAUAUGAUAUGAAGAUAUUGGAGAGAAUUGGCUCAGAGUUCUAUUGUGUCCAAGAAGGAGAAGGUUCAAAUUCUUCCUUCCAACCAUUUCCGUCCCUUGAGCGUAUAAGAUUUCAAAUCAUGCCAAAUUGGAAUGAAUGGCUCCCUUUUGAAGGAAACAGCUUUGCUUUUCCAUGUCUUAAAACUCUUGAGUUAUAUAAUUGUCCAGAAUUUAGGGGACAUUUUCCUAGCCACCUAUCUUCCAUAGAAGAAAUUCAAAUAGAAGGUUGUGCUCGUCUAUUGGAAACACCACAUACUUUGCAUUGGCUAUCAUCAAUAAUAAAAAAAAAAUCAAAGAAGAUUUAGAUUCUGAAGGGUAUUCUGAAAGAACUCAAUCGUCGUUGCUUGUGAGCGACUCUCAAAGUCUGCUGCAAACUGUAGAUACUGAAAAUUGUAAUAUGUUCUUAUUUGUUCCUAAAAUGAUUAUGAGAAGCACUUGUCUUCUACACUCGGAGCUCUAUGGUCUUCCCCUCACUACAUUUCCGAAGAAUGGUCUACCCACUUCAUUGCAGUCACUUUGUAUUGAUAAUUGUGAGAAGUUAGCAUUCAUGCCUCCUGAAACGUGGAGCAGAUACACAUCGCUUGAGAGUCUUAUUUUAUGGAGUAGCUGUGAUGCACUUACAUCCUUCCAACUUGAUGGUUUCCCUGCACUCCGAAUACUUUACAUUUGUUUUUGUAGGAGUAUGGAUUCGGUUUUUAUUUCAGAAAGUCCUCCACGUCGGUCAUCAAGCCUCCGAUCACUUAAAAUCAAAUCCCAUGAUUCAAUUGGAUUGCUUAAAGUCAAGCUUCGGAUGGACACGCUCACUGCUCUUGAACAAUUGACUCUAGAUUGUCCCGAGUUGUUAUUUUGUGAAGGAAUUUGUCUACCUCCCAAAUUACAAUCAAUUGUGAUAUCUUUCCAAAGAGCAACGCCGCCUGUAACAGAAUGGGGUCUCCAAGGCCUGACCGCUCUUUCAAGAUUGAGAAUUGGAAGCGAUGAUGGUAUAUUUAACGUUUUCGUGACAGAGUAUCUUUCACAGUUGAGAAUACAAAUGGGUGAUAAUAUAGUUAACACCUUGAUGAAUCGGUAUAUCUCAAGAUUGACAGUUGGAACGGUUGAUGAUAUAGUUAACACCGUGCUGAACGAGUCAUUGCUUCCCAUCUCCCUUGUGUCUCUAUCUAUUGGUCAUCUCUCUGAAAUAAAGUCAUUUGAAGGAAAUGGACUUCGACACCUCUCCUCUCUCAAAAAUCUUCACUUUCUUAAUUGCUUGGAGCUUGAGUCAUUGCCAGAAAAUUGCCUCCCUUCCUCGCUGAAGUCACUUCAAUUUUCGAGUUGUGUAAGACUUGAGUCAUUACCAGAAGACAGCCUCCCUUCCUCUCUUAAACUACUCACUAUCGAGUUUUGCCCAUUGUUAGAAGAAAGGUAUAAAAGGAAGGAAAAUUGGUCCAAAAUUUCUCACAUCCCUGUCAUAAUAAUAAACAAGCAAGUUACAAUAUGAAGACAAGUUGUGUUCCCGUUUCAGGUAUGAUUUUCUUUUACCUCACUAUUCCAAAUUAAUUUAUAGUAUUCUGUAUGCAUUCAUUUGUGUUCACAAUCUAAAGACAUAUCUUAAGAUUUUUCAUAUCAUUUUCAACACAAAGCAAAUAAUCAAUCUCUGCUACACAUGUUUUUUUUCUUUAGACAUAUUGUUAGUGGUUAAUUUUCUAAGGGAAAGAUUUCUAUAUAAUACUUUUUCGGUGUCCAAACUCAUAACAUGAACUACUCCAUCCAGGACCUCUUCCUAUGUUUAUUGAUGUAAAUUAAAAAUAAGAGGUCCACUGAUUUCUUUGUUUAUGGGACAUGAAGCAUCAAUAUAUAAAUGGAACAAAAUACAAAGUUGAUUGAUUAAUAUGACUAAGAAUCAACUUAUUGAUUAUAGGCUCUAAAUAUUGCCAGAUUGUUUGAGAAUCAAGCUUUGGAUCUAAUCAAAGAAAAAAAUGUGUAUUUGGUCUUUGCAGGAGAGGCCUAAUAAGUGGAUAAAAAUCCGUUCAAUUGAUGAAUUGAAGACAAAAGUGAGGCAUGUUGUCAUCAUGAUUCUUCUUGUAAACUUGUUUUAGAGGAUUCAAAUGCAUGGUUGCUGUUGAUUGCCACAAGAUUGGAUUUAAUUAACCAAUUUUCAGUUUGUAUUUUCUUAUCAUUUGUAUGCAUCUUUGUAUAUUCUGUGUAAACUACUUGAGCCUGUACAGAUUGUAAUUUUCUUUAAUUCGUAGAUGUAAAUGAAUGUUCAUAUGAUUCAGAAAUCUUCUGUUUCAUUGCUUUGUUAGUAUGUGCAGCUUGAAGCAUAAUAGAUAAAUGGAACAAGUUGAAGUUGAUAAAUAAGAAUCCAUGUUAUUCUUGGUUCUAAAUAUUGGAAACUUUUUUUUUUUUAAGUUAAACUAACCCACCAAAAUUGACAUCCGGGAGAAUCAAAUCUGAGACAACUCUAAAGUCUCAAGCGAACACUACCAAACGAUCCCAAGUAGAUCCUAAAUAUUGGAAACUUGUUUGUGUAACAUAAUAAUGAUUGGUGUUCCUGAUGCAUAUCGCAUAGACAUACUAUACUUUUUAGCUUCUUUUUUAUCCUAAAAGAGAAAAAUACUAUUGGAAUGAUAGGCCUUGCCUUUCUAUUGAUUUUCCAAUGAUACAUAUACAAUGUCAGAUUCUGUGUCUAUUUGCUAUACAAUCAUGACUAUUUAAUGACAAUUAUAUUCUAAUAAUAACAAUAAUAUUCUAAUAAUGACAAUGAUAUUCUAAUAAUUCUAAUACACCCCCGUAGUCGAAACGGGAGGUUGACGAAUGUUGAGACUAUCACGAAAAUCAUCAAAGAGUUGCAACGGAAGUCCUUUGGUGAAGAUGUCAGCGAUUUGGUAACGUGAAGGGACAUGUAAGACUCAUACUUGGCCACGGGCGACUUUCUCACGCACAAAAUGUAUAUCCAUCUCGAUGUGUUUGGUGCGUUGAUGUUGGACUGGGUUGCCGGAUAAAUAGACAGCACUCACAUUGUCACAAUAAACCAAAGUGGCUGUUGUGACUGGGCAAUGUAGUUCCAACAGUAAGUUUCUAAUCCAACAAGAUUCAGAUACUACAUUGGCGACUCCGCGGUACUCGGCUUCGGCACUGGACCGAGAUAGGGUGUGUUGACAUUUGGCAGACCAUGAGAUUAAAUUGUCACCAAGAUAAACAUUAACCAGAGGUGGAUCGCCUGGUAUCCGGGCAACCAGCCCAAUCUGCAUCAGUGUAAGAAACCAAUUUGCUGACAGAGGAGGGAUGUAAGUGAAGGCCGAAAUCAAUAGUGCCAUGAAUAUACCGAAUGAUACACUUCAGUGCUGACAUAUGUUGCGUUUUAGGGUCAUGCAUGAAUAGGCAUACCUGUUGUACUGCAUAAGAGAUAUCAGGUCUUGUGAAAGUUAAAUAUUGUAGUGUUCCUGCAAGACUCCGAUAUUCAGUUGGGUCAUGAUAUGGAUUCCCAGAAGAGCCACUGAGUUUUGCCUUGGUGUCGACUGGAGUGGGUGAUGGUUUGCAAGAGGACAUGCCUGCUCGUUUUAUAAUCUCCUCUGCAUAUUUUCUUUGAGACAAGAAAAGACCACUUGUGUGUUUAGUGACAGAUAUUCCUAGAAAAUAACUUAGAGGACCCAAAUCCUUCAUGGCGAAUUCAGAACUAAGUUUAGACAUAAUAGAGUCACGAAGAGCAUCAGAUGAAGCAGUGAGAAUUAUGUCAUCGACAUAUAGAAGGAUAUAAGCAGUAUUAAGGCCACGAUCGAUGAAAAACGAAUAAAGAGUGAUCAGAGAUGCUGUGAGAGAAACCCAAUGUGGCAACAUAGUUGGUGAAUCUUUGGUACCAGGCACGCGGUGAUUGUUUUAAACCAUAGAGAGAUUUCUUGAGGAGACAAACAUGCUCAGGAUAUUGUGGAUCACGGAAUCCAGGAGGCUGGUGCAUAUACACAGUUUCGUCAAGAUUUCCAUGCAAAAAAACAUUUUUGACAUCUAGUUGAUGGAGACACCAUGAUUUGGAUAUUGCAAUGCUAAGUACCAUGUGAAUAGUGGCUGGUUUGACGACAUGGCUGAAGGUUUCACCACAAUCGGCACCUGAUUGUUGAUUAGCACCAUUACCUACAAAACGAGCUUUGUAUCGCUCAAAAGAACCAUCAGAUUUCUUCUUGUGCCUGAAAAUCCACAAACUUCGAAUAACAUUAGCAUUAGAGGGACGAGGAACUAAUUCCCACGUCUUAUUUUCAAUAAGAGCAUAAUAUUCGUCUUUCAUGGCCAUUUUCCAAUUAGGAUCUCGUAACGCAUCAAUGGGAUUUGUAGGUAAAGGAGAGAUAAUUUGGUUGGUUGAUGAGUGUAGGUUGAAAAGCGUACGAGGUUUGACAAUACCGUGUUGUGAACGGGUUCUCAUUUGAGGUGAAUGAGGUGCUGAAGGGGAAAUGGAUGUUGGAAUCGGUGGAGAAGAGGUGGUAGGUGUAGUUUGUGGAGAUGAGGUCGUUGUCUGGGAGGCAGAAGAUGUUUGAACUGUGGGUGUAGGUUGUUGGGCCGAGGAGGUUGGUGAGAGGGGAACACUUGUGUGGUUUGUGGUUUGAGGGGUAGGAGUUUGUUGGGCUGCUGGUGAUGGUGAUUGGGUGGCGGUUAUGUUGGGAGAGGGAGUUGCUGGAUAUGUGGUGUACAAGUGUGAGGGAAGUGGGGGGAUUAUGCCAUCAUCUAAAAAAUUAUAGUCAGCCGUUGUAGGAGCAUUCAUGGUGGAAAAGGGAAACGUAUUUUCCUCAAAAAUGACAUGUCGAGAAAUAAUGAUUAUACGACUUGACAAUUCAUAACACUUAUAACCUCUAUGGUUAGACGGAUAUCCUAGAAAGACACAUGGUGUAGACCGAGGUUGGAGUUUAUUCCUAGUGGUGGACGGAAUUAAUGGAUAGCAAAGACAUCCAAAAACUCGGAGGUGUGAAUAAGACGGGUAUUUUUGGUAGAGAAUUUUGGUGGGUGAUUGGAGAGUGAGUUUCUUAUUUGGAAGUAUGUUGUGUAGGUAAGUGGCCAUUUGAAGAGCAUGGUGCCAGAAAACUGGUGGAAUAGAAGCAUGGGCAAGGAGAGUUCGAAUUAUAUUAUUGAUUGUACGAAUUUUUCUUUCGGCUUUUCCAUUUUGAGGGGAGGUAUGAGGACAAGAGAAUCGAAAAGACAUUCCAUUUUGUUCACAAAACUUAUGAAAAAGAGCAUUAUCGUAUUCCUUGCCAUUGUCACAUUGAAAACAUUUUAUUUCACGUUCAAAUUGUGUUUUAAUGUGAGCACGGAAUUGUAAAAAAAUGGAAUGUACUUGUGAUUUGUUUGAGAUUGGAAAAGUCCACAAAAAAUUAGUAAAAUCAUCAAGAAAUAACACAUAGUAACGAUGCCCUCCGGAGCUUAAUACCGGAGAAGUCCAAAGAUCGCUAUGAACAAUGUCAAAAGGCAUACAAGUAAAUGACAAUGAAUUGUAAAAAGGUAAUUUUAUUUGUUUCCCAAGUGGACAAGAGUGACAAAAGAAAUAAUUUUGAAACUUAUUACAUAGCAAAAGUUUGUUUCGAUGAAGAGAAUUUAAGAUAGGAGCUCCUGGAUGUCCUAAACGACUAUGCCAUAACUCAUUAGAUGAAGCAGCAAAGGCGGAUGGUGGUAGUGUUGUGUUUGGUCUUGUGGGAAUAGGGUAAAGGUCGCCAGAACUGUUACAUCUCAUUAAAAGCGUUUCUGUCUGGAAAUCCUUCACAGAAAAACCAAGAUAAUCAAAUUCAACAGAAACGUCAUUAUCGAUUGUAAAUUUUCUGACAAAAACAAGGUUUUUGAUAAUUUUCGGUGCAUGCAAAACAUUGUUUAAGCUUAGGGAAUUGGGUAAAGAUGCAUUACCACAACCAAUUACAGGAAUAUGAUGACCACUUCCAACAGUAAUAUUAUUACUUGUAUUAAAAUAAGAUGUGAGAUUACCUCCAUUGCCCGUCAUAUGAGAAGUCGCCUCGCUGUCCAUAUACCAUUGAUCAUCAGGAGGAGAGAUGGAGAAAGUAUGCAUAGCAGCUUGGAUGUCAGUCGGAGCAUAAUAAGAUGAGCCUUGCUGACUGUUCAUAUGAGGUGGAGCAGUUGCCAUGUGAGUUUGCUGAGGUUUAGGACCUAGUAUGCCUGUUUGUUGAUGGGGAGCACCAGUUGUCGGAUAUGGACACGGUGGAUUGGCCCAUGGCUGCCAUGGAUAUGCCCACUGCUGCUGUCUGGGAUAUGUGGGAGUGGUCCACUGAGGCUGCAGAGGCUGGGAAUGACCUCCACCACGACCAUUGUUUCUACCCCUGCCACGGCCACCACGACCAGCACCACUGUUGUUGUUGCGGUGGUUGCGCUGCUGAGAAGGAGUUGCUGAGUCCGCGUUAUCAUCAAGAGAUGAUACGAAAGCAGAGUUGCUGAUGGAAUUUGCUGCUUUCUUUGCUUUAGCCGUUUCUUCCAGGAUAAUCAUAGAACGAGCUUUGUAAAAAGGUGGAAGAGAGUCUCCAUGACGGAUUUGUGAUCCCACCGUAGCAUACGCAUCUGUCAGGCCAGAGAUAAGUUGAAGAACAAGCCUUUCGUUAGACACUGGAGCACCAACAUUAGAGAGUUGAUCAGACAGGGAUUUGAGAUGUUGACAAUAGGUGGAUGCAUAUCAGGAAAUUGUUCCAUAUGGACAUUAGAAAAUUCUUGCUCUAGGUAGAGAGCCCGAGAAUUUUUAUUGUCAACAUCUCAAAGGUGCCGUAUAUAUGCGGAACACAUAACAAGGUAGGAACACCAAAAAUCCAUAUAUAUGAGGAGCCUCUACCCAAACACCCCAAAAACCAAGAGGCCUAUAACAGCACGACCAAAACCUUUCAACCGGCAAGUUCACAACCGAAAAACCAGAACCCCAAACAGGCACAGAACGGAAUCAACAAAAGCUCCCAAUGGACAGACAGCGUGCUAGCAGAAACAAACCAGAAGAAGGGUAGAAACCUGCACAGCCGCAACCCACAACACUACUGCAAACAGGCGCAAAACAGCCAUACUGCAGUAGCUGAAAGCAGCAACAGCAGCACCAAAAAAUCUUCCAGUCACGCCAUCUUCGCACACCACAGCCCAAAAACAGCAUCUCAAAAAUUACCUCAAGGCAAGCCUUCGGAUUCCACUUCCAUUCGUAAAGCAUACAAACCGAAUUUUGAUCCGAGUCAACAACCAACACCAAGAUAAAACUUUAAUCUCUUCUAUAACUUCCCCUACCUCCCAACUCAAGUUAUUGAAAAAAAAAUUAUUUCUAACUCUCCACAUAAACCAAAUAGUAGUAUGCCAAACUCGCCAAAGACCCUUCCGGAUUUUCUUAUUUCGUUCCGUACCACUCCAACACUCCCAAUGAAUGAAAAAAUUAGGCGAAGUUAAAAAAGAACAGCCGAACCACCUCAUCACCUUGGAAACCAAAAAGAAAAGGUACCAUUAUUGUUCAAAGCACCUUCAUUAUAUCUUGAUUUCAAUACAAUAUUUUGGGCAAAUACCUCCAGGGGUAAUUAAGUUUAACGUUUAUGCUGGAUUAAUCUUUUAAAUUUUUUAAGUUUCAAAUUGGUUCUUUAAGUCGUAUAAGGUUCUCAACGUUAUCUUUUUCCAUCCAAAUCUGUUAAACGACCCCAGAGAUAUUUGGCCCAAUUUUUUUAAAAACUCGGUAUCCAGCCUAAGACCGACUAAUUUGAGGGGUCCAAUCCCACUGUCCACUUGCGUAGGUCCCAUUUAAAGCUAGAGCAAAGCUUUGUAUGGACUAGCCCGGUGAAAUUGGGACCAAGGAGAAUUGAAUCUGAGACUUUGAGAGAAGCACACUCCACUCCAAGGUCUCAAGCCAAUACCACUAGAUCAACCCAAGUGGGAUAAUUUCAAUUUUUUUUAGAUUGAGAAAAGAGAAAUUACUAUUAAUAACUGUAGUACUGAUUGUCAUUUUACAACUGUGUCAUUUGAGAUUUGCUUUUACCACUGAUUGAUACAUUAUGGACAUAUCCUAUAUUUUGCUUUAUGUUCCUAUUCAUAAAUCUUAAUCAGAAAAACAUUUUUUCUAAACAACAUAAAACUUUAGACUAUCUACAAUAGUAUUUUGUCGCAAUUUUGACAAUGCAAUGCCAUGAAUCUGUCUGAUUCUCUCUCUUGAUAGUUUCAACAGCUUUCCUAUCUCCUCAAAAGACAAAGGGGUCUCUCCAUUGAGUCCAAAGUAUAAUCUUACAAUCUCUUCUUCUCUUUUGUCAAGUGUGUUAAGAAGCUUCACAACCCCUUGCUUCAUUAGCUGCCUCUCAACCAUCUUCUCUGGAAUCAUUUCGACUGGUCCUGGUAUAAUCUCCUGCAUUAUAUCACAGUAAACAUUAUGACUAAUAGCUCAGAGUUUGUAGUUUAUACUUAAUCGCCUAAAAUACGAAUGAAAUUGUCGAACCUUCAGUAUUAAGUUGCUCUGAUCGGUUAUAGAUCUGUCCAAUGAAAUUGGUUGUCUGCUCCUUUCAGAAACAAGUUUUACAGUUGAAACAUUCACAUUGAGAACCUCAGCAAUUUCAUUAUAUGUCGGCUUCCGCCUUAGUCUUCGUCUUAAGACAUUGUUAGCCUCUGCGAUUUUUGCAACCAUUCCAUACUUUUCUCCCUAUAAAUAACAAAUUAACCAAACAUUCAUAAUAAACGGUCUACUUCUUAAAUCUUCUAGUAGUCUACUGUAGAAGCAUUGCAUAGUAAAUCAAAAGAGACUAUGAAAAUUGUGAUAAGUAAGAACCUGUUUACUUUCUAACAAAAUUUUCAAUUUCUAUUUACAGUGUAGGUGGUCCAGCAUAAACCUUAUUAAUUUUUCCAAUUUUAACCCUUUGAUAUGUUUUAAGAAAGGGGACCGUUGGAUUGUGAAGGUCCAUUGUAUCUUACAGUGAACCAACAGAAACUAUUUUUUCUUCCCUUUCUUCAUCUUCUUCCCUUGUGUACUUCAUCAUCUUCAUAAUAUUCAUGAAAAAAACCCAAAAAAAUAAAAUAUUUAUCAAACAAAACACUUUUAACCCUUCCCUUUCCAGUUUCCCUCUCUCUUUCUCUCAGAACCCUUUAUUCUCUCUCUCAAACCCAUUCCUUCAUUCUAACUCAGCUCAAUUGAACCAAUCUCAAUCCCUCUCUCUCAAUCGAACCCACGCACACCAAAUUCAAUAACAACUCUAAACCCAAUCGCAGCUCAACAUCAAUUUUCAAUUCAAUAACUCAAAAAUUGAUAUUGAAGAUGAGUUCAAACAGAAAAUACAUCUUCAAGAUGAUGAAUGGGGUUUUGGUGCACUUUUUGGGUCAGGUUUGAUGUGCUUUGACGGGUGUUGGUUUUUGGUGCAUCUUCAAGCCGAGUUUUUUGGUUGAGUCUCUCGGCUUUCAGGGUCAGGGUGCUUCCUGUUGGAUGCCUUUUGUUUUGUUGACAGGUUUGGCUGUUUUAAUGGGUGGAGUGACUUUUCACAACAAAGUAUAAUGUAAUAGUCUUGCUUAGGUAAAUGUACGAUGAGUUAGGGUUAGCCUAUGCGCCGGUCAUGGCCUAAAAUUGGGUCGUGACAAUAUGUUUCCUUCUCACACUUUAUACACAUGCAAUACUUAGCAUGGCAUUGCAUUGUAUCUCACUACUUCCUUUCUACUUCAAGCGUUGUGCAUGCAUGGCAUUGCUUUCUUUCAUCGGUGAGGCAGAAAACAAAUACCUUAAGAUUUAUUAUAUGAUUAAAUUUUUUAAAGAAAAUAAAAAUGAGAGUUAUUCUCAAGGUUUCUCCUAUCUCUUCCCCGGAUAUGUACUCUCCAAUUCACCAACAUCUGCAAAGAGAUGGUUUCUGACAAGGUGCAAGCAAUGAAUUAGGUUAGAGUUUGUGAAAACACUUGAAAUCAUAGUUUUGAUUUUUUUUUUUUUUAUAGAAUACUAGAAUCAAAUUUAGGCAUUGUUGAGCAUAGUAUUAGCUAAUUUAUAGUAUGUUAAGAUUGCUUUAUUUGAGUUUAUCUAUUCACAUAAGCACUUAUCAGACUCUUUAGGAGAGCUUAUGGAAACAAUUUAUGACAUGUUUACAAUUUUUUUUUAGGUUAUUUUCACAACCUCUCUAAAUAGCUUAUGAAAACAACUUAUAGUUUAUAUAAAAUUAAUUUGACUUUAUUUUUUUAAAAGUAUAUGAAUUUAUUUAUUAUUUUGUUAUAGAAAUAGCUUACAUAAGCACGUAUACAAUAACCGCUUUUGUUAUAAGCACUUCAUUAAAUUAUUUAUCCAUCAAUUUCAAAUCAUUUGACCAGCCAGCUUCUAGGAGUUUUACCUGCUGAAAAGUUUGCUUGUUGUUGCCCAUUUUUAAUUUAUUUUAGCAAAAAUAUGAAAUAUCACUUUAGUUUGCUAUAAUGUGGAAACAAAUAUUUAUUUGAAAACAGAACAUUUGGGAAAAUUGAUUGAGCAGGUAUAGUCACAAUUGUCUCACUAGAUGUGAACAAAUGCAUUGCAAUUUCCUAUUCUCAAUACACUUUUUUUAAUUGAUUUAUUCACUCAUUGGGAAACAAUACACCAGCAUAUAAAAACAAAAGGUUUAAUACAAAGACUUGAGUUCUGGUAGUUGGUGAAUAAUCGUAUGAGAUAUUUACUCCUUUCCAUGUUCUUUUAUUUGUUUACCUGGGUCCAUUAAACAAUGGUAAGCCUUGUUUUCCAGCUUUCUAACUUUGUUUCUUACCUAACAAACAAGUCUUCUUGAGUCUACGUUUACUAUCUGCACUGCCAACCAUCCAAAAACAGUACUAUUAUCCAUUCAUUUUCAUGCAAGUCUUUCCUCCUUAAUUGCAAUAACUACUAUUCUUGAAUGUUCAUAGCUCUUAACUUUCUUUGCAACUUACUUGCAAUAUCAUUUACAACUUUUUUCCUUUGCUGCUUUACUUUACCAAACUUUGGUCGCAGGUGCAUGUCUCUCUGCUACUACUCAAACCAUAGCAGACAAGCUAAGCUCAUCAGAGUUUCGUGGUUUCAUCAGAAACACCAGGUUCAAUUACUCACUGCUGGCCGAAUUGAAAACAACAUUGUUUGCUCUUCAAUCUGUGCUGGUUGAUGCAGAGCAGAAACAGUUCAUUGACCUUCCUGUCAAGCAAUGGCUUGAUGACUUGAAAGAUGCAAUCUUUGAUGCUGAAGAUUUGCUUGACUUAAAAGUGAUUAUUUGAUGAUUUUCUAAAAUAAUGUUUUGGGUCAAGUUUUAUAUGGUUUUGAGUCUCUUUUGAUGUAUAUAAAUGUUUAGAAAAACUUUGGGAUCAAAUUUGGGCAUAGGGAAGUUAAAAUUGGAAUUUUGGGGUGAAAAAUGGGUUUUUCCCGAGUUGUUAUCUUACAGCAUGUCCUGUUUCAUGUUCUUGCGUCUUUUUCACAUGUUUCCGUUUUGAAUUAGCCUUUGGUGUAAACAUGAAAGUUGUAGAUAAUUGUGUUAUCUUUCCAGUGGCGUCGGUUUGACUUGAAAAUGAUUUUUGGUUUAGGAGUUAUCAUGAAAAUACUUCAAGGAGGUCUUAGUGAAAUUUUAUGAAAAUUCAGCAUAACCGUUUCUAAGUUAAUCCAAAACUUAGGGAAUAAUUCCAAACCUCAAAACUAGAAGUACUAGGAGUUUAAUUAAGGGGUUUAACAGUAUUUAACAUGUGUUGUGAUGGAUCUAACUUGGUUGGACGUGAAUAUCUUUGUUGAAUAAUUUGAGAUACAGUAGAAACUCUAUAAAUUAAUAAUGUCGGGACCGGAGAAAUUUAUUAGUUUAGAGAGUUAUUAAUUUAUCGAUAAAUUAAUAAUUUAAAGAGUUUUUAAGUAAUUAUACUGUACAUACCAAACAAAAAGGCAAAUUAGUCUAUGUCUCUUAGAAUAUUGUAUGAUAUAGAAAUAAUGAUGUUCAUUAUUGAUGAUUUAUUAUAUGAAUGUAUAUGUUGAUGAAUAUGAUUUGAUGUCGAUGGUAAUGUAAUAUAUUUGUAUAUGCAUUAUGUGAAUUAUAUAAGAUGUUUAAGUUGUUGUUGAUUAUCAUUUGAUGUUGUUAUAUCUUGAGAUGUUUAUGAUGUUGUCUAAGUUGUAAGUUGUCGUUCCAAAGUACUGGAGUCUUAAGUUGUUGAUGUUGUCUAAGUUGUAAGUUGUUGUUCCAAAGUAUUGGAGUCUUAAGUUGUCGAUGUUGUCCAAAGUUGUAAGUUGUUGAAUUCAUGCAUUAUCAUUUCAUUGUUGGGGGCUUGAUGCCCUGGAGCUUUGUACUCAACACGUUGGAGCUUUAGCUCAAUUAGCGAUGGGGGCUUGAUGCCCUGGAAGUAUAUUAAUAUUCAAAUAGCGAUGGGGGCUUGAUGCCCUGGAGCUUUGUACUCAACACGUUGGAGCUUUAGCUCAAUUAGCGAUGGGGGCUUGAUGCCCUGGAAGUAUAUUAGUACUCAAAUAGCAAUGGGGGCUUGAUGCCCUGGAGCUUUGUACUCAACACGUUGGAGCUUUAGCUCAAUUAGCGAUGGGGGCUUGAUGCCCUGGAAGUAUAUUAAUACUCAAAUAGCGAUGGGGGCUUGAUGCCUUGGAUUGGUACCACAUGCAUGAUUAAGAAGUCGAAGUUGCAUUGUCGAGUCAAAGUCGUUGUUGAUGAGUUGUCAUCCAUGAGUUGUUAAGUUGUUGAUGAGUUGUCAUCCACGAUUCGUUAAAUUGUUGAGUUGUCUUCUACCCAUGUGUUGUUAAUGAAGUGCUUAUGAAGAUUAUAUGAUGUUAUGAAGCUAUAUGAUGUUGAUUAUGAUGUUGUUAUGUUGUUAUGAUGUUGUUUAGGAUAUUGAUUAUAUGAUGUUAUUAUGAUGCUAUAUGAUAUUGAUUAUGAUGUUGUUAUGUUGUUAUGAUGCUAUAUGUUGUUGAUUAUGAUGUUGUUAUGAUGUUGUUUAUGAUAUUCAUUAUGAUAUUGUUAAGCGAUGAUUUUUAUGAUGUGAUGUUAUGUUGUUAUAAGAUGAUCUUUAUGAUGUGUUGUUUAUGUUGUUAUAAGAUGAUGUGUUGUUUAUGUCGUUAUGAGAUGAUCUUUAUGUUGUUUAUGUUGUUAUAUGAUGAAUGUAUAUGAUAUGAUGAAUAUGAUAUUAAUGAUGACUAGAAGUUGAUUGAGCUAUUAAUGAAGUACUAUAUGAAGGAUAAAUAGUUAUUUUAUUCCGUUUAUGUUGAAAUACUCUGAUUUAUUCCGUUUAUGAUUUUAAGAAAAGAAAUGUUACAUUAAUACUAAGAAAUUUUUUGUCUUCAGAAAUGUCACACAUCAUGAGAACAUUCUCCCUUAUCAACCUAUAAAAUCUCCAUCUACCUGGCACUAUUAUCCCACUUCAUCACCUUCUGACUCUAUCACCCAUCACUCAGAUGCUUCUCAUUUUUCCAUCAUUCCUCCAACACAUAUUUCCUCACCUGAUACUUCUUCUACUUCAACUACUUCUCCCACACCAUCACCUCAACUUUAUAAACCUGUUAGAACAAAACAUGCCCCAACCUAUUUGUCAGACUUUGUAUGUAAUACUUCUUCUGCUCAUUCAUCAACAACAAUCACAUAAGGUACUCCUUACCCUAUUGCAUCAUUUCAUUCACUUUCACACUUAUCACAUUCACACAAGGCAUUUUCUCUUUCUAUUACACAAAGUACUGAGCCCAAAACCUAUAAGAAAGCAUGUCAGUCUGAAUGUUAGGUAAAGGCUAUGGAUUCUGAAUUAGAUGUUUUGGCUAAGAAUAGUACCUGAACAAUUGUGCAAACUCCUCCUAAUGUCAAGCCUAUAGGGGGUUUUUAAGAUCAAAUAUAAGGCUGAUGGGAGCAUUGAAAUAUACAAAGUCAGAUUGGUUGCAAAGGGAUAUAAUCAAGUUGAAGGUCUUGAUUUUUUUUUUUUUGGCAGUUUUUCUCCUGUUGCAAAGUUAACCACAAUCAGAAUUCUAUUGGCUCUUGCAUUCACCCAAAACUGGCAUUUAUAUCAAUUAGAUGUAAACAAUGCUUUCCUUCAUGGAGAUUUGCAAGAAAAUGUAUACAAGAGUAUCCCUGAUAGUGUUGAUAGUGCUCCAAACACUGUUAGCAAAUUACAGAAGAGUCUCUAUGGUUUGAAGCAAGCCACUCGCAAGUGGUAUGAGAAAUUGACUUCACUAUUACUUAGUGAAGAAUACACACAGUCAAAUUCUGAUUACUCCCUCUUCAUCAAUGCACAUGGUUCUGAUUUCACAACUUUGUUGGUGUAUGUUGAUGACAUCAUCCUGGCAGGCUCUUCUCUUCAUGAAUUUGAUAGAAUCAAAUCCAUUUUAGAUUCCAAAUUCAAGAUCAAGGAUUUAGGAGUUCUCAAGGAUUUCUUAGGGUUGGAAAUUGCUCACUCUAAUGCAGGCAUUAGUGUUUCACAAAGGAAGUAUUGUCUAGACCUUUUAGAUUCUUCUGGCUUAUUAGGAUCUAAACCUGCUAGCACACCCUUAGAUACUUCAACAAAAUUGCAUCAAGACAAUAUCAAACCUUUUGCUGACGUGCCUUGCUAUAGGAGGCUCAUUGGUAGAUUGUUAUAUCUAGACACUACAAGGCCAGAUAUAACUUUAGCCACUAAACAAUUGAGCCAGUUCUUAAAUGCACCAACUACUUCACACUACAAAUAUGCUUGCAGGGUUAUCAAAUACCUUAAACAAAAUCCUGGACAUGGCUUAUUCUUCCCCAGAAAAUCAGAAAUGCAGAUUUUGGGUUAUGUAGAUGCUGAUUCGGCAGGAUGUAUUGAUUCCAGAAGAUCCACACCAGGUUUUUGUUUCUUUUUAGGCAAUAAGGAAGAAGAACACGCUAGGGCACAGUUACUUAGUCCACGGGUUAUUAACAACCCUAGUGAUAAAGUUGGUUGUAACUAACUCUCAGAGUUAGUUAUGAUAGAGGACGUGAUCCUAUAAUAUAGAGUUCACAAUAGCUUAACAUAUACUAUCAUUGUAACUCUAUAUAUAGUUGUAACACCUUCAUGCUUCAGUAAUGAAAACAGAUAUCAUUUUUCUGGUUUUUCUUUCUCUUUUCUUCUUUCUUCACCAUGAGAAUUCAGUUACUCAACAAUAAGCUAUUGUGGUAAUGAAACACUAUUGUACAACUAAAACACUCUAAACUCAAUUACUUAGGUAUCAUCCAAUAGCCCCCUACAAGCUGGAGGUUGAUAGAUAUCUAACAAGCCCAGCUUAGAUAAAAGAAGGUUGAAAGGUUGAGGAUGAAGAGCUUUGGUGAAGAAAUCAACAACCUGCUCUUAAGAAGAAACAUGAAGAAGCUUGAGUAUGCCAGAAUGUAGCUUUUCCCUCACUAUGUGGAAAUCAAUUUCCAAGUGUUUAGUGCUGAUGACAUAAAACCGCAAGUGCACGGUCUUACCGAAGUAGUAUGAAAAGAGUAUCGUUCCGACAGGGAGUAGUUUAAUUCAAUUAACCUUUGAUAAUGAUUAGAGGAGAAAAGAAUUGUAAGUUGGGGUUUUCAAGUGUUUGAAAGAUAAUAAUAAAAGGAGCCUUGGGAUCGUUGGUUCAUCUAAAUGGCAAGUCCUUCACAAACCAAACUAUAAGCUUAUAACUUUAUGUUAGACCUAAUUUCUCAAGACAGUUUCUCUUUUGUUCCUCUAGCAACCAAGCCUAUUUCGCUGACUUGAUUACUAUUAGAUUUUGGUUCCUCUAAAAACCAAGCCUAUUUUGCUGACUUGAUUAUUAUUAGUUCCCUUAAAGAUCGAAACUAUAUGUCUCAAAGAUUGCAAAGACUAUUUCGCUGCCUUUGCAAUCCUUGUCUAAAUUCACUUGUUCGAAUAUCAAACCUCCACUUUCGUUUUAUGAAUUGAUAUUUGAGAUGAUGGAUAAACUAUUAUCAAACCCUCCACUUUCGUUUCCACAGUUUGAUAAUGGUUGAUCCAUGUUAAAGCGGUGAAUUUAGAUAAGAAAUUAGGGUUACAUAAGAUUAACGCUUAGAGCUUAGCUUGAUUAGUAUUAUGUCAUUUAGACUUAUCCAACAAUCCCAAGACAAUGAGAAGUCUACUCACUCAUGUUCAUCGUAGACAUGGGGAAGAAAAGAGAAAGAAUAAAAGUAAAUGACAAGAAAGUAAAGGAAAAGAAAAGAACUUUUAUUAGAAAAGCAAUUGUCACUUAUUGAAUUCCAAGAAAAGAUGAAUAUUCGUGAUGGCUAGCUACUCUAUUUAUAGUUUACAUUCGACUUAAAAUCUAAGCAAUCACUAGAAUGUUCCACAAGUAAACUAAAACAGAGUAGCUUAAAAUCUAACCAAAAGCAGCAAAAGCGAUUCUGGAGGGUGGCACGGCCGUGCCAAGCUUCUGACUUUGGGGAGACAUAUUUUGUCUCCAAAUCUUCCUAUUUUUGUACCGAAUCAGCUCCAAAUCCCUUUCUUUUGCUCCAAGACUCAAUCCAUCAAAUAUUCUUUCCUGAAAUAUAAUAAAAUGCAAUUUGUAGUAAACUAUAUUAAAAACGAAAUAAUACUAAUAUAAAAUAAAAUAAAAUCUAAUUAAAACUAAACUAAAUCGCAUAUAAAAAUAGGUAUUAAAUGACUCAUCAAACUCCCCCACACUUGAAUCUUUGCUUGUCCUCAAGCAAAAGGCAUAAACAUGGUAGCAUAAAACGAUAUUAUCAUAUGACAAUUAAUUCGAAGCACAUGUCUCCUCAAAGGCUUUUAUUUCAAAGAGUACACUAAUCACAAACUCAAGCAUUUCUUGUAAUCCUUUUUUUCAACCCAACAAUCAAGUCUUAAGUGAGUGUGUGUGUGCAGUCCAACCCUUUUCUUGCUCCUGUAUAAGAUAGAUAUAAUGAGGAACAUGUUCUAAUCCUAGUACUAAAUCAACCAAGAAAAAUUAUUUCUUCAUUUCAUAUAAGAGAGAUGGGAGUCUUUGUGAUCUUUUGAUCUUUUGCCAAUUACAUAUUUUGGGUACUUUAUUUAAGGAACAACACCUUCACGUAGGAGGUUGGAGGGCCUACCCCCUUCCCCAAUCUAGAUUCAAUGAUGCCUUUUAAAGUUUCUUUUUCAAGAUAACAUUAUAUUCACGUAGGAAGUCGGAGGGCCUAUCUCUUUCCCCAAUCUAAAUUCAAUAAUGCAACCUUGAAAUAAUUUUUGGCUUGGCUUUUUUUUUUUAUAAACUCCUUUAUACUAACUUAUACUAUUUUUACUUUGAGAAUUUUUAAAGGUUAACGUACUACUAAAAUUAGAACGCAUUUCCUUAAAAUACCUAUUCAUACAUUUACUCAAGGGAAGCAACUUGUGCAUUUCUCAUUGGAGGUUUUAUUCACUUUAAAACAAGAUGCGGGUAUAUCAGGAGAACUUAAAACACAAGAGCUUUACUUUCAUGUACAAGAAACAACUAGUAAGAGGAGACAAUAAAAAUUUUAUGUCAUGAUUUCUCAAUAAAAACAAGCUACUUAAUCAUGUCUUUCACAAUAAAACAAAACAAAAAGAAUAAAGUUCAAGGGAGUUUGGAAAUACUACGACUAAAGACACUUUAUUAGGCUCCCCCCACACUUAGGAGAAGCAUUUUCCUCAAUGAUUUAAGAAGAAAAAUGAAAGAAACAAGGAAAAAGUGGGAAAGGAUGCGGAAAGCUCACAAUUUGCUAAAAAAAAAAAUUUGAAUCCUGGAGGCCUGUUCGGUUGGCACGGCCGUGCCAACAUUAGCACGGGUCGUGCCAUCUUCCUGCCAACUUUGGUUGAUUUUGUGUUGUGGAUCAUGGCACGGCCGUGCCAACUCAAGCACGGGCCGUGCCACCUUUCUAGGUCUUGUAACUUUAAUUUUUCUUGCGUUUCUUAAUCAAUCUCGAACAUUUACCUACAAAACAAAGAGAUAUAACAGAAAACCAAGAAAGCAAUUAAAUCAGUGGGUUGCCUCCCACGAAGCGCUCUUUUAUUGUCACUAGCUUGACAAAGAUAAGGAUAAAAAUCCUUAAGGAGGGUCACUUAAAAGUAAAAUCAGCCACCACUUCAUUUACUUCUCCGGUAUUAUAAAUUUAAGUCUUUGCCCAUUAACCGUGAAGGAUCCUGUUUCUUCAGAAAAUAUUUCAAUUGCCCCAUAAGGGUAGACCGUGCGAACUUGAAAUGGACCGGACCAUCGCGACCUUAGUUUACCUGGAAAGAGCUUUAGCCUAGAAUUAAAGAGCAACACAAGGUCACCGCUUUUGAAGUGCUUUUUGAUGAUUUUCUUGUCAUGCCAAUGAGUUAAAAUACUACUUACCUCGUUUUCAGGAAUGCAUCUUCUGAAAAUCCCAUCUGAGCCUCUUCUGAAGAGGUAAGGCUCAUCCCAAUAGUAGCGCUUGAGAUCAUUGAAGAUCUUCUUCUUUUGUUGGUAGCUCAACUCAGGUGGUAGCACUCCUGCUGCAAGAAAAUUAACAAAAUCUGCAUACCAAGGUGCGUUAGUUUGUGCCAAUAAGAAGAGUUGGUCAUCCGGGAAGGAAUCAUCCAAGGGUAGCUCAUCCUCAUACUAGUUGUCAGCGACAACAUUUUCGACACCCUUUUUAUCUUUUAUUUCAAGGUCAAAUUCUUGGAGGAGCAAAAUCCAUCGGAUCAACCUCGAUUUGGCAUCUUUUUUGUUUAGCAAAUAUUUUAUGGCCGAGUGAUCUGUGUAAACAAUGAUUUUUGAUCCCACCAAGUAUUGCCUGAAUUUGCCAAUGGCGUAGACAACCGCUAGCAAUUCUUUUUCUGUUGUGGCAUAAUUUACCUAUGCCUCAUCUAGGGUCUUACUGCAUAGUAUAUGGCAUGCAUCUUUUUUUCCUUUCUUUGGCCUAACACCGCCCCAACCGCAUAGUCGCUUGCGUCACACAUUAUUUCAAAAGGCAAGCUCCAAUCUGGUGGUUGUAUGAUUGGGGCAGUAAUCAGUGCUUCUUUCAACCUGCAAAAUGCCUGUAAACAAGUAUCAUCGAAGACAAAGUCUGCGUCCUUAAGAAGUAGACUUGUUAGUGGUUUAGUGAUUGAUGAAAAAUCUUUAAGGAAACGGCGGUAGAACCCUGCAUGUCCUAGGAAACUUCUAAUUUCUUUGACUGAGGUGGGAGGUAGCAUUUUUUCAAUAAUUUCGAUUUUUGCUUUGUCUACCUCUAUACCUCUUUCGGAGACCAAGUGUCCUAGGACAAUUCCUUCUCUUACCAUGAAGUGACAUUUCUCCCAAUUCAAGACUAGGUUCACCUGCUCACAUCUUUCCAAAACUUUUUCAAGGUUAGUCAAACAAUUAUCAAAACUAGAUCCAUGCACAGAAAAAUCAUCCAUAAAAACUUCCAUUAUCUUUUCAACAAAGUCAGAAAAAAUGGACAUCAUGCAUCUUUGAAAAGUAGCAGAGGCAUUACAAAGACCAAAAGGCAUCCUCCUAAAGGCAAAGGUUCCAAAUGGGCAUGUAAAAGUUGUCUUUUCUUGGUCAUUAGGGUGAAUGGGUAUUUGAAAAAAUCCGGAAUAACCAUCUAAGUAACAAAAAUGUGAAUGCUUAGCUAACCUUUCUAACAUUUGAUCUAUAAAAGGGAGAGGGAAUUGAUCUUUACGAGUUGCUUUAUUAAGCUUCCUGUAAUCAAUACACAUUCUCCAACCGGUGACAGUUUUAGUAGCAAUGGAUUCAUUCUUAUCAUUUUUAAUAACUGUGAGACCACCCUUCUUAGGUACAACUUGCACGGUUCUAACCCAUUUGGAAUCUAACACCUGCAUCUAGGAGAGUUUUAAAACUUCUUUUUUCACAACUUCUUUCAUAUUAGGGUUUAGCCUUCUUUGAUGUUCAAUGGAGGGUUUAUAAUUGUAACACCCCGAUUUCCCAACAUAAAUAUUAUUAUAAAAUCAGAGUUAAUCAACAAACGGAGUGUUACGCUGCUUUUCAAAAAUUCUUGAAUAGGAUAAAAUGUUAUUCAUUAAAUAAUGGUUUCAAUAAAACAUAUCAAUUCAUCGCAGCGAAAUUUAUUUUCAACAUUAAACAUCCUUCAAAUAAAUCUUGGCACAUAGCCUCAACAUAAAUAUCCUUAAAGAUCUAAUCCAACAAAAGGUUCAUAAUGAUACAUAAGGAAUGAUGAAAAUACAACGACAAAGUUUCCCCAUCCGGUUACGUAUCAAAGCCCUAAGACACAUGUGAGGAAAGUCCACUCACAAUAGCAAAGACAGCAACAUAAGCAACUUGCAACAUAGCAAUAUUAAUAAUAACAACUUGAAUGAUAUAAACAACGAUAAUUUCUAUAUCAUACAUUUUCCACAUAAAAUAUAUAGCUUAAAUUAACCAACAACAUCAAUUAUAUUAGUUUAUAUUGACUGAGAGGCUAUACUUUUAUAAACAACUUCCAUUCCUAUCCCAAGGACCAACUCAUGAACUCAUUGGACCCUUUAUACAACGUUAUCUCCUUCCUAAAACAUUUCUAGAUGGUUAGGAUAAAGUUCAUACACUUAAGAAGAAGUCUGGAAACAUUUGGAGUGAAGAAAAUUGCAUUUUUAAGGUUUCUGGUAAGACAACAUCAGACAUACUAAAAUUACAGAUUUUCUGUCGAAACCGCCUCAUGAUCACUAAAAUCGCCUCAUAAUUUCGACAGCAUCAGAUUUUCACCCUUCACGUUUUCGCGCCUAAAAAUAAAACCGUUAAUCCGUUUUCGAUGCCGUUUUCGCCUACGCGCUCCUAACACUUAGCUCUAUCACAAUAUACAAAAAAAAUCCAGUUUCAACCACCCAAAAAUCGGUUUCCAAAACCUCACAUAAUCACUCAUUUGCAAAAACAUUUAGACACCGACUCUUCAAGCGAAAAUCCCAAUUUUCAUCAAUCCAAACUCAAAAACUGAUUAGGAAUUUAACCUAUGAUUAUUCUACAACAUGAACACCACCUAUUACUUUAAUCCAUCAGAUUAUCUACUCUUUCUACAUCAAUCUAACAAUUUUUAAUCAAUUCCGCACUUUAACCCUAAUUCUCAAAUCCUCCAAAACUAAUCCCACCCUUGUUAAAUUUAAUCAUCGAAAUUACAGACUUAAUAAGAUUGAAUGUUAAUCUCACCCUUACCUUGAAUUGAUGAACAAAGCUCUACAAAAAUCAGAUUCUCCCCUCUUGGCUCUUCUCCCUAGCUUUCUCUUGGUUUUUCUCCCAAAAACUAUUUUUACGUGAAAACUUUUCUAAACCUAGCUUCCUCUUUAUAUCUCUCCUCAAUCCCUUUUAUCUUAUUUCCUCUAUUUCCACUAAACUCUUCUAAAUUCCAAAACAGCCCCACAUCUCAAUAUUUAUUUUAUUUUCAAAUCUUAUUCUAUUAAAUACUAAAAUAAGCCACUUAAUAAAUCACAUAAUCAUUUAAAUAUAUUCUAAACUCAUUAAAAAUAAUCAAAUAAAACAAAUAAUUUAAAGAGGGUGUUACAAUAAUCUUCUUCAAGAAGUAUCCUAUGCAUGCAUAAUGAAGGAUUUAUUCCUUUAAUGUCGUCAAUGGUGUAUCCUAUAGCUUUAGGAUAAUUCUUGAGGACAUAAAGUAACUUUUCGGUUUCUACUUCAUCGAGGCUUGCAUUCACAAUAAAAGGGUAGGUAGAGUUAGGGCCCAAGAAUUCAUACCUUAGAUUUGAUGGAAGCGGUUUGAGCUCUACUUUUGGUGCCCCUUUGGAUAGAAGUGCUGGUUCUUCCUUUACUAAUUCCUCCACACUUAAACCUUCCAUUGGAGGGGUUCUAUUCAACAACUCUUCAUAAGCUUUUGCCUCCCCUUCUAGCUUUGUACCUGCAUUAUUUACCAAGCAUACUUCCAGACCAUCAUGGUCGACUUAAGUUCCCCUACUCCCAACCUCUCAUAAAGGGAUAAAGGCAUUAAGCUGACACUUGCUCCUAGAUCACACAUAGCUUUCUUCACUACUUCUGACCCUAUGACACAAGGUAUGGAAAACCUAGCUGGGUCUUUAAGCUUUGGUGGCAAUUUAUUUUGGAUGAUGGCACUACAUUCUUCCGUAAGGUUAACCGUCUCACCUUCCUCAAUUUUUCUCUUUUUAGAAAGGAUUUCUUUUAAAAAUUUUGCAUAGGUAGGCAUUUGGGUUAAAACUUUGGUGAAAGGCACAUCAAUGUAUUUUUUGUUCAUCAUUUCUAUGAACUUUUUAAAUUGCUCAUCUAGCUUAGAUUUGGCAAACCUUUGUGGGAAGGAAAUUUUUGGCUUAAAGGGAGGUGGUGUGGUCUCCUCAACUCGUGGUUCUUCUCUUUCUACCCUGGUUUCCCUAACCGGUGGUUCGCAGAUCUCUCUCUCACUUUCAUUGGAUUUGGUUCUCCCUAUAGGGUCUUCUAGUGGCUUACCACUCCUAAGUAUAACAACAUUCAUUUUGUUGGGUUAGCCUACCUUAUGAACUACUUGGGAGAGCUGUGUUUAUGAAGUUUUGUUGUGAGAGGAGAUGGAGUCUAUCUUUGUUGUGAGAGUAGCAAGAGAGUCGCUCAAAAGUUUAGUUUGAUCCUUAAGCUCUUGGAGCUGUUCGGAUUGUUUAAGAAAAUAGUUUUCCAUUAAAAGUUCAAUGUGAGACUUUUGAACAACUCUUUGGCUAUUUUGAACAAAAUUUAACUGCUCAAUACUACCUAGUUUGCAAUCGAUGCUAGAAUGACUACAUAGGCCACAUGCUUCACAUGGAGGUGAAAAGGUAGGUGUGACAACACAAGUAUUCAUGUGAUCAAGUAUUUGAGAUAGUGCAUUCACCUUGGUAGAUAGAUAGUCAAAGGAAGAGAUUUUGUUCAUACCUGCCUCUUUUUCAGAGGGUGAAGAAUUGAUGAUUGCUUUCUCUUCAGUCCAUUAAAAAAGGUUUAGAGCCAUGUCUUCAAUCAAGGCAUAAGCUGUUGUAAAAUCCUUGUUCAUUAGGGCACCACCUGCAGCUGCAUCAACAGUUAACUUAGUGUUAGAUGUUAAACCAUUGUAAAAGGUGUGGAUGAUUAACCAUUUAUCCAAACCAUGAUUGUAACACCCCGCUUCCCAAAAUCACUUAAAAUAAUAUUAAUUCAUCAAUAAUCAGAGUAAUCAUAACGGGCAUGCCACAUUUCUUCAUUUAAAAUUUGUUAAAUAGAGUAAAUAUAAAAAAAACUAUUUAAUCAAACGUCGUUCGUAAAUUGUCAUUAAAACUCGCAGCAGAUUAUUUGCAACAUCACCAAGUCAACAAUAAUUAUUCUUGGCAUAAAAGCCAUUUCAACAUAAAAUUCGAUUCAUCAAAGGGCUACAUCAGCAAUAUUUCAAGAUUGAUACAUAGGAAAGAAUUCAAGCAAUAAAAAUCUCAUCCCACGUAUCAGAGCCCUAGACACUGUGAGCCACCACCUACUACUCAGGAUCACCUGCAAGUUACCCAUAGGAAGGGCAACAUUUUCAAGAAAAAGGGGUGAGAUUCUCAAACAAUAAUAAUAAUAUAUAAUAACAUAAAUGAAUCUAACAUCCUUUCAACAUAAUCAUUCAUCAAAUAUAAGUAUAACAUUAUUAGCAACUUCAGCACCAACAGUAAUUAAUAGACAGAAAUCAACGACUCAUGCAUGACAUGACGACUCCACUAAGACUCCUCAACAAAUGCAACUAUGCAUGUGGUACCAUAUCAGAGCCAAAGCUCUCAUCGUUGUAGAAUGGUUAAAGCAUUCUUUUAUCAGGACAUGAGUCCUCAUCGUUAACAUCGUUUUGAACAACAUCGUGUUCCAUCGUUUUGAACGACAAGGCGUUCCAGGGCAUGAGCCCUCAACGGUUGAAUGAUUAACAUUCCAGGGCAUGAGCCCUCAACAGAUUGAAUGACAAAGCAUUCCAGGGCAUAAGCCCCCAACAAUUUGAAUGACAAAGCAUUCCAGGGCAUGAGCCCUCAACGGUUGAAUGACGAGCAUUCUAGGGCAUGAGCCCUCAACGGUUGAAUGACAAAGCAUUCCAGGGCAUGAGCCCUCAACAGUUUCCUAAUCAUGAAAGGACUCCACUUGUGUAUAUCAGCAUACAACUCAACUACGACAACAACAACAUAGGCAACGACAACGAUCGUGCAUAAUAACUCACUCACUCCCCAACUUGGUCAACAUCAACAACCUAUGACUCCGUUACUUAGAACGACAACUUGCAACCUUACAACCUGAACCAACAUCUUGUAUAAUCCAAUUGAAUGCAUUUAUCCAUAAACCAACAAUCAGCAGCAAAUCAUAUUCAAUCAACAGCAACAUAUAAUAAUAAGCAGCGAGACAACAACGAUAAUAACCAUCAUAUACAACAAGUAGGACUCAUAUCAACAUCUUUCAUAAUAUAUAACUAUCUCCUCAUUUGUUCAUCAACCUAAGUCGACGUCAAUAAACAUUAUAAACAUCCUCUCUGAAUCUCCGUAUAAUCAAGAAUAACUUCUCUCCUACCUCAAGGGUCUACUCAUAACAUGGGUUAAAUACUCUUAGACACCUUAAUUGAACUCAUAUUACUUCUAGUUUUGAGCCUUUGAAUUAUCCCAUAAGUUUUGGAUUAACUUAAAAAGGGUUAUGCUGAAUUUUCAUAAGAUUUCACUAAGACCUCCUUGGAGUAUUUUCAUCAUAACUCCUAAACCAAAUAUCAUUUUCGAGUCAAACCAAAGCCAUUGGAAAGCUAACAAAAUUAUCUACAACUUUCAUGUUUACACCAAAACCCAGUUCAAAGCAGAAACAUGUGAAACAGACGCAAGAACAUAAAACAAGGAAUGCUGUCACUGGGCAAUUUCGCUAAUGGCGAAAACUGAGCUAAUAGCGAAAUAGUUACAGGGAGUUUCGCUAAUAGCGAACUCCUAGCGAGUUUUUCCCUUGCUGUUACGAUUUCUGCACAAUUUUCACCCAGAAAAACCAAAUUUCAUCUACCGAAACCCCAAAUUUGAUAGGAAACUUAACCUAUGAUUAUUCUACCACCUGAACAUCAAUUCUUAACACAAUUGCCAUGGUUUCUACACUUUUCAAUCCAAGAAUCAUACUCCCAAAACCUAAACCCCAAUUCCCAAUUCACCAAAUUUAUUCAUAACUUUUGCCAAACAGAAUCAGAAUUAUAUAAACUAAAAUAAUUGCAAGUUAGUCUCACCCUUACCUUAGAAUUGUAAACACAAAAGUACGACAAAUCAAUCCCUAAGCUCUUCUCUCUUGGUCUUCUCCCUUGCCUUAGCUUUUUCCUCUCCCACUUGUUUUCACGUUAAAACUGUUUCUGACUUUUCUUUCCUUCACUUCUCAAAAUUAUAACUUCCCCUUUUUCAUUAAAACCUCCCUUAUUAUUAUUAAUUUCUAAUUAAUCCCCAACCUCCUAAAUAAUUCCCUUAUUUUUAUUAUUCUAUUUAUAUUAAAUAAUUUAUAUAAAUAAAUACUACACACUGCAUAUAACACAUAUAUUAAUUAAAAACACACAAAAGACUCUAACUAAUUCUAAAAAUAAUAAAAUAACGACUAGGGCGUUACAAUGAUGGGGACAAAGUCUAAGUAUUUCUUUAAAACGCUCCCACAACUUUCGUGUUUACACCUAAGACCAAUUAUGUACCAAUCAAUACGAACAUAUAACAUAACAAAAUAUCACUCAUCAAAAUAAAUCAUAUAAAUCACACAAAUCAUAUAAUUAUAUUCUAAACUCAUUAAACUAAUCAAAUAAUUAAAGAGGGCGUUACAACUCUCCCCCCCUUAAAAGAAUUUUGUCCACGAAAUUCAAAGCACAAAAGAAAUGAAUUCAAUUAUUGCUUAAAUAUCUUAAACUACAUAUAGCCAAAUAGAAACUUCAAACAAAACAUACAAACCACAUUAAAGUUAGUCAAUCAAACAUGAUCACAUAAUAAACAUAAUUAUUAAUCAGAAACACAACAACAACCAAUCAAAUAGCAUAAAGAUAGUAAUACAACUAUUACUCGACACAACUCGACUCAACUACUUGGCCGAACGGACUGACCUGCUCUGAUACCAAUUGUAACACCCCGUUUUCCCAACAUAAAAAUUUCAUAAAUUAAUCAGAGUAAAACACCUUAAACAGAAUGUUACACUUCUUUUCUUAAAAAUCAUAAAUGGAAUAAUUAAAUAAUUAUCCUUCAAAUUUCAACAAUGUAAUAAUUAAACUUUGCAGCGGAAUUAAUUCAACGACAAUAAAAGCUUCAACAACAUGUUUCCAAAAUUGAUACAUAAAGGAAUGAUAAACAUAGCAACAAUUUCCCAUCCCGUUACGUAUCAGAGCCCGAAGACACUUGAGUCACCACUCCUACCAAUCUUUAAUACCUGCAAGUUACUCAUACGAAGAGCAACAUCUCCAAGCAGAAGGGGUGAGAUUUCACAAAACAAUAAUAUUAAGCAUAUAAUCCAACAAUUAUAUUUAACAACAUGAAAACAUCAUAAUAUUCAUCAUAGAUAAUAAUAUAUCAUAUAUCACUUCAUUAAUAGUUCAUAUAAAGAAUCACAGCUUUAACAACUUGACAACUUAACAUCUUUAACUUGACAAAUGCGACUCCAACUCGACUAUGCAACUUAGACCUCUUAUAUGCAUGUGGUACCAAUACAGAGCAUCAAGCCCCCAUCGCUAUUUGAGUAUUACCAUACUCCAGAGCAUCAAGCCCCUAUCGCUAUUUGAGUAUUACUAUACUCCAGGGCAUCAAGCCCCUAUCGCUGAAAUGCUAAUGCAUGGACUCGACUUCUUAAACAUCUUAAAUCGACAACCUCUUAUAUAAUUCAAUAAUUUGGAACUUCAUCAUCUUAAUCAACUUAGACCGACUCAUGCAGCUUAGUUAAAUAACAACAGCGACACAUCAGCAUACAAAAACGGCAUGACAUAAUAAUAUCAAAUGCAAGCCAAUCAACAUCUCAAAACAUCAUAUAUACAUAUAAAACUUCAUCAAUCAUGGACAAUAUCGAAUUCACAAACAUAUACAUACAUAUAUUAAUUCAUCAAUCAUAUUCAAUUAUUCACAGUGACCUAUGUGCAGUAAUCUGACCAUAACUCAAGUUCUAUAAAUCCUUUUGAAGUAAAACUAACGGCAUUAGAAAGCUAACAUCCAUACCUACAACUUUCGUGUUUACACCUAAGACCAAUUAUUUACCAAUCAAUACCAGUUUUCAUUUCAAAUUCGGACAAAGUUGUUCUGAAAUUCAUAAAAAUUCACUGUGACCUACGUGCAGUAAUUUGACCAUAACUCAAGUUCUAUAAAUCGUUUUGACGUCCGACCAACGGCAUUAGAAAGCUAACAUCCAUACCUACAACUUUUGUGUUUACAACUAAGACCAAUUCUGUACCAAUCAAUACCAUAUUUCGUUUCAAAUUCGGGGCAGAGAUGAAAAGAAAAAAUAAGAAAAAGCAACCUAUAUUAUUCAACUUCACUUUCAUUCAAAAUCAUCACUCUUAACAAUUUUUCAUCAAUUAAUCUCAAAUUUCUCACUUGAACCCUAAUUCUCAAAUUCUCUAAAACCAAUCCUACAGUUGUUAAAUUUAAUCAUCAGAAUUACAGACUUAAUAGAAUUGAAUGCUGGUCUCACCCUUACCUUAAUAAAUCGAUCAGGCAGCCUCUUGAUAGAUAAUUAGCAAGUGUACUAACUUAUAUCGAAGUAAUAAAAUUUAUAAGAUUCGUUUCCACAGGGACUGUUUCAACUUCUACUCGGUAGUAACGUUAUUAUUAAGGAUGUUUGUAAAAUGGGGGGUGCACUGAGGCAAUUGGUUUAAUUUGCAAGUUAAAAUAAAAUGGUUAAGGAAAAAUUGGUUUAAGAAAUAAUAUGGAGUGAUGACUAGGUCAUUCGAUUCAUCUGCUCAUCGCUCAUUAGCAACAUGUUUCUUACGUUUACGAACGCUAUAAAGUUUACGACAAAUUAACAAAAUAGCUUAGGUCAAUCCCUUGAUCCUAAGCCCUCUUUUCUGAUUAUAAUUCCCUAAUCCCUUAGGUGAACCUAUAGUCAUCAAAGGUUUUAAGUCCGUUAAUUCAAGUAUCACAACCUAACAACGCUCCAUCCCUAGAUUGUCCGUUAGAUUGAACAGUAUAAAUAUGUCAGAGUUAAACGCUAGUGUCAGUAGUCAUAUAUACUCUAAAAUCAAUUAUAUUGGGUCAUAAUCAUAAAAGCUUUAAGAACAAUUUAUACUGAAUAAACUAGAAUGGCAUUCAUAAAGAUUAAGAGUUGCAGGUUACAUAAACAUGAGCUAGAACAAAAUCAUCUCUUGACCUAAUCACAAAGGAUCUAGCUACUCAUGACUAAAGCACAAAUAACUAAUGUAAAAGAAGGAUUCAUUACAUGAAAUUGGUAACCGAAUAUGAGUUUCGAUGGUCUCACACCUUCUCUCCAGAUCUCCAGCUCCAAAAGUCAGUUUCUUUCUCCAAAUUUUCCAACCCUUGGCUCAGAAAACAACUUCCCUUUUAUAGGAAAAUUCUCAGAUACGCCAAAAUCGUACUCCGAUGCUGUAAAUCGGAGCACGAUGGCUUCAUUAAAGUCAUAUCCUGGCUGGAGCGUCUGCCAAAUCGUAGCCCGAUUUGGUUCCAUCGGAGCACGAUUUUUUACGAGACAAAAUGUCUCAAAUUUGCUGUAAAAUCGGAGCACGAUGCUGUAAAUCGGAGCACGAUUUCUUAUUUGUUUGCCAACAUCAAAUGUGUCAUUUGAAGCUUCUAUCUCAUGCAAAAUCACCCGAACUCAACCAAAAUUACAUAAAAACUAUAACAAAAGUGAUAUAUGACCUAGUGUCAUCACCUCUCUUGGUUCUUCUCUUCUCUUCUCUUACUUCUCACUUUCUCCCUUUUUCUCUCAAAAGCAGUUUGCACCAAAUCCUUAUUUUCUAAUUCUAACUCUCCCCUUUUAUAAAUAUCUUUAACCUACUUAUUUUUCUCUUAUAUUCAAAUCUCCCUAAAAUCUCAAUAUUCUAUUGUAAUAUAUAAAAUAUAAAAUAUAAAAUAUUUCUAUAACAAUUAUCAAAUAUAUCUUUAUAACAAAUAUAUUUCUAAUAUAUAUAUAUAUAUAUAUAUAUAUAUAUAUAUAUAUAUAUAUAUAUUUCUAAACCAAAUAACAUAUAUAUUUCUAAACCAAAUAAUAUAUAUAUUUCUAAACAAAAUAACAUAUAUAUUAUACUAAUAAAUACCAACAUAUAACAUAACAAAAUAUCACUAUCAAAAUAAAUCAUAUAAAUCACACAAAUCAUAGAAUUAUAUUCUAAACUCAUUAAAAUAAUCAAAUAAUUAAAGAGGGCGUUACACUGACUUAAUUAUUAUUAGUUCCCUUGAAGAUCGAAACUAUAUGUCUCAAAGAUUGCAAAGACUAUUUCGCUACCAUUGCAAUCCUUGUCUAAAUUCACUUGUUCGAAUAUCAAACCUCCACUUUCGUUUUAUGAAUUGAUAUUUGAGAUGAUGGAUAAACAAUUAUCAAACCCUCCACUUUCAUUUCCACAGUUUGAUAAUGGUUGAUCCAUGUUAAAGCGGUGAAUUUAGAUAAGCAAUUAGGGUUACAUAAGAUUAAGGCUUAGAGCUUGGCUUGAUUAGGAUUAUGUCAUUUAGACUUAUCCAACAAUCCCAAGACAAGGAGAAGUCUACUCACUCAUGUUCAUCGUAGACAUGGGGAAGAAGAGAGAAAGCAUAAAAGUAAAUGACAAGAAAGUAAAGGAAAAGAAAAGAACUUUUAUUAGAAAAGCAAUUGUCACUUAUUGAAUUCCAAGAAAAGAUGAAUAUUCGUGAUGGCUAGCUACUCUAUUUAUAGUUUACAUUCGACUUAAAAUCUAAGCAAUCACUAGAAUGUUCCACAAGUAAACUAAAACAGAGUAGCUUAAAAUCUAAGCAAAAGCAGCAAAAGCGAUUCUGGAGGGUGGCACGGCCGUGCCAAUGCUGGCACGGGCCGUGCCAAGCUUCUGACUUUGGGGAGACAUAUUUUGUCUCCAAAUCUUCCUAUUUUUGUACCGAAUCAGCUCCAAAUCCCUUUCUUUUGCUCCAAGACUCAAUCCAUCAAAUAUUCUUUCCUGAAAUAUAAUAAAAUGCAAUUUGUAGUAAACUAUCUUAAAAAGGAAAUAAUACUAAUAUAAAAUAAAAUAAAAUCUAAUUAAAACUAAACUAAAUAGCAUAUAAAAAUAGGUAUUAAAUGACUCAUCAGGUGCGUUCAUGAAAUACAUGGUUAGCUGCUAUAUGUAAAGCGCUUUCAAAUAUCUCAAAACCCUUAAGGCAGCAACAUGAUGAGUAUGAGUAGGAGCAGAUAGAAAUUGACUCAAUUGUUGUGUGAUAUAGGUGAUGUCUGGUCUGGUGAUAUUUAGGUAGAGUAAUCUACCAAUCAGCCUUCUAUAGGAAGAAAUGUCUUCAUAGGGUAAGGCACCAUCCUUGUGUAACUUGAUAGAGGGGUCAGAAGGAAAGGAUGCAGGUUUAGAACCAAUGGCACCUGAAUAUGCAAGCAAAUCUAAGUAGUAUGCAAGCAAAUCUAAGCAGUAUUUCUUCUGACAAAGAGAGAUACCAAGAUGGGAAUGUGAAACUUUUUAUCGAGAAAAUUUUUGGUUCAAUUUUUUUAAGUAUUACACAAUAUAUAAUGGCCAGACAAUUAAACGUAGUAGAACAGUGGACACACGAACACUAACAUGUUAUCUUUCCACUAGUAGUAAGAGAGUCAAUAAAAUGAUCUUCUGAAUGUUAUAUUUAAUUUCUAGUGUACAGGCAAAAGUUGUAUAGUCGCUCUUGCGUCACUAGACGAUAACAGAGAUGAAACCUCUUAGAGGAAUCAAAUGCAUUGCAGGAGUAUUAGGCAAUGUAAAGAUAAAAGCUUUAUGGGAUAUGCAAGAACCACACAUGUUAAACUGCCUUUAUUCAAUGAACAAAAUGCAAAUGCAUUUAUAUUUUCAAAUGACAACUGCUGUAUAGUACGGAAAUUUUGGAUGCGAAUUUUUACGAAUUUGGAGUACAAUUGCGAAAGCUGAAUUAUUUCCCUCUCCCACGUGCAGCUUCGACAUUUUAUCAAAAAAUAAAAAUAAAAUAAAAAUACACCCUUCGUAGUAAUGCAAACCAAACAGUGUCAUCCUCUCAAGUGUUGUUAUCUACUUCGUUUUUUGAACAUUCUUUUAAUUGCUCAAAGAGAUAAGAGUGUGGACUCUAUGAAACUCAUUGUGUAUGAUGUACGAAAUCCUCACUUCACUCUUAUUUUAAUUUGUUAACAUGGAAUACAUAAAUUAUAUGAAGUAUCUUAUUAAUAGUCAUUCGAGUUAUGUAACAGUGAGAACCUUGAUUCCUAAAAUCUAAAUUAAAAACAGAAUAUUCUUCCAAAUAAUUAGUAACAAGCUGAAAACCCACCAGCAGUAGGGGUGAUAUGAAGGCCAUAAAUUAACUUUUCGGGGCCUCUGCAAUUGAUUUCUGCAAGCCCUCGUAAACAUGACGAACAUAAAUACAAAUUAAGGAGGAGGAGGUUAUGGUGGAUCAACGGUGGCACCAUGGGUCGAUACAGGCAAGGCGGUUGUUGUAACACCCUGUUUUCUCAACUUGAAAAUUUCACAUAAAAAUCAUAGUAAUUCAACAUAAACGGAAUGUCACACUUUUUUUCAUAAAAUCAUAAACGGAAUAAAUUCACUAUUUAUUGUCCAACUUAAACAUCAUAUCAUUUAUUACUUGUCAACGGAAAUUAUUUCAACGUUUAAAACAACCUUGGCACAAAGGCCUCAAUGUAAAAUCUCAUAAAAUUAUUCCAACAACAUGUUCAUAAAACUUCAUAAAAUAAAACGUAAAGAACAUAAAGCAACAACAAAAUUUCCAUCCUGUUACGUAUCAGAGCGACCCUAAGACACAUGUGAGAGAAUCGACUAACUUCAACAACUAAUCUUGAUUACCUGCAAGUUACCCAAUUGUGAGGGCAACAUUUCCAUGCAGAAGAUGUGAGAUUUCACAUUCAAUAAUAAUAAGCAUAUAAUUCAUCAAAAUCAUUUAACAACUUAAACUUCAUCAAUUAAUAACAUUAACUCUUCUUAUAAUACUUCAUUAAUAACUCAACCAACUUCUAAACAUCAUUAACUUCAUAUUCAUCACAUUAUAUACAACAUCAUAUAACACAUAAUAAUCAGAUUAUAAACAUCAUCUGAUAACGAAAUAAUCAUCACAUCAUAAUAUCAUUUUAUAACAACAUAAACGAUACAUCAUAAACAUCAUCUUAAAGAACAUCAUAACAACUUAACAACAUCAUAAUCAACAUCAUAAACAACAUCAUAUAAUCUUCAUAAGCACUUCAUUUACAACAUGUGGAUAGAAGACAACUCAACAACUUAAUAACUCAUGGAUGACAACUCAUCAACAACGACUUUGACUCGACAAUGCAACUUCGACUUCUUAAUCAUGCAUGUGGUACCAAUCCAGGGCAUCAAGCCCUCAACUUAUUUGAGCAUUAAUAUACUCCCAAGGCAUCAAGCCCUCAACUUAAUUGAGUAAAGGCACCAGAGCAUCAAGGCCCAACGUAUAGAGAUAAAUAUACUCCAAGGUAUCAAGCCCUCAACUUAAAGAGCAAAAGCUCACAGAGCAUCAAUCCCUCAACAUAAGAGCAAAAGCUCACAUAACAUCAAGCCCUCAACUUCAAAUGAGUAUGCAAGGACUCAACAACAUACAACUUGGACAACAUCAACAACUUAUAUGACUCCAAUAUCUUGGAACAACAACUUGACAACUUUGACUAACAUAUGAAACUUAAUGAUUUAAUCAUCAAUACAGCAGAGAUAACAACAUACAACAACUUCACAACAUAGCAUCAUUAAAAAUAACAACUUGAACGAUAUAAACAAUAAUAAUUUUUAUAUCAUACAUUUUCAACACAUUAUAUAAAUAUCUUAAACUAACCAACAAUCAUUAAUCAUUUGAUUCAGGCUCUCUGUAAGUCUAUAAAUUAAUAAUAACUUCCAUCCUAUCCCAAGAUCAACUCACAACAUAGGUUAAAUACUCUUAAACACCUUAAUUGAACUCAUAGUACUUCUAGUUUUGAGGUUUGAAAUUAUCCCAUAAGUUUUGGAUUAACUUAGAAAUGAUUAUACUGAAUUUUCAUAAGAUUUCACUAAGACCUACUUUGAGUAUGUUCAUCAUAUCUCAAGCACCAAAAAUCAUUUUCACAUCAAACCAAAGCCACUGGAAAGCUAACUCAAUUAUCUGCAACUUUCAUGUUUACACCAAAGGCCAAUUCAAAACAGAAACGUGUGCAAAAGACGCAAGAACAUGAAACGGAACGUGCUGUCAAAGAGCAACUCGGGAAAAACCCACUUUUCACCCCAAAAUCUCAAUUUUAACUUCCCUAUGCCCAAAUUUGAUCCAAAAACUUGUCUAACCAUUUCUAUACAUGUUAAGUCACUCAAAACCAUAUAAAACAUUGUACUAAAAAUAACCCACGAUCUGAACAUCAAUUCUACCAAAUUCAACGGCUUUUCUACUCUAUUAACAACCAAUUACAACUUCAAAACCUAAUUCCCAAAUUUCCAUAACUACAAACUACAACAUGCUAAACUCAAUUUCAUAAUUAUACAACUUAAAAUUAGAGAAAGUUAGUCCCACCAUUACCUUAGAUUGAUCGACGAAGGACUCUACCGCUUUCUCUCCUCUAACUCUUCUCUUCUCUUGGUUUUCUCCAAAAACAGGUUUCACGUAAUCCUUAUUUUCUAAUUCUAACUCUACCAUUUUAUAUAAAUCCUUAACCUACUUAUUUUCUCUUAUUUCCAAAUCUCCCCUCAAAGUCUCAAUAUUCUAUCCAUAUAUAAAAUAUUUCUAUAACAAAUAUAUCUUUAUAACAAAUAUAUUUCUAUAACAUAUAUAUUUCUACACCAAAUCAGAAAUAUAUUUCUACACCAGAUAACAUAUAUAUUUCUACACCAAAUAACAUAUAUAUUUCUACACCAAGUAACAUAAUAUUUCCACACCAAAUAACAUAAUAUUUCUAAUCAAAAUAACGUAAUAUUUCCACACCAAAUAACAAAUAUAUUUCGACACCAAAUAACAAAUAUAUUUCCACACCAAAUAACAUAAUAUUUCAACGCCAAAUAACAUAUUAUUUCUACACCAAAUAACAUAAUAUUUUAUACUAAUAUAUACCAACAUAUAACAUAAUAAAAUAUCACUCUUCAAAAAAAAUUCGACUAAAUUAUAAAAAGACAUCUAAACUCAAUUAAAGUAAAUAAAUAAUAAAAUAGGGCGUUACCGUUGUAGUGAUAUUGAUGAUUGUCGAGAAUGUAGCGUAAAAAAAGGACUAGGUGGUGUAGCGAUGUGUAUGUUCAGAUUUGGAUUUGGAUUUUAGUUGAGAUUAAUUUAGAAUUAGAAGGGUGUCAACCCAUAAUUUCCCAUUUAAUCAUCGAAUUUCGCAUUCUAUUGUUCGUACCACAUAGCAUUUUCCUUUUCAAAUUUUUAAUUGUAGAUUGUUUUCUCUUUUCCAUGUUGUUUUAUUUGUUUUUCACUUCCAAGACAAAAAGUGGGAAGUCUAUAUAAGUGGGCUUCACGUGUUGAGUAAACAUAUUAAUCUUCCUAGCUAAUAUAUAACGUUUAUAAUCACAACAUUUCAGAUCAAUGUAGUAAUAAGUUACUCAUCCAUUUUACAUCGAUUUUCCACCAUUUUACAUCAAUUUUCCACCAUUUUACACAAAUUAAAAUUAAAAUUUAAAUAAUCAGAUUUGUUAAUAUAAAUCCACUUAGUUUUUGGAAUAGGUAUUUUAACAAGUUUAUAACUGCUACUAGUAGAGUGUCCUUUAUAAAUCCAAGUCAUUUGAUUUAAAACUAUUAAAUAAAUGGUAAAAAUUGCACUUCCAUAUGAAUAAAUAAAUUUAAUCAUUUGUGCAUCCUAUAAACUACCAUCAAGUUAUAACUAAAAGAGAAAUAUAUUUUUACAACAUUUUAGUACAACUUUUCUACAACUUUCUUUCUCAUACUUACAUUAUGUUUUUAUUCUCUUUUUUUUUCUUCCUCUCUUCAUUGUUUUUGACCAAUAAAAAUAGAGAACAAUAAAGUUGUCUCAAAGGUGUACCAAAAUGGUUGUUAAAAUAUCACUGCUCUAACUAAAAAGUGAUUAUAUAUAUAUAUAUAUAUAUAUAUAUAUAUAUAUAUAUAUAUAUAUAUAUAUAUAUAUAUAUAUAUUUCAAGGUGUAUGUUGCUAAGCACUCUUAACCAUUAAGUGAAUAUAAAUUUAUGGAUUUUAUAGAUAUUUGUUAGGAUAUACUCACUUAUUUUAUAAGAGUAUGUUAAAUGCAUCCUAAGAUGCUAAAACACUCCUUUAUAAAACAAAGAUGAUGUAUUCUAAUAAAAGAGAGAAUAUAAUAAUACUUAUAGGGAUAAAUAAGUUUUUGACCUCUAAAAUUUUAAAAUUUUUCUUUUAAUACCUGUAAAAAAUUUCAUCAAAUUUUAAUCCCUAAAAUAUUUUUUGCACAAUCCUAGCUUGUUUUUAAGUAAACUCAUGUGAAUCCUUCAAAAUUUUAAAUUGUUUUUUGAAGUCAUGUUUAAUACACUAUAUAAAUAUCUCUUGUAACCAUUUAAAGUCAAACCUUAUUUACAACAAAUGUAAUUUGCUGUAACAUGAUAAGUUUUCAGACUAUGGCGUCAUGUCCAAGACCGACAGAGGAGCAAUUGUUUUGUUGGAAGUUGGAACACAAAAAUUGGGUUGAUACCCUAAGCUUUGUACUCAUUAGAAAUUGGGUUGACACCCUUAAGCUCUAGUAUAGUUAUUUGAUUUAUCUUUUAAUCUUAUGUCCUUCUUAAAAAUGGGAAAUGCCCUUAGAUUGGAGAAUAAAUUUAAAGAAACGAUUCUUUUAGCAUAUGAAUGAAGUUCCUUUUUUUUUUUCUUCAAUUAAAGAGAAGGUAUUUUAAUUUCUUUUCACAUGGUUGUAACAAAAAGGUAAUAGUCAUUUUAAUUUCUGAAUGAGUAAUAAUGUAUCAAAAUUUCAAAAUAAUCAUUGAUUGUCCACUUCGUUAGUCAAAAUAAUUAUUGAUUAUCAUAUUAGUCAUGUUGGAGAUGCCCAAGAUCCAAUCAAUUAUGUAACCAAUUUUAGAAUUAAUAAAUAUUCAUUAUCUUGUUUACUGUUUAGUGAAAUAGUUAAUUUGAUAAUGUCCUUGAUUAAAACUAUAGACUUGUUAUCAUGAUAGAGAUUAUGAUAAUGAGAAACAAGUCUUUUAUUAUUUUUAAUCUAAAUUGUUCUUGAUCGUAUGGUUGUUGUGAAUAGGACAUCAAUAAUCUGGAUAGAUCAAUAUAUAUGUGAUAGUCUUUAUUGGAUAAAGAUUAAUAUAUCUCAUUUAUUAAAUUACAUAUAUAGAUGAUGCAUAUAGUGAUAUGAUCAUUGAACUGACUCAACUGAGAAUUUCUAAUGGUCGAUAUUACCACAAAAAUGUCAAUAGAAAAGUUCUCAAGAAAGAAUAUAAUAAUUUUCUUUGACCUGAGAUUGUCAUAGUAAUUAACAUGUUAUUUAUUGUAUUUUGAUUCUGAACACCUAAUACCUUAGGGUGCUAGUUGAAAGGAUAUUGGAUACAAUUAAAUGCUUGUAUAAUUAAUGACUAAUCAAGAUGGGAUCCGUCAACUCUUGAUAAUGAGUUUGAACUCUAUGAUAAAAUCAAAACCCUGGCCAGGGAAACUAAAUGAAAGAAGAAAUGAGUUUCUUAAGUCAUAUAUGUUAACUUAUUAGAGUUUGACAAUUGUACCAUGCUCUAGAGUUAACCAGAGUUCUAACGACGGAAGAAAAAUAUUAUGUCAUUCUAUUUGGUUCUUGAAAGUAAAAUAAUAUUUCAUACUACCUGGACGUUAAGGAGUGUUACUAGACGCCUACCUUGAUUAAUAUAUUAAUUUGAUUAAUCUAUUACCAGUUUAGUAUUGAACCUACAGGGUCACACACAAACGAGUGUUCUAAUUCUUACUAAAGAAUAACUUUAUUAUUUGAUGAUUAAAUUGAAGAAUUUAAUUAAUCAAAAUAUAAAUUUUCUAAGUGGAAUAUUAUUGUAUUUUUUGCUAGUACAAAGAAUACAAAUAAUACAUAAAUAAAUUGAGCAUGUUAUUUAUUGAAAAAUAAAUAAAUAAGAAAUGUUGUACGUUGCAUUAUCUUUACUAAUUAUAUAUAUAAUCUAUAUAUAGGAAUGAUCAAUGGUUGAUCAUUUAGAAAGAAAAGGAAAUUGUACAACAUUAUAUAUAUACAAUUAUAUAUAGUUAUGUGGAAUCAUAUUGGUCAAUGAUCACCUUAGUUGAAAAAUUAUUUUUCAAAUAAAUUAGCAUUAACAUGUGUUAAUUGUUUUUAUUGAUUGACCAUAUGAAAUAAAAGGUCAUUAAGAUGAGUCAACACAUUUUAUUUGAUAGUAGUGUGUGUGACCUAUAAAUAGACCUUAAGUGAUUUGAUCAAAACCCACAACACAACAACAAGAAAUAUGCUCUAGUUUUCUAGUUCCACUACUCAAAGGUUGAGAGUAAAAAUUGGUCUCGGUGUGGAUACACGUAGAGUCUUCAUAUCAUUGAAGAAUUUUCAUGCUUCAAGAAUUGAUACAAAGGUACACUUUUAGUAUCUAAUUUCGUAAAUUUUAUAAUUUAUGCGCAAAAUAGAUCCAAACUUUAUUCCGUUGCAUGUGUUAUGAACACCUUUUUUACUUCAAUUGGUAUCAGAGCUUUGGAUCUUUUGUGUUUAAAUUAUAAUUUCAGAAGUAUGACAAAGCUGAAUUUUUUAUUUUGUUUGAAGUAAUCAUCGUUACGGCAAUAUGUUGAUAUUUUAAAAUUACAAAUUUGUGAUGUAACGGCGAUUGCUAGCUUGCUAUCUAUUAAAAUACAUGAGAUGUAUAUUUAUUUAUUUAUUUUCGGAAUGUUCCAGUACAUGUGCAUAUUCAAUUUCGUAAAUUUUCUAUAUCAUAUAUGAUGAUAAAUAAACUAAACUAAUUGCAUAUGUUAUAUGAAUUUCGACUUCCUUAUGCUUUCCUCAAUGUAUGUUUUUCUUCAUUGAUAUACAUAUAUACAUGCUGUGUUAUAUAUAUAUAUAUAUGUAUAUAUAAUAAUAAUAAUAAUAAUAUUGAUAUUAGUAUAUAGGGUAUUAAUUUAGUAUAAGAUACAAUUUUAUUAUAUAAUUAAUUGUUGAUAAUAAGAAUUGGCCUGACUACCAGGAAACUUAUAAUUAAUAAUUAAUUAUAAUAAAUGAUAAAAAUGUUUUAUUAUAUAUAAUUAGUAGUAAAAUUCAAGAGUUGAUCUGACUACCAGAAAAUUUGUAUUUAACGACUAAUUAUAGCAUAUGAUGCAUAUUUAAAAUUAAUUAUAUACUUAACGUCUGGACUACCCGGAGAAGUGAUAGAAUUAAUUCAUAAUAAAUAUAUACACUAAUUAUGUGGUAUGAUAUUUAUUUUUGUAUAUGAUACAUCAUGACUUAAAACUUAUAUAUGAGAAACGACUUGACAACCAAGUGUUUUAUAUAUUACUUUUAAGUAAUCUCCCAUUUUUAUUUUUUUUUUAAUGUUCUGACAUCAUAAACAUUUUAUAUGAUAAAAAAAAAAAAAAAAAAGGUAUGUCUUCUCUUUCGCUCCGUGGAAUACUUGAAUCUAGAAAAUUGGUUGGACCCAAUUAUGAUGAUUGGUACCGUAACACGAGAAUUGUUCUCAUGCACGAAAAACUAAUCGACGUCAUUGAUAAGCCAGUUGUGACUGCACCGGUUGAUCCAAUCGAUGUUGAAUCAACCAAGACUUAUGAGAAGUACUUGGAGCAACGUCUCACUACUAAGUGCUAUGGAAUCUAAAAUGGAAUCGAUGAAGAUCAACAAAGUUUGGACUUUGGUUGAGGCUUCAAUGGAUAUUAAAUCUAUUGUUGUAAAUGAGUUUACAAGAAAAAGAUUUAUAGAGAUAGAUCUAAAAGGUUGUGUGGACUCUCUCAGUCUAUGUACAUUGAUACCAUCUUAAGGAGGUAUAACAUGGAAAAUUCCAAACGAGGGUAUUUACCCCUAGGAAUUAGAAUUACUCUUAGUAGGGAGGAUUGUCCGAAAACUCCCAAAGAGAGAGAACGCAUGAGUAGAGUACCAUAUGCUAGCGCAGUGGGAGCUAUCAUGUACACCAGGACUUGUACACGUCCUGAUGUCGCUUAUGCACUUGGUGUAACUAGUCGAUAUCAAGUAAACCAAGAUGAGAAACAUUGAAAAAUGGUUAAGACCGUCCUUAAGUACUUAAGAUGAUCUAAAGACCAAUUCUUCAUUUAUGAAGAAUAGAAUUAACAUACACGACUGAUUGGCUCUAGUGCAAGUGGGAGAUUGUUGGAGAUGCCCAAGAUCCAAUCAAUUAUGUAACCAAUUUUAGAAUUAAUAAAUAUUCAUUAUCUUGUUUACUGUUUAGUGAAAUAGUUAAUUUGAUAAUGUCCUUGAUUAAAACUAUAGACUUGUUAUCAUGAUAGAGAUUAUGAUAAUGAGAAACAAGUCUUUUAUUAUUUUUAAUCUAAAUUGUUCUUGAUCGUAUGGUUGUUGUGAAUAGGACAUCAAUAAUCUGGAUAGAUCAAUAUAUAUGUGAUAGUCUUUAUUGGAUAAAGAUUAAUAUAUCUCAUUUAUUAAAUUACAUAUAUAGAUGAUGCAUAUAGUGAUAUGAUCAUUGAACUGACUCAACUGAGAAUUUCUAAUGGUCGAUAUUACCACAAAAAUGUCAAUAGAAAAGUUCUCAAGAAAGAAUAUAAUAAUUUUCUUUGACCUGAGAUUGUCAUAGUAAUUAACAUGUUAUUUAUUGUAUUUUGAUUCUGAACACCUAAUACCUUAGGGUGCUAGUUGAAAGGAUAUUGGAUACAAUUAAAUGCUUGUAUAAUUAAUGACUAAUCAAGAUGGGAUCCGUCAACUCUUGGUAAUGAGUUUGAACUCUAUGAUAAAAUCAAAACCCUGGCCAGGGAAACUAAAUGAAAGAAGAAAUGAGUUUCUUAAGUCAUAUAUGUUAACUUAUUAGAGUUUGACAAUUGUACCAUGCUCUAGAGUUAACCAGAGUUCUAACGACGGAAGAAAAAUAUUAUGUCAUUCUAUUUAGUUCUUGAAAGUAAAAUAAUAUUUCAUACUACCUGGACGUUAAGGAGUGUUACUAGACGCCUACCUUGAUUAAUAUAUUAAUUUGAUUAAUCUAUUACCAGUUUAGUAUUGAACCUACAGGGUCACACACAAACGAGUGUUCUAAUUCUUACUAAAGAAUAACUUUAUUAUUUGAUGAUUAAAUUGAAGAAUUUAAUUAAUCAAAAUAUAAAUUUUCUAAGUGGAAUAUUAUUGUAUUUUUUGCUAGUACAAAGAAUACAAAUAAUACAUAAAUAAAUUGAGCAUGUUAUUUAUUGAAAAAUAAAUAAAUAAGAAAUGUUGUACGUUGCAUUAUCUUUACUAAUUAUAUAUAUAAUCUAUAUAUAGGAAUGAUCAAUGGUUGAUCAUUUAGAAAGAAAAGGAAAUUGUACAACAUUAUAUAUAUACAAUUAUAUAUAGUUAUGUGGAAUCAUAUUGGUCAAUGAUCACCUUAGUUGAAAAAUUAUUUUUCAAAUAAAUUAGCAUUAACAUGUGUUAAUUGUUUUUAUUGAUUGACCAUAUGAAAUAAAAGGUCAUUAAGAUGAGUCAACACAUUUUAUUUGAUAGUAGUGUGUGUGACCUAUAAAUAGACCUUAAGUGAUUUGAUCAAAACACACAACACAACAACAAGAAAUAUGCUCUAGUUUUCUAGUUCCACUACUCAAAGGUUGAGAGUAAAAAUUGGUCUCGGUGUGGAUACACGUAGAGUCUUCAUAUCAUUGAAGAAUUUUCAUGCUUCAAGAAUUGAUACAAAGGUACACUUUUAGUAUCUAAUUUCGUAAAUUUUAUAAUUUAUGCGCAAAAUAGAUCCAAACUUUAUUCCGUUGCAUGUGUUAUGAACACCUUUUUUACUUCAAGUCAUUCAAUAUAUUUAAUUAUUAUCAUUUUAAUCCUAAUUUGAAAAGAGUUACUACUAGUAUUAAAAAAUUAUUUUAGCUUAAAGACAAUACUCCCUCCGUCCCUUAAUAAAUAACCCAGUUGACAAUAUACAUUAUUGACUUGACAUACUUUGACCAUAUUUUUAUACUAAUUUACAAAGAUAAAUAAUAUCAAGUAAGAUGUUGUUGGAUUCUUCUCGAUGAGUAUUUUUAAAAUAUUAAAUUUUUAUAAUUUUUUUUAGUAGAGAAUUGAAGAUAUCAAAGAUAAAACAUAUGUAUUGGUAUGUGUGUCAGAGUCAACUAGGUCAUUUAUCGAGGGACGGAGGGACUAUUAACUAGCAGAGUGUAUAUAAAGGGAUUUUAAGAGGGGUUUUUCAAAAUUUUAAUCCUCUUUGCGGAAGAAAUCCCAUUGAAACGGAUCUUGAUUAAAUCAUUAAUCACAAAUCAAACAGAAACUUAAACACUUUUAAGAUUCAUGUGUUUACCUCUUGAAGAGCAGAACCUUUGUAGCAGAAAUCUUUCUGAUCACGAGCAAAGCAAAGCAGCGAUGCCUCUACUCAGUCCACACGAACAGAACUUCUCCGAUGACCGGUGCUAGUCAAUUCCAACGAAGAUUCAGAGAGAACAAGGUUUAGAGAGCGGCGGCUAGGGUUUCACAACUUUUGUGAAUUAGGUUAAGCACUCACAAAAAGUUAGUAAUGCUUCAACACAAGGGUUCUAUUUAUAGAAUCACUUGUGUGGACAACAAGACAACACUUAAAUACACUGUACCUUACGGUGAACCGCGUUUCUCUAUUUUUUGGUAAAUUAAAUAAUAAAAUCAUAUUUAAUUAUUUAAUUAAUAAUAAGUCUCACUUAUUAUUUUAUAAAUAAGUCUCACUUAUUAUUUUAUAAAUAAGUCUUACUUAUUUAUUUCUCUCAUCUAUCUGUCCUUUGUGUGUGACCCUAUAGGUUCCCGUAACGUUGGCAAUAAUAUUAAAUCACAUAUUUAAUAUUAUAAACAGUGAGCGGUAUCUAGCAACACAUCACUGCUACCCAAGUGACGAGAAUGUCAUGUGAUCUGACGAAACCUUUCUGUGAUAAUGAUCAUGUGUAUAAUUACCCUUUUGCCCUCAUGUCUAUAUUGAACACAAGGCAUAGACCGUGUCAUCCUUGUCUAGUUCAAUAUUGGGCCCGUAGACAUUUCUCCUGUUAUGUAGGAGGAGCAAAUUCCAUCUAGGUCACUCAUGUCCCUCAGCAUGAUUCAUGGAGUACCCAUCAACCAACUUUAUAGUCAUCCUGUUACGGACAACGUUUGAAUGGUGACAAAGCACUCGACUCCAACAUCUACGGUACAUAGUGGUUUCAGGUCGAAGGGUGGAAUACACCACUAUCACUAUGAGAAUAUCUUAUGACAGUUUUCAUAACUUUUACUAUGUAGUAUUCUCAUGGCGGAUCAAUCCAAUAUAAAUAUUACUCCUAAUAUUUAUAUCUAUGUGAAGACUUGAUAACUCUUUAUCCAUGAUCUGUGAGAUGUGAUCAUCAGUCUACCUACAUAAUAGUCUCUAUGCUUUAAUGAUAUCCCACUUCUCAACAAAGCUUGACUACGGAUACUUUGAGAAUAGUUUCCUUAUGUUUAAUGGGGUCUCACAAUUAAGUUAUACUUAAUGUUCCAUUAAACGGACUAACUAUUCUAGGGACUUUAUUAUUUUGAAACAAAACAAAAUCAAUAAAGAAAUGCCUUGUUAUUAUAUAUUCACAAUAUAUAUUUAUAUCAAUAUCAUGAACAAAGUCAAACCCAAUCAAUAUAGGUUGGCUAUUAGGGCUUAUUCCAACAAUCUCCCACUAGCACUAAAAGCCAAUCAAAUAUUAACUCAAUAUCUAUUGGUCAAGUGUUAGCAUCAAGCACACUCUUGACUAGAUACUAUACUAGCAGAUAAGGAACUCUUUCCUAUGUUGGUAGGUUAUACUUCUUUCAAUUUCCACUAUCGAUCUUCUAUCGAAAAGAAAUUGAAGUGUCAAAGUAUACAUUUGGAUCAUUGGUGAGAUCAAGUUUUCAUUGCUCACAAGAUUUAAACCAAUUUUACCUCAUACGAGAUCAAUGGAAUCUGCAACGCAAGAAACACAUGUUUUCACUGAGUUAUGAGCUAAACAAUCCAAAUCAUAUAUAUUUGACAUCUGUAAUAGAAACAAGAACUAUUUGAAGCUUGUACUUUUACAAAUUUCAUAGUUGAUAUCCUAGCAUAAUAUUUAUUCCAAAUUACGAUCUGGAUAUACUGUACACUGAUAUGAAAGUCAACAUCAUCGUAACUCAUUUACAAUGUUUCUUUCAUCUGUGUUCAAGAAACAAUCUAUAGUCCUUUAAGACAUCCAAGGAUAUUCUUGAAGGUAUUAUAGUGUCGAACACUAUAAUCAAUUUUGGUACAUAUUGAAAAUAAUUUUCUAACCAUGUCUUGCAUGUGUAGAUAAAUUAUUUUGGUGACUAGUAUGUCAUCUACAUACUCCACCAAACUAAUUUCAAUGCUCCCACUAAUCUCCUUAUGUGCACAAGAUUUCUUUAUUAAUCAAAAUUUUCAUAAAACUUUGUUAAUAAAAUAAACAAUUUAACUUCGAGAAGAUUUCUCUAAUAAAUAAAUUUUGUAAUACAUUUACCUUUCUAGUAUCCUUUGGAUUAACGAAACCCUACAUAUAUGUCAAAUACAUAUAUAAGGUCAUUCUAAUUAAAGAAUGCAACAUCGUUAUCCAUCUCCUAGAAUUCGUAUUAUACAACAAUGACAAAUUGGGAUCGUUAGAUUUAAGUAUUACGAUGAUGUAAUAGUUUCGUCAUGAUUUGCAUCAUGAGUUGCAUGAAACUUUCUACAAUCAAUCACAUCUUAAAGGUAUUCAUAAUACCAUCCAUGAUUCAUACUCAUUUGGAUGAUAUAACCAAUAUCCAUAUAUGGUUUGUGUGCAUGGAUUCUUUAUAAGAUCCCAUGGCAACUAGCCACUUCUCAAAAAUCAGGUCAUUUGCGACCUUCUAGUAAGUCAGGUGCUCAUCUUCCAUGAGCAUCAUAUCACUUUGUUGAGUCAUGACAAAAUCAUGUUUCUCAUCCUAGUGUUAUGACAUAUCAGACUCAUCUAUAUCAUGUGCUACUAGAACUACCGAUUUACCAACAACCCUUUGUUGAAUCAGUUCAUGUUCCAUUGAGAAACAUGUAUUUUGUGGUACUUGACUUAAUUCAAGUUCUACAUCACUCCCACUAGCUCUUGCAAAGUUAUACUCCUUCUUGAAAAGGAAUACUCCAGUACUAGCGACAAACAACUUUUGUCAAGGAAGAAGAUGUAGAAAUAGUAUCCUUUAGUUUCCUAAGGGAACCUCCACAAGUAUACAUUCAUUUAAUUUGAAGUUUAGUUUAUCUAGUAAACAAUAUAACCUCAAAUUAUCAUAAAGUCAAAAAUAGGUACUCUAACCUGCAUAUCUAAUAUGGUGCAUUUAUGAUUACUCAAUUAGAACUUGUUGUGGGUGAAGAAUAAAUGUAAUUUAAUUAAUUUCAAGAGUCUUUGAGUUAUAAUCAAACUAUUUUAGAUCGAGUCAUGUCAAAAAUGAAACGAUAUAAAUAAUCAUUAUUUGUACUCAUUUAUCAAGCAUUUACCAUCACGACUUACUCGUAUAGUAUUUAUACUUUUCAAACUUAUUCCUUUUACUUCAUUGUUGAAAUCUUUGAACAAUUUCAAAGUUUUUCAUGAAUCGUGUCAAAUACACUUUUCUUAUCUACUAAAUGAUUUAGUAAUGUCAGAUGAAGUAAUAGAAACAAUAUCUAACAAAUAUGUUUAGUUUUCCGUAUACAUCUCAUAUGUAUAUAAACUCAAAUAAAUUACGUGUCCUUUCACCUUUGUUGGUGACCGGUAUACUAAUCUAUUUUGAAAGGUGGGACUCAUAUCCUUCAAAUGAUAUAAAAUCAAAUGAGUCCAAUAGUCAUGGAUUUUGGAAAUGUGAAUCACACUUGUUUGUACUAAACACUAAUGCCAAUGAUAUAUAAAAGGUUCUAAUCUCAUUUGAUCCUUUUCUCAUAAGUUAUAGACCAGCUUAUCAAGAUCAUGAAACUCAAAUCCAUUACUUGAUUAGCAUACUUAUAUAGAAAACAUAAUUUUCAUAAUAGGACAACGUUUGUCUAUUAUUCAACUACACAAUCAUUCUCUUCUCAAUACAAGAUUUAUGAUUUAAUGCUUCUAUUUUAUAUGGAAUUUAAUAACAAUUAUUUGGUUCCAUAUCAAGUUAAGUUUAAGUCCAAGCAUUUGCUCCUAUGUCAAUGAAACAAUUUGUCUCAUUCUAGACGUAAGUGGACUUCGCUUAUAGUUAAUGUCCCGCUUCUUUAAAACUCUCUAUAUUUCAACAAAUAUGAGAUUAACCAUCAAGUAUCAUAUACUUAUGAUGCAAAAGUAGAAAUUUAACUUUCUAUAACUAUAUGGGCAAAUAAGAAGUCUUACUUCUAUUUUGACUCUUUCAUAACAUUAACAGUUUUUCUCAUUCUUAAGAACAAUUCUUAAUACCAAUUAAGAAACUCUUUCUUGAAGAUUUUGUUCUUCAUAAGAACAUUUAACAGUAUAAUAAAAUGUAUGUGCCAAAGAAAUUCUAAAUACAAAAAAUAAAUAAAAAUAUAUCAUGAUAUAAAAACAUAAUUAAUUAGGUCUUUAAUUAAAUAUGCUCCCACUAUUUUACUGAAAACAAAUGACCUUCAACAUUUGAAUCGGAAAAUCUCAUUGGAAGAUUUUCUAGUGGAUUGAAAUCCAUAUUUCACCUUGCUUUAAGUCAACGGGGGCUGUACUCAAACUCAGUUAUUUAGGUAGGAACUCCUUCCAAUUGUAUCUCAUACAACUUUCAAAUCAUUUGAGUGAAUAACUCUUUACUCUAAUCUAUCAUAUAGAUGUUCCCAAACAUUGCUUCUAAAUUUAUUUUAAUCAUAUUAAAAUAAUUUAGUUAAGUUGGACCCAAAGAAUAACAGUCGGGUAAAUGGAAUUACCGCACCGCAACUUACUAGUAUAGAAAGUGCACCUCGCGGAGGCGAAACCUACACAUUUCGAUAUUAGUCUUGAAGGGUGUCAUCCUUUGGAAAGCAAUUAACUUAAUAUUCUUUUGAAGUAAAUAUAUAUAUUUUAAUCUUAUUAAAAUAAUAUAGUUAAGUUAGAUCCAAAAUAACAGUCGGUAAAUAGAAUUACCGCACCACAACUUACUAGUAUAGAAAGUGCACCUCGCAGAGGCGAAACCUACACAUUUCGAUAUUAGUCUUGAAGUGUGUUAUACUUUGGAAAAUAAUUUACUUCAUAUUCUAUUUGAAAGAUUUUAAUUAAGUUGAUCUCACUGACAUGUGUAUCUUAUACACACAUCUAAUAUUAUACAUGACAUUCAUGUUCAUAGAUAGCAAGUAUAUAUAAAAUAUUUAAAAUAUACAUGCACUAAUCUAAACACACAUUUCAUGCAUCACAUACAUAAAAUAAUAAACUAGGUAGUAUGGUUAUGACCUCCUAACGCGUAAGAAUUAAAUAAACUACUUUAUUACAAUUCUUUGACCCACGAGCAAGCUUCAAAAGUUUCUCCAUCGAAAUCAUCUUUUGGCGUUGUCUUUUCUUCAACUUGAGCAUUUACAUUAUUUAACAUUUAAAUAAAUAAAAGCAAAUCACGACACACAGGUCGUAUUUAAAUAAAUCACGACAUGCAGGCCGUAUUUAAAUAAAAUAAACCAUGACACGCAGGUCAUAUUUAAAUACAUAAACAUACGCCAAAAACUAAGGUCAUAACCAUAUACCAUAAAAUAAAUAAUAAUAACUAUUUAUAAUUAUUUAAACAAUUUUAGAAUUAGUCAAAAUUUGGAAAUAAUAUUUUGACCGAGAUAUACGUCAUAUAAAAUUGAUUCAUAUAUAUGUAUAUAUAUUCCUUUUGAAACUAUUUUCAAAAUCAAUCGGGUCAUAAAUAACAUUAAAUUAUGCAAAUAUUAUGAUCAAAUCCAAAAUAUCAUAUAUGAUAUUGAAACUUUUUCAAAAUCAUGAUCCUUUUAAAUUAGAAACAAAUUAGGAUCAUUUAUUACCUUUUCAAACUACUUUUGAAAGACAAUCCAAAAGGUAGAAUUUUUUAUUCACUUAAUUAUAGUAAUAUUGACACUCAACAAUUAUUAUAAUUAAAUAUGCUUUAUUUAGACGACCAAUUUGUUUCCAAAACAAAUUACAGUGCUAAAAUUAAGCAAAUAAUUUAUUACCAAAUUCAAAAAGUCACAUCUGAUGUUGAAACUCUUUCAAAAUCAUGAUCUUUUAAAUUUACUACCUUUCUCCAAUUAAAUAAAUAAAUUAAACAUAAAUAGUUUCAAGGAUUGUUUGUUUAGCAUGAACAACCGGAUCUUUGAUGCUUCACCAGAUUCGGAUAUCGAAGCUCAAUCUCACGAAUUGUUCAAAGUCACAACAGUCUUCUUGAAAACAAUUGAUCAACCAUAAUAAUACAACUCUUGUAUAGUUAGGUACCCUAAUACGACAAUCAAACAUUAAUAGUUUUAACAAUUGUUUGUUCAGUAUGGACAACCGGAUCUUUGAUGCUUCACCAGAAUCAGAUAUUCGGAUAUCGAAACUCAAUCUCACGAGUUGUCUACAAAUUCACAAUCAAUUUCAUAAAACAUAUUGAACGAAUGACAUCAUCAAUAUAUCACAUAUACUGAUGUCGUAUCAGAAUCAUAUAUCACAUAUAUGAUCUUGAUCAAUCAAUUUUAAUUAAUUCUUAUUAUUUAAAAUAAUGAGAAUAUUAACACUUAAAUUAUUCUCAUUAUUAACAAGCAUAUAUGAAAACAAUUUCCAUGGCUGCUAGUUAACACAGUGACACUCACGUAAAAUUUCAAAUUGAAAAUCUUAUUCAUUUAUCAAAAUCGAAACUGAAACAAUUUCAAUUUCUCCAGAUUAUUGAAACCGUAAUAAUUGGAAUUUCUCUUUCAUUGAUAUAUUAAAAUAAUAUGCAUCAGAAUUGAAUCGUAUUCAUAGACAGUAAGGCAUAUUAUCAAAAUAGUACAUAAAAUUCAAAUAGACACAUACGAUCAUUGAUAUAUCAUCAUAUAAACGUUAAUAUGCAUCGAACAGAUUCGAAUAUAAUGAUUUAAUGAAAACCAGAUGCUCUGAUACCACUGGAAGGGAUUUUAAGAGGGGUUUUUCAAAAUUUUAAUCCUCUUUGCGGAAGAAAUCCCAUUGAAACGGAUCUUGAUUAAAUCAUUAAUCACAAAUCAAACAGAAACUUAAACACUUUAAGAUUCAUGUGUUUACCUCUUGAAGAGCAGAACCUUUGUAGCAGAAAUUUUUCUGAUCACGAGCAAAACAAAGCAGCGAUGCCUCUACUCAGUCCACACGAACAGAACUUCUCCGAUGACCGGUGCUAGCCAAUUCCAACGAAGAUUCAGAGAGAACAAGGUUUAGAGAGCGGCGGCUAGGGUUUCACAACUUUUGUGAAUUAGGUUAAGCACUCACAAAAAGUUAGUAAUGCUUCAACACAAGGGUUCUAUUUAUAGAAUCACUUGUGUGGACAACAAGACAACACUUAAAUACACCGUACCUUACGGUGAACCGCGUUUCUCUAUUUUUGGUAAAUUAAAUAAUAAAAUAAUAUUUAAUUAUUUAAUUAAUAAUAAGUCUCACUUAUUAUUUUAUAAAUAAGUCUCAUUAUUAUUUUAUAAAUAAGUCUUACUUAUUUAUUUCUCUCAUCUAUCUGUCCUUUGUGUGUGACCCUAUAGGUUCCCGUAACGUUGGCAAUAAUAUUAAAUCACAUAUUUAAUAUUAUAAACAGUGAGCGGUAUCUAGCAACACAUCACUGCUACCCAAGUGACGAGAAUGUCAUGUGAUCUGACGAAACCUUUCUGUGAUAAUGAUCAUGUGUAUAAUUACCCUUUUGCCCUCAUGUCUAUAUUGAACACAAGGCAUAGACCGUGUCAUCCUUGUCUAGUUCAAUAUUGGGCCCGUAGACAUUUCUCCUGUUAUGUAGGAGGGGCAAAUUCCAUCUAGGUCACUCAGUCCCUCAGCAUGAUUCAUGGAGUACCCAUCAACCAACUUUAUAGUCAUCCUGUUACGGACAACGUUUGAAUGGUGACAAAGCACUCGACUCCAACAUCUAGGGUACAUAGUGGUUUCAGGUCGAAGGGUGGAAUACACCACUAUCACUAUGAGAAUAUCUUAUGACACUUUUCAUAACUUUUAUUAUGUAGUAUUCUCAUGGCGGAUCAAUCCAAUAUAAAUAUUACUCCUAAUAUUUAUAUCUAUGUGAAGACUUGAUAACUCUUUAUCCAUGAUCUGUGAGAUGUGAUCAUCAGUCUACCUACAUAAUAGUCUCUAUGCUUUAAUGAUAUCUCACUUCUCAACAAAGCUUGACUACGGAUACUUUGAGAAUAGUUUCCUUAUGUUUAAUGGGGUCUCACAAUUAAGUUAUACUUAAUGUUCCAUUUAACGGACUAACUAUUCUAGGGACUUUAUUAUUUUGAAACAAAACAAAAUCAAUAAAGAAAUGUCUUAUUAUUAUAUAUUCACAAUAUAUAUUUAUAUCAAUAUCAUGAACAAAGUCAAACCCAAUCAAUAUAGAUUGGCUAUUAGGGCUUAUUCCAACAGUAUACAGUCAUACACUAUUACACAAAAAUAAAAUUAUUUCCCUUCAGAUGCUAAUGACUCGUGCCACUUUUCACAUGAGUUUCUUCGAGUCAAUACUCAAUACUACUAUAGUACUAUUCCUUCAUUCACGUGCUACUCUUCUCGUGUCUAACGUUACUGUUACAAUAGCAUGUGCUACUCUUCGAAUAUCAAAAAGCCUCUUCUUGAGUCUUUGAUUAUUACUGCCACUUAUCACUACUAUCCCUCAAACUUCAUAGCUCCUUAAUUUCCUUCAACAAUCCUUCUUUGCUGCUUUGCUUUAACAAAUCAACACAAGAUGGCUGCAACUAUGAUUGGAGGUGCUUUCCUCUCUGCAACUGUUCAGACCUUAGUUGAGAAACUUGCUUCAACUGAGUUUCUUGAUUACAUCAAAAACACUAAGCUCAAUGUCUCACUCUUGAGGCAGCUUAAAACAACACUGCUCACUCUUCAAGUUGUGCUGGAUGAUGCAGAGGAGAAGCAGAUCAAUAAUCCUGCUGUCAAACUAUGGCUUGAUGACUUGAAAGAUGCUAUCAUUGAUGCUGAGGACUUGCUCAAUGAAAUCAGUUACGAUUCCCUGCGAUGCAAGGUGGAGAAUACACAAGCUCAAAACAAAACUAAUCAGGUGUGGAACUUCCUUUCUUCUCCUUUUAAUAGCUUCUAUAGAGAGAUCAAUUCCCAGAUGAAGAUCAUGUGUGAAAACCUGCAAUUGUUUGCAAAUCAUAAAGAUGUCCUUGGUUUGCAAACUAAGAGUGCUAGAGUUUCUCAUGGAACUCCUUCAAGUUCUGUGUUUAACGAAUCUGUCAUGGUGGGUAGGAAGGAUGACAAAGAGACAAUAAUGAACAUGUUGCUAUCACAGAGAAACACAAUCCAUAAUAAUAUAGGUGUUGUUGCAAUUUUGGGCAUGGGAGGUUUAGGAAAAACUACCCUUGCCCAACUUGUUUACAAUGAUAAAGAAGUUCAACAACAUUUUGACAUGAAGGCGUGGGUUUGUGUGUCUGAGGAUUUUGAUAUUAUGAGAGUAACAAAGUCUCUCCUUGAAUCUGUCACUUCCACAACUUCGGAAAGCAAUAAUCUUGAUGUCCUUCGUGUUGAGUUAAAGAAAAUCUCAAGGGAGAAAAGAUUUUUGUUUGUGUUGGAUGAUCUGUGGAAUGACAAUUGUAAUGAUUGGGAUGAGCUAGUAAGUCCCUUCAUUAAUGGAAAACCUGGAAGCAUGGUGAUUAUAACAACGCGCCAACAAAAAGUUACAAAGAUGGCACACAUGUUUGCUGUACAUAAUUUAGAACCUCUAUCAAAUGAAGAUUGUUGGUCUUUACUCUCAAACUAUGCAUUGGGAAGUGAUGAGUUUCACCAUAGUACAAAUACAGCCCUUGAAGAAAUUGGCAGGAAGAUUGCAAGAAGGUGUGGGGGAUUGCCAAUAGCUGCUAAAACACUAGGAGGACUUCUCCCUUCAAAGGUAGACAUAACAAAGUGGACUUCAAUUUUUUCAAUUUUGAACAGCAGCAUAUGGAACUUGCGAAAUGAUAAUAUUCUUCCUGCAUUGCAUUUGAGUUAUCAAUAUCUUCCCUCUCAUUUGAAAAGAUGCUUUGCAUAUUGUUCAAUUUUUCCAAAGGAUUGCCCACUCGAUAGGAAGCAAUUGGUUUUGUUGUGGAUGGCAGAAGGCUUCCUUGAUUGUUCACAAGGGGGGAAAAAGUUGGAGGAAUUAGGUGAUGAUUGUUUUGUUGAAUUGUUAUCGAGAUCGUUAAUUCAACAAUUAAGCGAUGAUGAUCGUGGGGAAAAAUUUGUCAUGCAUGACCUUGUCAAUGAUUUAGCUACAUUCGUAUCAGGAAAAAGUUGUUGCAGGCUUGAAUGUGGUGACAUCCCUGAAAAUGUUCGUCACUUCUCAUAUAACCAAGAAUACUUUGACAUUUUCAUGAAGUUUGAGAAAUUACACAAUUGUAAAUGUUUGCGAAGCUUCCUAUGUAUUUGCUCGACGACGUGGAGGAACGAUUACUUAUCCUUCAAGGUGAUUGAUGAUUUUCUACCGUCACAAAAAAGGUUGCGUGUGUUAUCGCUAUCAGGGUAUCAAAACAUCACCAAGCUACCAGAUUCAAUUGGAAAUUUGGUGCAGUUGCGGUAUCUAGAUAUCUCCUUCACUAACAUCGAAAGCUUGCCUGAUACAAUAUGUAACCUUUACAAUUUACAGACCUUGAAUUUAUCAAACUACUGGAGUCUCACUGAAUUGCCAAUACAUAUUGGAAAUUUAGUCAAUUUACGUCACCUUGAUAUAAGUGGGACUAACAUAAAUGAGUUGCCUGUGGAAAUUGGGGGACUAGAAAACCUUCAAACUCUCACCUGUUUUUUAGUGGGUAAGCACCACGUAGGGUUAAGUAUCAAAGAGCUCAGUAAAUUCUCAAACCUACAAGGAAAACUUACCAUCAAGAACGUGGAUAAUGUUGUUGAUGCCAAAGAGGCACAUGAUGCCAGCUUGAAAAGCAAAGAGAAAAUUGAGGAGUUAGAGCUGAUAUGGGGAAAACAAAGUGAAGAGUCGCAUAAAGUGAAAGUUGUGCUUGAUAUGUUGCAACCAGCAAUAAAUUUGAAGAGCCUGAAUAUUUGCUUAUAUGGCGGGACAAGUUUUCCUAGUUGGUUGGGAAAUUCUUCGUUUUCUAACAUGGUAUCCCUCCGCAUCACUAAUUGUGAAUAUUGUGUGACACUUCCACCAAUAGGGCAGUUACCUUCUCUUAAGGACCUAGAAAUAUGUGGUAUGGAGAUGUUGGAGACAAUUGGCCUGGAGUUCUAUUAUGUCCAGAUUGAAGAAGGUUCUAAUUCUUCCUUCCAACCAUUUCCAUCCCUUGAGUAUAUAAAAUUCGACAAUAUACCAAAUUGGAAUAAAUGGCUUCCCUUUGAAGGCAUACAAUUUGCUUUUCCUCAACUUCGAGCUAUGAAGUUACGUAAUUGUCCCAAACUAAAGGGACAUUUGCCUAGCCAUCUUCCUUGCAUAGAAGAAAUUGAAAUAGAAGGUUGUGUUCAUCUAUUGGAAACAGAGCCCACUUUGCAUUGGUUGUCGUCAAUAAAAAAAAAUUAAGAUUGAUGGGCUUGGUGAAAGGACCCAAUUGUUAUUGCUUGAGAGUGAUUCUCCGUGUAUGAUGCAAGAUGCAGUGAUGGCAAACUGCGUUAACCUAUUAGCUGUGCCAAAAUUGAUUCUGAGAAGCACUUGUCUUACACACUUGAGACUCUAUUCUCUUUCUUCUCUCACUACAUUUCCCUCAAGUGGUCUACCCACUUCAUUGCAAUCACUUCAUAUCGAAAAUUGUGAGAAUUUAUCCUUCCUACCUCCUGAAACGUGGAGCAACUACACAUCACUUGUGAGUCUUUAGUUCUAUCGUAGCUGUGAUUCACUUACAUCCUUUCCACUUGAUGGUUUCCCUGCGCUCCGAACACUUUCCAAUUGAAUUAUUUGAAGUCAAGUUUAAGAUGGAAAUGCUCACCGCUCUUGAAAAUUUGCAUAUGAAAUGCCAAAAGUUGUCAUUUUCUGAAGGAGUUUGUCUACCUCUCAAAUUACGAUCAAUUGUGAUUUUUACCCAAAAAACAGCACCGCCGGUUACGGAAUGGGGUCUCAAAGAUCUAACAGCUCUUUCAAGCUGGAGUAUUGGAAAGGAUGAUGAUAUAUUUAACACCUUGAUGAAGGAGUCGUUGCUACCCAUCUCCCUUGUGUAUCUAUAUAUCUGGAAUCUCUCUGAAAUGAAGUCCUUUGAUGGAAAUGGGCUGCGACACCUCUCCUCUCUCCAAUAUCUCUGUUUUUUCAUUUGUCAUCAACUUGAGACAUUGCCAGAAAACUGCCUCCCUUCCUCACUGAAAUCACUUUCAUUUAUGGAUUGUGAAAAGCUUGGGUCAUUACCAGAAGACAGCCUCCCUUCCUCGCUGAAAUCACUUCAAUUUGUGGGUUGUGUAAGACUCGAGUCAUUACCAGAAGACAGCCUCCCUGACUCUCUUGAGCGACUGACCAUCCAAUUUUGCCCAUUGUUAGAAGAAAGGUAUAAAAGGAAUGAAUAUUGGUCCAAAAUUGCUCACAUCCCUGUCAUACAAAUAAAUCACAAAGUCACAAUAUGAUAGACAAGUUGUGUUCCCGUUUUCAGGUAUGUUCCACAUUUCCUACCAGAAAACUGCCAAUAAUCAAUAGGCUAAACUACAGUUUUAACCCCCUAAGUUUGAAGCAUCGAAGAUGAAUUCACUUUUUUUUUUUUUUUUUUUUUUUCCUUUUCUAUUUUUUUUUUUUCAAUUUAUUUAAUUUCAAAAAUGAUUUUUUAAUUUUUUUAAUUUAGGGAUUACAUACGUGGCAUGCCACUUAGGUGUUGACUUGGUCAAAAUUGACCAAAAGGUCAAUAUUGCAAAGGGGCUAAAUCUUAGGGGGCCAAAUUUUAAUUUUUUUUAUUAGGGGGCCAAAAUCGCAACAUUGGCAAACUUAGGGGAUCAAAACUGUAGUUUAGCCAAAUCAAUAUUUUCAUAUCAUCUCAAUAUCUCAUGGGUCCUCUGCUACGUAUGUUUUUUUUGAAAGAUGAAUUUUUAAAGACUAAUUUUUGUAUACAUUUUGCACACAAUAUUUUAUUUUAAUUUCCAGAAUCAAUUAAUGUAGCUCGGGUAGUUUGAUAUAUAACUACAUAAGUCAUGCCGGAAAACUGGUUUCUUAUUUAUUUUUGGGCUUAUAAAACUAUCUUUGGAAAAAGCUGUAACUGCUACAUUAAUCUCAACAAUAAAAAUUUAACAAUCAUGUCUUUGGAGCUAAUCAAAGGAAAAUGCUUAUUUCAACUUUUCAGGAGAUCAAAGGCCUAGCUAUGUGGAUGAUAAUCUGCUCACUGAUUUGAGACGAGCCAAAUGCAUGGUUUCCAUUGAUUGCCACAAGAUUUAAUUUACUUAGCUGCUAAUAGUGAGUUUGUAUUUUAUUAUCAUUUGAAUGAAUGCUCAUAGGGUUUGUAAUAUUCUUAAUUUGUAACAUUUUUUAGCAAUUUAUGUUGGUGAUUUCCAAAAUAAUGGAAUCACUUUAGAACCAAAAGUUGUAACUCUUCAUGGGAACCAUUCAUAUACAUUGGAACAUUAUUAUUUAUUAUUAAUAAUGAACCAUGACAUUGAUUCAAAUAUAUAUGGUUAUAACCUUUGGCAAAAGGGUGCUUAAUGAAUCAUGGCAUUGAUUCAAGUUAAAGAGGUGUUUUCUCUCAUGUGAAGAGUCAUAUAAUGCACUAUAAAUGCUUGACAUUUGGGCAUUAGUUGAAAAUACAAAAACCACACAACUACACACAAUUUGGACAGAAUUUUGUUACAUUAACAACAUAAUUCCUCAUCAUUCUAUUAUUCUAAAUCAUCCAUCAAUUCUCUAAUGCAUGAGUGAAUAGCUAGAACCAUAAAUCUGUAAAAUACUGUGUUGGAGCAUAUGUGAAAAUUGAGUAAUUGACUAAACACAAAUUCCCACAAUGGGUAGAACUAGUGUAGUGUGAAUUGAAAAAGUGGAAGUCCCACAUCGGAUGGAUCACACAUUAGUAGUGUUUAUAUAGUGGGGGUGUACCUCUAAUUGAUGGGGGUACAUAAUUAUAAUUAUGUGAACGAAGUAAGCACUAGAGAAAAAAUAUAUAUUGAUAUAUAUUUUAUUAUAUGGAAAUGAUAAAUUAAAUAAUUAAUUUAAUCAUUAUUAGAAAGUGUUUUCUUAGUCCCCAAGUUUUGCUAAAAAUAUUUUGGAACGCAAUCUAGAAUAUUUUGGAAUACAAUCUGAAAUAUUUUGGUAAGCAAUCUAAUAUAUUUUAGUGCAUGAUCUGAAAUAUAUUUUGAUAGUCAAUAAUAUAUUUAUGUAGUCAAUAAUAUAUUCAUGUAUUGAAUAAUAUAUUUUGAGACUCAAUUUGAGAUAUUUUUGUACUAGAUCUAAUAUGAGAAUUACUUGCUCCCAAAGUUUCUCACUUAUUAGUUGUGAACUUUCUCUAUAAAUAGAGAGCUCACACAGUGCUUUACAUACACCAAAAUUCACAGUUGAUGCUUCCUGUGUUUUUCCUCUCUUCUCCCUCCUUCGACUUGUGUUGACAAGUCGUUCUCCUUUUUCUACUCCUUUCUGUCCCUUCGGAAUUAAGAGUGUUUUUAAGACCAUAGUCCAUCAUCGGUUUAUUAUCCUUUCGGAAAUAAGAAUGGUCUUAAGAGCAUAGUCCCUUCAAUUAUUUAUGUCUCAUUAGAAUAAAUAAUAUUUUAAGAUCAUGGUCCCUUUUUCGGUAUAAUAAAGAUGAUCUUAAAUAUACAUUCUUCUUCAAUUCUUGGAGAAGUUGGAUGUUAGAAUGGUAGCAAUAUCAUAUAUGAGUGGUCAUAGUACCAUAGUUGGAGAAGUUAAAAUUAGAAUGGUGGUAACACCAUAUUUGAGUGGUCUCAACACCAAAAUAGAAUGGUAACAAUACCAUAUUGGUUUCAGUAUUAAAGAAUGGUCUUAGUACCAUAUUAGAGGGUGUUAUUUCUCGAACGAUCAUAUACGGUGCAGUAUUUGAUCGAACAGGUGAACUGGGCUGUUUUAUCCUGGAGGCACACGGUUGUUAGUCUACCUUGCACAAUUUCGGGUAGUGCCGUGAUUUGUCUUAAAGAAAGCGACCUGGUCGUGACUCAACCCGGUAGGACUUCAAGAAGACUCAACAUGGUAAUAUCUUCGGUGGUGAUUUCGACUUUAUUAAAAAUGUUCGCUUCUAAACCCGAAAAACAACAAUUAACAACAUACUGUUAGGAGAUACGCUUGGCGUGGUUGUGCAAUACACGUCAAGGAACUCAUAGUAUCCUGAAGGGGAUUCGCCGGUCAUUCCUAUUGCAUCCAAUAUACAUUUAUUGGUGGGGGCGAAUCGAACCUAAAGGUUAGUGUGGCAACCUCAUACGCUUUGAGUUUUACAUGCAUGAUCAUUAAACAUUUCAGGUUUCAAGUGCAGCAGCCUCUUCCCAACAAACAAGAUAUAUAACAAUCUUUAGGUUCGACUUCUAUGGCUGCUUCAUUGAAAGAAAUGACUUCUGACUUUGUUAAGUUGGAAAAGUUUGAUGGGGGAAAUUUCAUCCGCUGGCAAAAGAAGAUGAAGUUUCUUCUUACAACAUUGAAAGUGGCAUACGUUCUGAACAUGGCAAGGCCUGAGGAGAAGGAUGAUGAAACCAUUGCUGAGACAAGAGACAGACAGAAAUGGGACAACGAUGAUUACAUCUGCUUAGGAGACAUCCUGAAUGGUAUGUCUGACUCUCUGUUCGAUAUCUACCAGAGCAGCCCUUCUGCAAAAGACUUAUGGGACAAAUUGGAAACCAGAUACAUGCGUGAAGAUCCAACAAGUAAGAAAUUCCUUGUCUCUCAUUUUAAUAAUUACAAAAUGGUAGAUAAUAAGUCUGUUAUGGAACAAUUAUAUGAGAUUGAAUGUAUUUUUAACAACUACAAACAACAUAACAUGAAUAUGGAUGAAACAAUUAUUGUAUCAUCCAUAAUUGACAAACUUCCUCCUUCUUGGAAAGAUUUCAAACGAACCAUGAAACAUAAGAAGGAAGACAUUUCUCUUGAGCAACUUGGCAAUCACCUUCGUUUAGAAGAAGAAUACCGAAAACAAGAAGGUAUUAAGAAUCAUGUUACUCAAGAGAAGGUUCAUGUUAUGGAAGAAGGAAAUUCAAGCAAAUCUUCCAAAAAGAGAAAUCAUGAAAAUGAUAAGUCUCAUCAUAACCACAAUGGUAAUAACAACAAAAAGAAAAGGAAAGGUGAAUGUUACUUUUGUGGGAAAGAAGGACACUUUAAGAAUGAAUGCAGGUUCUUUAAAAAGAAGAACAAAGAAAAGAAUUCAAGGGCAACAAAUGAUGAUUUUGUUGUGGUCAUUUCUGAAAUCAACAUGAUUGAAGAUGUUGAUUCAUGGUGGAUAGACUCUCGUGCUACUCGCCAUGUGUGCAAAAACAAGAAAAUGUUCAAGACCAUCAAUAAAGAUGUGAGUGUUUUGUACAUGGGAAAUGAUUCAACUCUGCAAGUCCAAGGAAAAGGGACCAUAGAGAUUGAAUUCACUUCUGGAAAAACACUUACUCUUAAAGAUGUAUUCUAUGUUCCUGAAGUUAGGAAGAACUUGAUUUCUGUACCAUUACUUAAUAAGAAUGGGUUCAAAUCUGUAUUUGAGGGAGAUAAAUUUAUCCUUUCAAAGGGGGGUGUGUUUGUAGGAAAGGGAUAUUUGUGUGAGAAUAUGUUCAAAUGUAAUGUUGCAAAUAUUAAUAAUAAUAAUAAUAUGAUUUCUGCUUAUAUUGUUGAGUCUUGUGAUUUAUGGCAUAUGCGAUUGGGACAUGUUAAUUAUAGAAAAUUGGAGGAUAUGAUGAAAUCAAAUCUAAUUCCUAAUUUUGAUAAAUUUUUUGAUUCAUGUACUACUUGCAUGUUGACUAAAAUUACAAGACAACCUUUUAAAAGUGUUAAAAGAAGUUCUAGGGUGCUAGAUUUAAUUCAUUCAGAUGUAUGUGAUUUACAUGGUUGGCCCACCAUUGGUGGUAAAAAGUAUUUUGUUACUUUCAUUGAUGAUUGCACUCGAUUUUGUUAUGUUUAUUUAAUGCAUUCAAAAGAUGAAGUUUUAGAUAAAUUCAAAAUAUUUAAAGCACAAGUAGAACUUCAACAUGAAACUUUCAUUAAAUGCUUUAGAAGUGAUAGGGGAGGAGAGUUCUAUCAUCCGAGUUAUUUUGAAUCCACUGGUAUUGUGCAUCAAGUAACUGCACCAUACACCCCACAACAAAAUGGAAUAGCAGAAAGGAAGAAUAGAACUUUGGUAAAAAUGGUUAAUGCCAUGUUGUCCUAUUCUGGAUUAUCUAAAGGAUAUUGGGGUGAAGCAAUGCUAACAGCAUGUUACAUCCUCAAUAGGGUUCCAAACAAAAGGAACAAAAUAACCCCAUAUGAACUUUGGAAACAAAGAAAGCUUACUCUUAAUUAUUUGAAAGUUUGGGGUUGUAGAGCAAUUGUGAAAGUGCCUGAACCAAAAAGAAAGAAAUUGGGUGAAAGAGGAAUUGAAUGUGUAUUUUUAGGCUAUGCAGAAAAUAGCAAAGCAUACAGAUUCUUGACUAUUGAAUCGAAUGACUCAUAUUCUGUUAAUACAGUAAUUGAGUCAAGAGAUGCAAUUUUUCAAGAAGAUAGAUUUAACUCAAUUUCUUAUCCCAAGGAUAUUGUUCAUUCUAAUGUUCAAAAUUUAGAAAACAAUGAAUCUGAUAUAGAUACAUUGGAUGGUUUAGAACUUAGAAGAAGUAAGAGGAUCCGGAAAGAGAAAGAUUUUGGAUCUGAUUUCUUCAUGUUUCUUGUAGAAGGAACAGGUAAAUCCAUAAAUAGUUAUGGACCAAUUUGCUUUAACCUUGAGAGUGAUCCGGUAACAUAUGAAGAGGCUAUAAAAUCUCAAGAUUCAGCUUUUUGGAAAGAAGCUAUUCAAGAAGAAAUGGAUUCAAUUAUGGGUAAUAAAACUUGGAAAGUGGUAGAUCUCCCACCCGGAUCCAAACCGAUAAGCUGUAAAUGGAUCUUUAAAAGGAAAAUGAAAGUGGAUGGUACCAUUGAUAAAUUCAAGGCUAGACUAGUUGCUAAAGGGUUUACGCAAAAAGAAGGCAUUGAUUAUUUUGAUACAUAUGCACCUGUUGCAAGAAUUGCAUCAAUCAGAAUGCUAAUUGCACUGGCAUCCAUCCAUAAGUUUGUAAUCCAUCAAAUGGAUGUUAAAACUACUUUCCUAAAUGGAGAGUUGGAUGAAGACGUAUAUAUGAAACAACCGGAAGGGUUUGUGAUCAAAGGUCAAGUAGAUAAAGUGUGUAAAUUAACUAAGUCUUUAUAUGGGUUGAAACAAGCACCCAAACAAUGACACCAAAAGUUUGACCAAGUUGUGUUAGCCAACGGAUACAUCAUAAAUGAAUCUGACAAGUGUAUUUACAGUAAAUUCCAAAAUGGAAAAGGUGUCAUGAUUUGCUUAUAUGUAGAUGACAUGUUGAUCUUUGGUACAAGUAUAAAUGAUGUUGAAGAAGCUAAAGCUUUCUUAUCCAACAAUUUUGAUAUGAAAGAUUUAGGAGAAGCUGAUGUGAUUUUAGGAAUUAAAAUCAUAAGAGAUGGUAACCAUAUUGGUUUAUCCCAAUCUCAUUACAUAGAAAAGGUGCUUCAGAAAUUCAAUCAUUUAGAUUGUAAACCGAUCUCUACCCCAUUUGACCAAACUGUCAGUUUGCAACCAAACAAAGGUUGUCCUGUGGCACAACUUGAAUAUUCUAAAGUAAUCGGAUGCUUGAUGUAUGCUAUGACUUGUACCAGACCUGACAUAGCAUAUACUGUUGGAAGGUUAAGUCGGUAUACUAGCAAUCCAAGUAAAGAACACUGGCACGCUGUGAAAAGAGUAUUAAAAUACUUAAAGGGAACAAUGAAUUAUUGUUUAACAUAUAGUGGAGACCCUUCUGUUUUGGAAGGAUACACAGAUGCUAGUUGGGUAACGUAUGUUGAAGAUCAUGCUUCCACAAGUGGAUGGAUCUUUAACCUUGGUGGAGGUGCAGUUUCUUGGGGUUCAAAGAAACAAACAUGCAUUGCCGACUCCACCAUGGCUGCAGAAUUUAUUGCAUUGGCUGCAGGGAGUAAAGAGGCAGAAUGGCUAAGAAAUUUAUUGUAUGACAUACCAGUUUGGCAAAAGCCAAUGGCGCCAUUAUCCAUACAUUGUGAUAGUCAAUCAACACUAUCAAAAGCUUAUAGCCAAGUUUAUAAUGGGAAAUCAAGGCAUAUUGGUUUAAGACAUAGCUAUGUAAGAGACUUGAUUUCUAAUGGAAUAAUUUCCAUCAUGUUCGUAAGAACAGAGAAGAAUCUUGCAGAUCCUUUGACAAAAGGUCUGACAAAGGAUAUGGUGUUGAAGACAUCAUUGGGGAUGGGACUCAAGCCCAUAUCUAAUUGAUUACCAAUAGUGGAAACUCAACCCACACUUGAGUAGCAUCAAGUCUUGGGUUCAAUGGUGAAAGUACACUAUUAGAGUAAUUGUAGUACUUGACAAUAGAUACAUCCCAAAGGUAAAAGUACUUGGACCAUAAGAAGAAAAAAGGUAGGAUGAGGUUUUCCUCUUAAUAGACAUAUAGCAUAUAUUUGCUGGAAUGCAUACUUAUGGGGCAUUCCCGAUAUAGUCUACCUAUGUGAGAAUGAAGUUUGGCCGCUUCACGGAGUUCAAGGGCUUGACUCUUAAAUUCUCAUGAAAAGGGAUAUAUGACACAAGGCCUUCUUAAUGUGUCAUCUUACAAGUCUCUUUAUCAAUGGUACCGGGAUUCUAUGUGUAAGUUAUGCACACUUGUUCUAAUGGAUAGUUGGUUCAAAGCUUGCCUACCAUACUAAUUGGGAAUGAGCGAAAACUUAACUUACUAAGUAAUGGUUCAAAUCGCGAGAUACCAUUAUCUGAAGGCAUGGAAUUUCUGGAUUUAUGUGAUUUAGUAUUUUGAAAAUGGUGGGGGAUUGUCGGUGAUUUCCAAAAUAAUGGAAUCACUUUAGAACCAAAAGUUGUAACUCUUCAUGGGAACCAUUCAUAUACAUUGGAACAUUAUUAUUUAUUAUUAAUAAUGAACCAUGACAUUGAUUCAAGUAUAUAUGGUUAUAACCUUUGGUAAAAGGGUGCUUAAUGAAUCAUGGCAUUGAUUCAAGUUAAAGAGGUGCUUUCUCUCAUGUGAAGAGUCAUAUAAUGCACUAUAAAUGCUUGACAUUUGGGCAUUAGUUGAAAAUACAAAAACCACACAACUACACACAAUUUGGACAGAAUUUUGUUACAUUAACAACAUAAUUCCUCAUCAUUCUAUUAUUCUAAAUCAUCCAUCAAUUCUCUAAUGCAUGAGUGAAUUGCUGGAACCAUAAAUCUGUAAAAUACUGUUAGGAGAUACGCUUGGUGUGGUUGUGCAAUACACGUCAAUGAACUCAUAGUAUCCUGAAGGGGAUUCGCCGGUCAUUCCUAUUGCAUCCAAUAUACAUUUAUUGGUGGGGGCGAAUCGAACCUAAAGGUUAGUGUGGCAACCCCAUACGCUUUGAGUUUUACAUGCAUGAUCAUUAAACAUUUCAGGUUUCAAGUGCAGCAGCCUCUUCCCAACAAACAAGAUAUAUAACAAUUUAUAACAUAUUCUUUAGCAUAUAUUCUUAAUUUGUACAAUGCAGUAGGGUUUAUAUGCAAUUUAUAACAUAUAUUUAGCAUUAUUUUUGUUUUGGUAGAAUCCUCAAUUUUGAUUGCAAUUUUAUGAACCCGAUUUUGCUAUCCUAUAAUCUCCUGUAUUAUACUAUUGUAAACCUUAUUACUAACAUAUCCACUAAAUCAUGCUUAAAUCAUAAGGAGUUUAUAUUUUAAAAGUCAAAAGAUUGAGUUCAAAGUCAGACAGAAGAAAAUGUACUAUGUUGGUACAAUUUUGAAGACGUAAAUUAUUGGUGAUAUUUUGAUUUGAAGUAUCUUUCUAUUAAAUGUGGAUGUUACUAGUUUAGCAACUUGCUAUUUUCUCACAAUGACCUGUAUAUGACCUUUUUAUGCUCAUAUACCUAAUUAUCACAUCACAUGCAUAUAAAUAGGAAACUCCAAUAUCUUGUUUCACUUCUCUAUAGUACAGUUUGAAAAUUGAAAGUUGAAGUAUCUAUAGCCUGUUUAUUAUUCUUACUUGGUAUUGAAAACUUACUUAAAUCAAGAAUAGUAGUUAAGUAUAAGCUUUUUAAUCAAGCUUAUCGACCUUUAAAAUAUAUAAAAGUAUAGUCCAAAGUGUGGUUUGCAAAGCUGUCAUCAUAUUUUGUAUACAUUUGCAUGAGUGGAAUAAAUACAGCUGGUAAUGUAAUUACAACAUUUGCAAGAAUUGAAAUAAAAUUUUGCAAUUGAUGAUUAAAUAAUCAGUUUCAUUUUUCACAAUUAUUUUGUUGGUGCUAUUUGAGAUUAGAUUUUUGUUAUUUAUGAUAUUGUUGGAUGAAGGUUCCAUGUUGUAGAGGAUUGUUCAUUUCUAUUCUUCUGCUGUUAAUUGGGAUAUGUGGAUUGUAAGGCCAAAUGGAAACUUUUGCAUUGAAGCAUCUGUGAUCAAAUGAAAAAGUUUUUGCCAAUGUUGUCAACUUCAAUGGAUAUAACUCAGCAAAAACAUUGACCACCAUUCUCAACCCCUUAAAAUGCUUGAAUUACACCCCCCUCACCUCUUAUGUUAAAAUAUACACUCACCUCCCCUUCAAAUUCAAAACAUAUUAGAAAAAAUUUCACUCCCCUCCUUCAAGAGAAGUUUGAAUUAUUUUCUCCUCCCCUUUUAUGUUAAAUCUACACUUUACUUCCUCAAUAAUUAUUUAUUUUCUGUAAUCAUCUCAAUUACUUUGUGUAAUAAAAUCAAAAUUGCAAACUCCCCACAUUUUAAUUACUAUUUAUUUACUAUUUUAAUAAGUUCAUCUAGUUGCUUAGUUGAAAUGACAAUAUAUAUGUUUUAUUAAUUGAAAAAGGUUUGGUGCACUUACCAAAUUUAAUUAUCAACUAGCUAGAAGAUUAGUCAAGUCAGAUCUUUUGUACUUGGGCACCAUACUUCAUGCUACUCACAAAAAUGAUAAACGAGUUAGAUUUCAUUAUGAGUAAUAAAAUAAGGAGGGUGACUCAUUGUUGGCCGGUGAUAUGAUGAUAACAAUAUGAAUCUAGAGGGGAUUUUGUCAUAAUAAAAAAAAAAUCUAGUGGGGAUGACAUUAGAUUUCCUCUAAAAUAUAUGAAAAGCUUUACAACAAUUUGACUAUUGGAAUGAUAAUGUGGAUACUAAGAUGAUUAAACUAAAAUGAUGCUAGGAGUAGUUUUAGGGAAAAGAUAGAUACAGUGAUAAAAUUUAUCAAGAAAAUUUUAAGAUAGUGUAUUUGUUAACACCUUUUCCUAAUUAUACACCAUUAGUUUUCUUGAAUCCGCUAAAUAACAAAUUUAAUUGGUUGAGACAUUUUCUGGAUAAAUUCUUGAUAAAAUCUCUCUAAAUAAAUAAUUCUCAUAGUUUUAACUCUACCCCGCUUACAACAUCUAGUAAGUUAGCACCAAAUAUUCUUUUUCUUUUUUAUUUUCAUUUUCUCUUUGUUUCUUUUCUUUUGUUUAUUUUUUCUCUAAUUUCUUUUGUUUUUUUUUUAUUUCUUUUUCUUUUGUUUGAUUUUAUGUUUCUUUCAUUUAACCUCUUUUAUUUUCCUAGUUUUCUCAUCACAUGCUACCUCGAUACUUUAGAAAAUGUUAGAAGAUAAAUCAUUUUCUUAUAUUUUAUCAUUGAAAAAAAAUAAAGGCUACACUAUUUUGAACAAUCUGGUAUUUACAAGAAUUGUAGCCUAUGGGCCACAAGAUUCAAUCACAGUUAAUGUGCCACAUUUUGUAGUUAACUUUAAUCCAACAACACACUCAAUCACAACUAUUGCAAUACCGUUGGUAGUUAAGUUUUAUCAAACAAUACACCAAUGAAUGCAUAAAUGUAUUAUUCAACGAUAUUAUUCUUUUUUAGUGAUUUUCCCUUUCAUAUCAUGAAAAGUUAUAAAAUAAUAGAGAUUUUAAUUUAAAAAAAAAAAAAAAAGAUACUUUAUGAUUGAUAAGUUUUUUUAUAUAACCUCAUUUCAUUUCAUGGUGUUCUAAAGGGGAAAACAAAACACAUUGAUGCAACCCUAUAAAAAAACACAUUGAUGCACUUAAGAGACAUUUAAUAAUGACUUCAUAAGUGCUAAAAGAUAUUUAAUUGUUCUACGAAAAAGACAAUUUAAUUGAAGUAAGGAGAAAUUGAACUUUAUAAAUUAUAAAGUGAUAAAACCAUUUGUUACAUGUAAAUGAGGGAAACAUGGAUGAAGUUUUCAAAUUUGUUUAUGUUAUGAUUAUCUUUCCCUUUCUAAUUCUUGACGUAGCAACAAAUGCUGAAAGUAAGCCAGUUUUUUAAAUUACCUUUUUUUUUUUUUAACAAAUAUAUUAUUCCAUUUUAGUUACACUCUUUUCUUCUUUUUCAUUACAGAGAUUCGUAGAUGUUUUAAUGAUGCUCAUUGUCCACCAGAUAUGUGUACCCUUGGUGUGAUACCGAAGUGUAGUAGGUUCACCAUUUGUAUAUGUUAACCAUUCAGUUGGUAAGGACAAUGCAUAAUAUAUGCAAGGUUUAGGGUUCAAACCUUGGACACCAAAAAAAAAACUAAAAGAUUAUGUACUAUCAUGAUUCUACAUUUACUUUAAAAUAUUGAAUUAGUUGCUUUUUAGUUACUUUGUUGUCUUAUUUUUCUAAUUUCAAAAUUCUUAUAGUUAUUGCUUUGUAAUUUAAUGUUGUGAAUUCGUUGAGAAAACCACACCAAUAAAAACUUGAUACGUGGAGUAAAUUAAUACCAAGUAAUCAAAUCAAGCGGGUAGCAAAUAAUCCAAAACAAAAGUAAACAGCAAGAGAUAAAAGGAAGAGAGAGAAAGAACACAAGAAUUUGUUUACCCAGUUCGGUCUAAUGAUGACCUAGUAUGGGGGAGAGAGCAGCUCUCCGUUCCACUAUAAUGACAUGAGUUUCUUUACAAAGAGAUAUUGAGUUAUAAGAAUCAGUCUUCAAACCUAAUUCUACCCAAGUCUCAGCCUCUUCCCGUGACCAAGAGACUUAAUCCUAAUAGUGCUUUGUUCAUGGUGAAUCAAAACAAUCCAAACCCUAGUGUUGUUGCCAAGAUAAAUUCUCUAUAAACCCUAGUUUGUAUGUUGGUUUCUAAACCUUUUUUUCUACACACUAUCAUCUGAUACAAGACUUAUAUUUAUAGUGGAAAGUAAACCCUUAAAAAACUGAAACAAAUCUAACUGAAAAUACGUUUUAAAAAUAUCUUCAGCGCCUCCAUCGUGGCACGAAAUUUCCAGUAGCUUCCUCAGAAUCUUGCUUCAACAAUCGUGGCGCAAUGUUUCUCCAUCGUGGCACGAUUCUCCAGAUUUCUGAUUUUAAGUUAACUCUCACAAUUCUCCACCUUGACUUCAAAUCAGUGAUGAUGUCAAUUUAACCAUCAAUCACUUUGCUGCUCUCUCCAAUCCUUCAUCUAUGCUUCAAUGAAGUUAUCAAGUCCAAGCAAUGCUUGAACCUUGAUCUUGGUAAUGAUUUGGUGAACAUGUUUACUGGAUUUUCUUCCGAUGCCACUUUCUCUACCAUGAUCUCCUUUGUCUCAAUCAUGUCUCUGACGAAGUGCAAACGAAUGUCAAUGUGCUUUGUUCUUUCAUGAUAUACCUAAUGAUUUGCCAAAUGAAUGGCACUUUGGCUAUCAUAAUAUAUCUUCGCACGCCUUUGACUAAUCCCCAUUUCUCCAAUCAUACCUUUCAACCAUAUGGCUUCCUUGACCCCUUCAACAAGGGCUAUGUACUCUGCUUGAGUUGUUGAAAGAGCUACAACUGAUUGUUGAUUUGCCUUCCAAGUUACUAGUGUACCGAACAAUGUAAACACAAAACCUGACAAAGAUAUCCUAGUGUCUACAUUACCUACAUAGUCCACAUCCACAUAUCCCUCCAAAGCCUCCCUACCUGGUUGUGACCUUGUAUACCUUAGACAACCUUUCAAAGAUUCAUUCAAAUAUCUCAGAACCCACUUCAAAGCUUGCCAGUGCACUUGACCCAGAUUUGCCAUAAACCGACUUAUCACACUAAUUGCGUAGGAUAAGUCUGGUCUACUACAAACCAUACCAUACAUGAUGCUUCCAACCCCACUUGCAUAGGGAGUACCCUCCAUCUUGUUUUUCUCUUCAUCGGAUUGAGGACUGCUUUAUUGAUAGCUUUGUGUGAUGACCAAGAGGAGUGCCAACGACUUUAGAAUCUUUCAUUCUGAACCGCUCCACCACUUUCCUCAAGUACCCCUACUGAGAUAAGAACAACUCACCUUUGUUCCGGUCCCUUAUGAUAUCCAUACCAAGUAUCUUCUUUGUGUAACACCCUAGUCGAUAUAUUAAUUAUUUUGAUUUAUUUAGAGUCUUUUAUAUGAUUUUAAAUAAUAUUGGUGAUUUAUGUGGUGUGUAUAUUUUAUUAUAUAGUUUAUUUUUAUAAUAAUUAGAAUAAGUGGGAAAUUAAUAUUAUUUUGGAGUUUGGGGAGUUAUUGGAAUUUAUUAGAAUUAAGGGGGAGUAAAAUGAAUUAAAGGGAAGUUAAGAAAGAAAGAAAAGAGUCAGAAACACUUUUUACGUGAAAACUGUCAAGUUGGGAGAAAAGAGAGAGAAGAGCAAGUAGAGCCAAGGAACCAAAUUGUUGUGCAUUUCUUUCAAUUGAAUUAAGGUAAGGGUGAGUUUUACUUCAGUAGUAUAGAUAUUGGAUUCUGAUUUUGAUUUUAACAGGUUUUUGAUAGAGUUGGGAAAUUUGGGUUUAUAUUGAAUUAAUGGGUUUUGAGAGUAGGAAUUGUUGUACUGAUGUUAGAAAUGGGUUUUGAGUGCAUAUAACCUUUCAUUUCAUAUCUGUAAACAAAUUUGGGGAGUGAAUUGGAGGAAAAUGGGAUUUUUGGGAAAAACCUGCAUUCUGCCCAUACAGAAGUUCAUCGCUCGCCUCGCGAGCAGCCUUGUUCGCCAAGGCAAGUGAGCAACUUCAUAGCUCGCCUCGCGAGUGAGACAACUCGUCGUGGCGAGUACCUGUGAGAAAUUCUGGGUUUUCAAAUUGUUGUUAUAAGCUGUAGUUUGGUUAGUUUUGAGUGCCUGGAUGAUUUUAGAGAGGACUAGAGCAAGUUUUAGAUUAAAAAGAUGAAUAGGGAGCUUAGAAUUGAAGAUUUAGUGAGAAAAAUGUCAAAACUCCCGAGAGCAGCCUUUUUCUGUUCGCCUUGAGUUCUCCUUGAACUCUCCAUGGCAAAUAACCCAUUUCCUGAGUUCGCCAUAGCGAGCAGAUGUGCUUGCGAGGCGAUUUCCCCAGUUUUGAAUGUUGUUUGUUAAUUAAAUGAAUGCUGGUGAAUGAUAUUGAUGUUUUAGCAUGAUUAUGAUUAAUUGUGCAUUUUUCUGAAAUUACUGAAUUGAUUAUGAUGAUUAUUGUUGAUUGGGAUGUGUGCUGUUAUUGAAUUAAGUCUUAUGAUGUUGCAUUACGGAGUUGUGAGUCAUACAUAUAUAUAUAUAUAUAUAUAUAUACAUAUAUAUAUAUAUAUAUAUAUAUAUGCAUUUGGUCGAGUUGUAUGUAGAUAUACACAAGUGAGUUAGUCGCAUAAGCAUAAAAGCGGGAGGGCUUCUGCCCUGGAACGCCUUGUCGUUCAAAGCGGGAGGACUUAUGUCCUGGAACACCUUGUUGUUCAAAGCGGUGAGGACUUAUGUCCUGAUGAAUGCUUUAACCAUUCAAACAGUGGUGACGGCUUCGGCCCUGAUUAUGGUACCACAUGCAUAUUUGCAUUUGUUGAGGAGUCUAAGGUGUUGUCUUAGUGGUGUUGUCAUGUCAUUUGCAUGAGUCGGUGUUAUCAUGUCAUUUGCAUGAGUCGGUGUCGUUGGUUGUAAUUGCCAUAUUGAUGAUGAUGAUGUAUGUUGUACCCUGAUUUUGGACCUAAAAAUACUCAUUCAAAUUUAUUUUCUACCACUGAUAUUUGUCGAUUUGCUGUUGUUUUACUCCGAACCUUUACUCUCUUUUCAUCUGCAUAUUUUACUGUCUCUGUCUCAAAGUAUGUUCAAUCAUGAUUUUCUUGCAUAAAGCUAUCCAAAGUGUUUUUCUUGCAUUACAAGUCAUUUAAGAACUCUCUGAAACGUCGCAUUACUUUUCUUGCAUUUUAUUUCAAAAAAUCAUACAAAAGGGUAUUUUGGUCAUUUCCUGCAGUGGAACCCAUUUUAGUCCAUGUGUUUGCCUCUGAGUCUUUUCAAUUUGUCUGUACAAAUCAUUGUUGAGCCUUUGUUUAAAAAUCAUUUCAAAAAUUGCAUCUGAGUCAAUUUGAGUCAGUUUAGUCCCUAGGGGCAUUUUGGUCUUUUCCUGUCAAAAUUUCGGCAGAGAGGUAUUUUAAAAUACCUCAUUUUUGUAGCUGGUUCAUUUUAGUCCUUUUGUUGAUUUUAUUUUUGGUUUCACUUUACGUUUUGUCCAGUUUACCAAUUUUAGUCCAAUUUUAUUUUUUAUUGCAUUUUAGUCCCUGAGACAGUUUCUAAAAUUGCAUUUUAGUCCAAAACAUUUAAAAAUUUCAUUUCGGUCCAUUUUUUUAUUAUUGCAGUUUAGUCCUUCAAUUUUUCUUUUUUUGCAGAAAGGUCCAAGUCCAGAUGGCAGCGCCUCAUUGGUCCAAAAUUACACAUGGCAGUCUAUAAAGGGAAAUUCUUGUGUAGGAACGAACCUAACCUAUCAUCUUUACAAACAACAAAUUAAAACAUGACACGUCGUUGUUUUUCCACCAUGAAUGGUGUUGGUGGUGAAUGGUGAUGGAAGAUCACGAACUAGUGGUGGUGGAGAGAGAAAAAUGACUAGUUGAUUUAUUUUUUUUAUAAUUAUUUUAAAAGAAAACAUGUUUUAAUUUGUUGUUUGUAAGGAUGAUAUGUUAGGUUCGUUUCCACACAAGAAUUUCUCGUCUAUAAAUAGCAUUAUUCUGCACAGAUCCACACAGGAAUUGACACAUCACAAACAGAUCCAAAUUUUCUCUCUCCAUUCAGUUACAGAUCAAAAACAGAAAAUCACCAAGAACAUUCAUAGAACCCUAACUUUUCCAAAACCGAAUUCAUCACCAGAUUCACCAAUUCUCAGAGAUUCAUUGACGAAUCUUCAUCAUUGAAUUGAUUCCCCUGCAAUCCAAAGCGCGAAUUCCUCACCGGAGAGAGGAACUCCAGCACCGAUCACAGAGGUGGAGAAAAGAGAAGAAAAAUCAAGCCAAACCGGAAUCACGAAGCACGUAAAGAAUCCGUAGAGCCAGACCGCGAAACAGAAGCGAAGAGGUAAUCUUCUUCGCUCUCCUUUCCUUUUUUCUUCAUUUUUGAAAAGUUUUUCUUCAAGAUUCAAACUCAGAUCUACUCCGAUUGGAACCUUUUUUGAGGUGGCCGGCCACCGCGCCGGAGAAGCUUGCCAUGACCGGAGAAGAUGACCGGAUUCUAGAGAGAGGUCAGACUCUCUCUCUCUAGAAUCCAAGGAAGAGAGAGGAUUUUUUGAGAACUUUGUGUUUUUUUUGGUGAAAUUCCUUUAUAUACUCCCUCCGUUCCCACGCGCGCGCGUGCAUGCUUCUGUGGUGUUCCCUCGCUCUGUGAACCAUCAGAUCUGGAUUGUUCCAAGAUCUGAUGGCUGCUGUGUGUUUGAUUUUGAACCCUGUGUGUAAUUUUUUGUGUGGAAUAUGGUAUAUCUUCUGUUUGAACCGUUAGAUCUUUGAUCUAACGGUCACUGUGCUUCCUGCAUUUUUACACUAUCUUUUGUGCUUUUUUUUGGACCCUUGGAUCUUUGAUCCAGUGGCUGUGAUGUGAUCUUGGGAGUUAGAUCUGGACCUCUGGAUUCAUCCAGCGGACAAGAUUAAAUCCUGCUGAGCCCUUUUUUAAUUGCUUUUUAAUUGUGUUUUAAAUACUUUUUUACACUUUCUUGGCAUUUUAUGCUCCUAAAAAAUUUUCUAAAAAUAUUUCCCUAUCAUUUUAAUUUUUCCUCCAAGUGUUAGAAUUUAUUUGCUUAUUUUUGCAUUUAUUUUCUUUACUUUGUUCUUUUAAUUCUUGCUCAUUAAAUUCCAUAUAUGUUCUUGAUGCAUUUUUUACAUAUUAUGAUAUUUUUGCAUGUGAAAUAAUGUGUGAAAAUAUCUCUAGGAAUAUGAUAUAAUGCUUUGCUUGUGUGUACUCUUAUGAUCCUCACAUUGUAGCUUAAAUUCAAACCUUUCAAAAAAUGGCUAUAAUGAGGGAAUUAUAGGUCAUAUGCAUGUCUAAGUAUCAUAACCAAUUUUAGGUAUAUUUUUCCACUUUAUUUCAUUUCAUUACUUUUUUUUUCUCUCUUGCUAUUCUAUUCAAUUUUGUUUACCUUUCUACUAUUUUUAUGCCUUAUGAUAACCAUUUCAUCUCACAUUUCAUUCAUCCCAUAGUUUUAGCAUCAUUUUUUUUUUUAUUCAUUUCUAUAUCAAUUGGGUUUGUAAUAAUUUUAGAUAGAUUAGUUUUUUUUAUUCCUUGCAAGACCAUAGCAUGUAUCUAGGACUCAAUGUAAAGGACUAUGGACAUUAUAAGGGAUGUACACCGACACAAGCACCGACACGCACACACGUUGCAUGAUUACCGUUUAGAUGUAUGCUUAGGAAAUGCGAUUUUUAGACAAAUGCCAAUCUUCAAAAAAUAAUAAACCAAUUCCAUCACUCAAAUUUUUCCAAACAAACCUUGGAGUCAAAACUCCAUUGAAUUUUUUCCUUUAUUUUCUUAAACAAAUCCAAAUGACUCCUAAUUCCUACUUAGACUUUUUUAAUAACAAUUGAACCAACCAUUCACCAUUUUUCUCUCUUAUGCCUUUAAGGCCUCUUCCUCUUCUUCAAAACCAUUUUCCAACGAAAACUAAAAUCAACCAAACACACAAAAAACAUCUUUUGAGAGAGAACUACAUGGAGUUUGAUCCCUUAAAUGGGUAUGUAGGCAUGAGGUCAAAACCUCUCCAAGUCCACUAAAAUAAAACCUCAAACACUUUCUCCCCCCCAUUCUUAACAUAAGUAAAUUUCCUUUUUCAUAAGUAGCAUUAAAAAUAAAGCGUAGACAUAAACUAAGAAAACGGCUCCUAUAGAGUACUAUAGUCACUACGGGUGCCUGAUGGGAUAAAACCGCAAGUGCACGGUCUUACCGAAGUAGUAAAAUAAGAGUAUCGUUCCGACAGGGAGUUAUGAAUUCAAUUAACUUUUAAUAAUGAUUAGAUGAAAGUUUCAAAGGUUAAAAGUUCGGAUUUUUAAUUAUAAGAAAAUAAAGGAAAAGAUAAAAGCCUUGGGAUCGUUGGAUUCAUCUAAAUAACAAGUCCUUCUCAAACCAAAACUGUAAGCUUAUAAUGUUAUGUUAGACCUAAUUUCUCAAGACAGUUUCUCUUAUGUUCCUCUAGCAACCAAGCCUAUUUCGCUGACUUGAUUACUAUUAGAUUUUGGUUCCUCUAACAACCAAGCCUAUUUCGCUGACUUGAUUGUUAUUAGUUCCCUUGAAGAUCGAAACUAUAUGUCUCAAAGAUUGCAAAGCCUAUUUCGCUGACUUUGCAAUCCUUGUCUGAAUUCACUUGUUCGAAUAUCAAAGCUCCACUUUCGUUUUAUGAAUUGAUAUUUGGAAUAAUGGAUAAACAAUUAUCAAACCCUCCACUUUCGUUUCCACAGUUUGAUAAUGGUUGAUCCAUGUUAAGACGGUGAAUUCAGAUAAGAAAUUAGGGGUUACAUAAGAUUAAGGCUUAGAGCUUGGCUUGAUUAGGAUUAUGUCAUUUAGACUUAUCCAACAAUCCCAAGACAAGAGAAGUCUACUCACUAAUGUUCAUCGUAGACAAGGGGAAGAAGAGAGAAAGCAUAAAAGUAAAUAACAAUAAAGUAAAAUGAACUUUUAUUAGAAAGACAAUUGUCACAUAUUGUAUUCCAAGAAAAGAUGAAUAUUUGUGAUGGCUAGCUACUCUAUUUAUAGUACACAAUUGACUUAAAAUCUAAGCAAGUAUAUUCCAAGAAUAUUCCUCGGUAGAUUGUGCGCCAAAAUAGAAUAGCUUAGAGCCCAAGCAAAAGCAGCAAAAGGUCUUCUGGAGGGUGGCACGGCCGUGCCAAGGCUAGCACGGGCCGUGCCAAGCUUCUGACUUGUGGGAGACAUAUUUUGUUUCCCAAUCUUCAUAUUUUCGUGUCCAAUUUACUCCAAAUCCCUUUCUUUUGCUCCAAGACUCAAUCCAUCCAAUAUUCUUCCCUGAAAUAUAAUAAAUUGCAAUUUAAAGUAAACUAUCCUAAAAAGGAAAUAAUACUAAUAUAAAAUUAUAUAAAAUCUAAAUAAAACUAAACUAAAAAGCAUAUUAAAAUAGCAUAUAAAUGACUCAUCAAACUCCCCCACACUUGAAUCUUUGCUUGUCCUCAAGCAAAAGGCAUAAACAUAGUAGCACCAACAGUUAUAUCAAAUGACAAUUCAAUUAAAGCACAUGUCUCCUCAAGGGCUUAAAUCCCAAAUGUACACUAAUCACAAACUCAAGCAUUUCUUGUAAUUUUUAUUCAACCCAACGAUCAAGUUUCAAGUGAGUGUGUGUGUGAAGUCCAACCCUUUUCUUGCUCCUGUAUAAGAUAGGCAUUAUGAGGAAACAUGGUCUAAUCCUAGCACUAAACCAACCAAGAAAGAUUCCUUCUAUAAUUCAUAUAAGAGAGAUGGGAGUAUUUGAGAAUCUUUGUUCUUUGCCAUUUGCACAUUUUAAGUUCUUUAUUUAAGGAACAACAUCUUCACGUAGGAGGUCGGAGGGCCUACCCCCUUCCCCAAUCUAGAUUCAAUGGUAUCCCUUAAAACAUCAUCUUCACGUAGGAAGUCGGAGGGCCUACCCCCUUCCCCAAUCUAGAUUCAAUGAUGCGUUUUAAAGUUUUUUCUCAAGAUAACAAUCAUCUUCACGUAGGAAGUCGGAGGGCCUACCUCCUUCCCCAAUCUAGAUUCAAUGAUGAGAUCUUGGAAUUUAUUUGACUUUUUGGCUUUUUAUGAAUUCCCUUAUACUCACUUAUACUACUUGCACUUUGAGAAUCUUUAAAGGUUAAUGUACCACUAAGAUUAAAACGCGUUUCCUUAAAAUACCUAUUCAUACAUUUACUCAAGGGAAGCAACUUUGUGUUUUUCUCAUUGGAGAAUUUUAUUCACUUUAAAACAAGAUGUGGGUAUAUCAAGAAGACUUAAAACACAAGAGUUUGCUUUCAUGUACAAGAAUCAAUCAAAUAAGAGGAGACAAUGAAAAUUUUGUGUCAUGAUAUUUUCAAUAAAAAUUAGCUACUUAACCAUGCCUUUUACAAUAAAACAAAACAAAAGAAUAAAGUUCAAGGGAGUUUGGAAACACUACGACUAAAGACACUUUAUUAGGCUCCCCCCACACUUAGGAGAAGCAUUGUCCUCAAUGAUUCAAAAUAAGAUAAGCGAAGAAGAAGAAGAAGAAGAAGAAGAAGAAGAAGAAGAAGAAGAAGAAGAAGAAGAAGAAGAAGAAGGAGAAGAAGAAGAAGGAGGAGGAGGAGGAAGAGGAGGAGUAGUAAGAGAAGAGAGGAAGAGGAAAGCUCACAUUUUUCAUUGAGUUCUAUAGGUAGGACCUUGGAGGUGAAGAUGGUGCAUCAUGUUCCGAAGCAUUUGGUUAUUUUCUUCGGAUAUGCGGUUGCCCCUUAGGACAUAAUUCCUUAGUCCCGACAAUUCCACACCUUCCCUUAGUUGCUUGGUGUUUAUCCUCUCAGCCUCAGUAUGCAUCCAUGCCCAUCUUGCAUUUUCAUUUGUUUAUCCGGCAUCAUGGUCAUGGUGCUCCUUAUCAUGGUACAAUUGUGCACCUUCCUCUUCUUGGUGCAAAUGUGCAUCUUCCUCGCCUUCAUUAUCGUGUUCUUCAUGUACCUGUGGAUCAUCAACAAUAUACAACAAAUUUUCUUCCACCUCGGUGUUAGUCCGAGAUGGGUUAGAAAGUAUAAUCAAAAUAGGCACAAUGAGUUUGAGUGUGUAGGACAUGGGUGGAUGGGGCUUAAUGAAGUUCAUAAAGAUAAGGGUCUCUAUGUUAAGCCUAUUGUUUCCCUCAAUUUUUGUAAUCCCUUGGUCCUCACCCACUCCCAAUUGCCUAGCUAUGUAUGUGAUGAUACCACCCACAACUAUCUCUCCCCUACUAUCAAACCUAUUACCAUCAUGGGAAAGGUAAUCAAGCAAGUAAAAGCAUGUGUUAACGGGGUGGUUGUUAAGCAUGGCCCACGACAUGAAGAGUUCAUCCUUCCUAGUGUUCCCCACUUCGGUCCUACCCCAAAUAGUGCCAGUCAUUACUUUUUGAAGGUAUCGUGUGUUAAAUUGCCUAAGGUCGGUGAUCUGUUCCCAAAAGGUGGUGGGUUGAUAGUCAACCGGCUUAAGACUUUGAUCCCAAGAGUCGUGGAUGAACCCCGCGUUAGCGAAGUCCAUCUCAUCACAAAAGUGUUGAAGCGACAUCUCGUAAUCAAUAUUCAUAAGCCGGAAAGAGAUUCUAUGAUUUAGGGUUAUCAAAAUUCAUCUUAUCCUUUGUAAAAACAUUUGAACUUAAAAACUUAAAGGUGAAACUUUCAUAACCCCACAUAGGUCGUAACAUAGCAACCCACCCUAAUCGUCUUAGAAAUUUAAACACAUUGUCACUAAGGCCUAAUGUAACCAAGUCAUAAUUAUCAGGGUACCUGCAAGGAUGUAAAGGUUUAGAGAUGAGAUUUUUAUACCUAUCCUUUUGCUUGUUGUCCUUGAAUAUUAUGCCAUGAUUAUUUGCCGGUACUUGCUUCUUUGGGGGAGGUCCUCUUGAAGAUGUUGCAACUUCUUUUCCACUUCUUUUGGAAGCCAUAGCCUUGACCUUGGUUGGACUUGGUGUGGUUUUGGUGAAGGUUGGGGUUAGUGAAUGUUUUUGGUGGAAAGGGUUGGUUUAGUGAUGGAGGGAAGGUUUAAGUGAGUUUUAGGAGUUGGUUGAUGGAGGUUGUGAAUUUUUUUGGAUUGGGUUGAUGAAAGUGGAUUUUGUAUGGAUGGUUGUGGUGGGAAUGGUUUUUGUGGUUGAAUUGGGUAAGAAAUUUUGUGAAUUGGUGAAUGUUUGAUGGAGAUGUGGAGGUUUGAGGUUUUGUGGUUAUGGAGGUUUUAGAGAGAAGUAGGAGGGAUGAGAGGGGUUUGGUUUGAAGAAUGAGGGAAGAAGAUGAAGGAAAAUGAGGUUUAACCUUACCUGAGGUCGGGCACGGCCGUGCUGAGGUUGGCACGGGCCGUGCCAAGUUCCUGGAGUUUGGCCUGGUUUGGGAAGGGCAAGGUCUGGCACGGCCGUGCCAGUGUGAGCACGGGCCGUGCCAAGGUUCUGGAGACCGGGGCUUCAAAAAAUUUCUUUUUCUUGAAUCAUAGUCGGACAAUUACCUACAAAACAAAUAAAAACAAAACACAACAAAACAAAAGCAGUUAAAUGCGUGGGUUGCCUCCCACGAAGCGCUUCUUUAUAGUCAUUAGCUUGACGUUCAAGAGGUUUCUCUACCCUAUGCCCAAUCUUUCCCAAAGGGAUAGUGGCGUCAACCUGGCAUUCUCUCCCAAAUCACACAUGGCUUUCUCAAUGCUUAUGGAUCCUAUGACACAAGGUAUGAGAAAACUUUCUAGAUUCUUAAGUUUAGAUGGCAAUUUGUUUGGAAGUAUAUCGAUUAAAAUUCUAAAUUGGUCAUCUAACUUUGAUUUGACAAAACCUUGUGUUAAUGGAUUUUUAGGCUCAUGAGGUGGUGAAACAAAUGGCUUUUCAUUUUCUCCUAUAGUUUUCUCACUUUGAGGCUCAUCACUUCCUAUCUCUCCCUCAUUGUUCUUAAUUUUCACAUCGGGGUCCUCUAAUUGGUUACCAUCCCUAAGAAAAAUAGAACUUAUAUAGCCUUUGGGGUUGGUUUCAGUUUGACCUGGAAAGAUCCCGGUGGUUUGAGAGGAAGUAGUCACGUGUUGGGCCACUUGAGAGAUUUGGGUUUCAAGUAUCUCAUUGUGAGUUGCUAUGGAGUCUACCUUGGAUGUGAUUUUGGCAAGAGAGUCAUUCAAAAAUUCAGUUUGGUUUUUAAGCUCUUGGAGCUGCUUGGAUUGAUUUAUAACAUAAUUUUCCAUUAAAAGUUCCAAGCUGGAUUUUUGAGGGACUCUUUGGUUGUUUGCAUAACUGGGUGGUGUUGUUUGUUGUCCAAAAAUAUUUUGAGGGGUUUGAUAAAAAAAUUGGUCGUUUCUAAACCCUCGAUUAUAUUGAGCAUAGUUUACUUGCUCAGGACCUCUAACAACACUACCUAGUUGGCAAUUAAUGCCAAUAUGGCCAAAUACACCACAAACUUCACAAGGAGGUGCUACAGGAGCAGGUGUGACAACACUAGUAUUCAUUGUAUCAAAUUUUUGUGUUAGUGUGUCAACCUUAGCAGUUAGAUGAUCAAGGGAGGAAAUUUUGUACAUACCUGCCUCUUUUUUAGAGGGUGAAGAAGCAGUGAUGACUCUCUCACUUGUCCACUGAUAGUGGUUUUGUGCCAUGCCCUCGAUCAAAUCAUAUGCUGCUGUGUAAGUUUUAUUCAUCAAAGCUCCACCUGCAGCUGCAUCAACAUAGAUUUUUGUGGUAUAUGAAAGACCAUUAUAAAAGGUGUGGAUAAUAAGCCACUUCUCUAAACCAUGAUGGGGGCAAAGCCUAAGCAUUUCUUUGAAACGCUCCCACGCAUCGUAAAGAGAUUCACCAUCUUUUUGAGUGUAUUGAAAAAGCCUCGCCCUGAAUUGAGCGGUUUGAGAAAGGGGAAAGAAUUGGGCAAGGAAAGCUCGCCUCAUUUGGUCCCAUGAAGUGAUAGAACCAAUAGUCAAUGAAUGAAACCAAGCACUAGUUCUAUCCCUUAAGGAAAAAGGAAAGAGGUGCAGCCUUACGGCCUCUUGGUUUGCCUUCAAAGUUCCACUGAGUUUUAAAAAAUUUGAAACAUGAAGAUUCGGAUCCUCAGUGGGUGAUCCGAAAAAUUGAUUUUGCUGCACUAGGUAAAUAAGUGCAGGCUUUAUUUCAAAUUUACUACCCUCAACCGUUGGGUACACAAUAGCAUCGUACGGCUCAUCUGAAGAUGUGAUUGCAUACUCUUUGAGAGCACCUUUCUCAUCCAUGUCGUUAUUAUUGUCUUUGAGCCAUGCCUGAAAUCAAAACGGUUAAAGAUAGAAAAUAAAAAAUAAGGAGAAAGGGAGGUAGAGAGAGAGAUAUAUAUAUAUAUAAAAUAAAAAUAAUAAGGAAAUAAAAUAUAUAUUAUAAAUAUAUAAAAAAAAUAAAAAAUAAAAAGGUAAGAAAAAGGAAAUAAAAUAUUUUAUAAAUAUAUGUAUAUAUACUAUUUUAUAUAUAUAUAUAUAUAUAUAUAUAUUUUAUAUUAUAUAUUUUUUUUUUUUUUUAGACUAACCACUAUUAAAAAGUUAAUCAAAUUACAAUAACUUCCCGGCAGCGGCGCCAAAAACUUGAUGGGAUAAAACCGCAAGUGCACGGUCUUACCGAAGUAGUAAAAUAAGAGUAUCGUUCCGACAGAGAGUUAUGAAUUCAAUUAACUUUUAAUAAUGAUUAGAUGAAAGUUUCAAAGGUUAAAAGUUUGGAUUUUUAAUUAUAAGAAAAUAAAGGAAAAGAUAAAAGCCUUGGGAUCGUUGGAUUCAUCUAAAUAACAAGUCCUUCUCAAACCAAAACUGUAAGCUUAUAAUGUUAUGUUAGACCUAAUUUCUCAAGACAGUUUCUCUUAUGUUCCUCUAGCAACCAAGCCUAUUUCGCUGACUUGAUUACUAUUAGAUUUUGGUUCCUCUAACAACCAAGCCUAUUUCGCUGACUUGAUUGUUAUUAGUUCCCUUGAAGAUCGAAACUAUAUGUCUCAAAGAUUGCAAAGCCUAUUUCGCUGACUUUGCAAUCCUUGUCUGAAUUCACUUGUUCGAAUAUCAAAGCUCCACUUUCGUUUUAUGAAUUGAUAUUUGGAAUAAUGGAUAAACAAUUAUCAAACCCUCCACUUUCGUUUCCACAGUUUGAUAAUGGUUGAUCCAUGUUAAGACGGUGAAUUCAGAUAAGAAAUUAGGGGUUACAUAAGAUUAAGGCUUAGAGCUUGGCUUGAUUAGGAUUAUUUUAUUUAGACUUAUCCAACAAUCCCAAGACAAGAGAAGUCUACUCACUAAUGUUCAUCGUAGACAAGGGGAAGAAGAGAGAAAGCAUAAAAGUAAAUAACAAUAAAGUAAAAUGAACUUUUAUUAGAAAGACAAUUGUCACAUAUUGUAUUCCAAGAAAAGAUGAAUAUUUGUGAUGGCUAGCUACUCUAUUUAUAGUACACAAUUGACUUAAAAUCUAAGCAAGUAUAUUCCAAGAAUAUUCCUCGGUAGAUUGUGCGCCAAAAUAGAAUAGCUUAGAGCCCAAGCAAAAGCAGCAAAAGGUCUUCUGGAGGGUGGCACGGCCGUGCCAAGGCUAGCACGGGCCGUGCCAGGCUUCUGACUUGUGGGAGACAUAUUUUGUUUCCCAAUCUUCAUAUUUUCGUGUCCAAUUUACUCCAAAUCCCUUUCUUUUGCUCCAAGACUCAAUCCAUCCAAUAUUCUUCCCUGAAAUAUAAUAAAUUGCAAUUUAAAGUAAACUAUCCUAAAAAGGAAAUAAUACUAAUAUAAAAUUAUAUAAAAUCUAAAUAAAACUAAACUAAAAAGCAUAUUAAAAUAGCAUAUAAAUGACUCAUCAGUGCCUAACACCUUCCCGUAGUGAAAACGACCCCCGAACUUAGAAUCUAAGGGUUUUUUCUCAAUUUCGCCCUUCCCAAGAAAAAAUAGAGAAUAUCAAAGAUUGAAAGGUUCAAGCCUAAUUUAUGACUUAACACCCGAAAAUCGCGAUAACAAUGUAGUUUGCUGAAGUAUAUAUUUAUACAUAGAUGUUGAUGAUGUAGUUUGGUGAAGUAUAUAUUUAUCCAUAUAUGAUGAUGAUCUGGCUAUAUAUAGGGUGUUAGAUUCAAUUGAUGAAUUUUAAUAUCUAUAUCUUAUUGUUGUGAAUCUCACCCCUUCUGCUUGAAAAUGUUGCCCUUCCUAUGGGUAACUUGCAGGUGAUCAUGAGUAGUCGGUGAUGGCUCAAGUGUCGUGUCUAGGGCUCUGAUACGUGGGAUGGGAUUUCUUAUAUUUUUUUCAUUCCUAUGUAUCAAUUUAGGAACAUGAUGAUGUAGCCUUAUGGUUGUUUAGAUUUCUUUGAUGAGGCUUUUAUGCCAAGAUAGUUUUAUGGACAAUUUAACUGUUGUCGUUGUUGUUUAAUGCAAAUAUUCCGUUGCAAAAUUAAUGAUGUUUUGAAAGAUGUUUAAUUAAAUAGUUUCAUAUGCUAUUUAAGAAAUUUUGGAUUAGUAGUGUGACAUGUCCGUUUGGGAAUUACUCUGAUGUGUGUUUAAUUAUUAGUUAAUUACUUUUGGGUAACGGGGUGUUACACUUUGCAUUACCAAGAUCCUUCAUCUCAAAUUCAUCAUUAAAUCUUUUCUUGAGUUUCUGAAUCUCUUGCCUGUCAGAACUUGCCAUAAGAAUAUCAUCCACAUAAAGGAGAAGGUAGAGAAUGACUUUCUCAUUCUUUCUCAUCAUGUAAACACAACUAUCAUAGUUGCUUCUCACAAAACCAGCCUUUACUAGGAACUCAUCAAACCGACGAUACCACUACCUUGGACUUUGCUUCAACCCAUACAAAGAUUUCUUCAAAAAACAAACUUUUGUAUUGUCUUCUACGAAACCUUCUGGUUGUUGCAUAUAGAUAGUUUCUUCCAACUCUCCAUGUAGAAAUGCGGUCUUCACAUCCAUUCGUUCUAACUCAAGAUCAUACAUGUUAACAAUUACCAUAAGUACCCUUAUAGAACAAUGUUUUACCACCGGUGAAAAGAUUUCAUUGUAAUCAAUCCCUUCCACCUGAGUAAAAUCCUUUGCUACAAGUCUUGCCUUAUACCUUGGUGAUACGACCCCGAAUAUACCUUCUUUCUUCUUAAACACCCACUUGUUUCCCACUACCCUUUGAUUCUUAGUAAUGAAACAAGUUUCCAAGUCUGGUUCUUCUCCAAUGAAAGCAUUUCCUCAUUCAUUGCCUUCAACCAGUCAUUGUUUUCAUUGCUUUCUAAUGCUUCCCUGAAGUUCUUUGGUUCCGAGUCUUGCAAUUCUUCAGCUGCAUUCAAAGCAUAAUAAAUAAAGCCAGCAUAACCGUAUCUCUCAGGUGGAUUAAUUUGUCUCCUCGUCCUAUCUCUUGCUAGCUGAUAGUCAGGAUUAAUUAUAUCUUGGCCUUCACUCUCAUCAGGUACUAGAGUCUGAUCCUCCCCUUCCCUUUCAUUAGUGGUAGGCUCCACCUCAAACUGAAUUUUCUUUUAUCCCCGUUUCUGAGCUUGUAUCCAGGUCUUUGCACUUCAUCCCCAUGCGGGUCUCAUCAAAAGUAACAUCCCUGCUUAUAAUAAAUUUUGAUCCUCCAGGUUCCAUCUUCCACAGUCUGUAACCUUUCACACCUUCAGGAUAACCCAUGAAAAUACACUUCACAGCUCUAGCAUCAAGUUUGUCUUGUCUGACAUGAGCAAACGCUAAAGCUCCGAAAACUUUCAAGUUAGAGUAGUCUACCGGUCUCCCACUCCAAACCUCCAUAGGUGUCUUGAGAUCUAUCCCUAUUGAUGGACAUCUGUUAAUCAAAUAUGCUGCAGUACUAACAGCCUCUCCCUAGAAACUCUUGGACAAUCCAACUCCCAACAGCAUACACCUCAAACGCUCCAACAAGGUCCUAUUCAUUCUUUCAGCAAGACCAUUAUAUAUGUUGAGGUGUGUAUGCCACAGUUUUAUGCCUCUUUAUACCUUUCUUCCUACAAAACUCAUUAAACUGCUCUGAAACAAACUCCAGACCAUUGUCAGUUCUCAACACUUUCAGUUUAGUUCCAAUCUGAUUUUCUACAAGUAUAUCCCAUUCUUUGAAUUUUUCAAAAGCAUCACUUUUAUUCCUUAGAAUGUAAACCCAUACUCUUCUAGAAUAAUCAUCAAUGAUAGACAUGAAAUAUGAACCUCCCCCAUGAGUCUUAACUGAUGCAGGACCCCAAAGAUCCGAAUGAACAUACUCAAAAGGCCUACUAGAUUUAUGCACACCCACCCCAAACUUCACCUUGUGUUGUUUGCCUAAUGUGCAGUGAUCACAGAAAUCUAGUUUGUUCAAUUUUUCAUUCCCUAGCAAACCUUGUUUAGCUAGCUCAACCAAACCCCUCUCACUGACAUGACCUAACCUCAAAUGUCAUAGUUUAGUCAUGUCCAGAGUGUCAACACUAGCAAUUGAUGCAUGAGCUAUUACAGUGGAACCUUCUAAAAUAUAUAAGCCAUGUAUUUUAGACCCUUUAGCUAUAACCAAUGCACCAUGAGAAAUUCUCAUCAUACCAUGUUCAAUUCUAGUGCAAUAUCCUAGACCAUCAAACAUGCUUAUAGAUAUUAAAUUUCUCUUCAGUUCAGGAAUAUACCUCAUAUCCUUCAAAAGGAAAUCACGGGCAUCAAAUAUUUUGAGACGGAUAGUGCCAAUACCUUGAAUUUUACAAGCCUUAUUGUUUCCAAGGCGAACUACUCCACCUUCUUCCAGCUCUAACGUUUCAAAGUACUCCUUUCUCGGACAGAUGUGAUAAGAGCACCCAGAGUCCAAGACCCAGCCCUUUUCAGGUUCCCAACUUGUCACAGUUAGUGCUCGAGCACUCUCAUAACCUUCCUCGUCUCUUGCAAGCUGAACGGAUGGAUUACCACCUCCAUUGUCCUUUCUCUCCGGACAAUCUUUCUUGAAGUGACCUGGAUUGUGACAAAUAAAACAUUUGUACUGUGUUUUAUUUCCAUCACCCUUCGACCUAGACUUUGACCUGGAAUUCUUGCCUUUCCCUUUUCCUCUGUUUUGACUUCUUCCCCUUGAGACAUUCAAGCCUUCUCCACUAUCAUCAACCUUCAAAUCUUUGAACUUGGUCAACUCUUUGGUUCUCAAAGCUGCUUGAACUUCCUCCAAAGUGAUAGUGCCGUCUUUGCCAUAGAGCAUAGUAUCCUUUAAAUUCUCAAAGGACCAAGGUAAAGCACACAGUAGGUGUAAGGCUUUAUCCUCGUCUUCCAGAUUAACAUCUAUGUUCGCCAAAUCAUCAAUAAUCUUAUUGAACUCCGUCAGUUGCUCCAUUAUAGGUUUUGACUCCACCAUUUGAUAAAAGUAGAGUUGUUGUUUCAGACAUUGUCUAUGUGCCAAAGACUUGGUCAUGUAUAAUGAAUCAAGUUUAUUCCACAUAGACACAACAAUAGUCUCCCUUGAUACUUUUCUCAACACCUUAUCCCCAAAACACAGAAUGAUAGCGCUGACCGCUUUAUCAUUCAUCUCCGUCUUCUCAGCAGGUGUCAGAUGUGUAGACAUCUGUGCUUUUCCCUUCAAUGCUUCAACACACUUUUGUUGAAUUGGAAUUGCCCUCAUCUUUACCUUCCACAACCCGAAGUCGUUACUACCGGUAAAAUUUUCAAUAUCCCACUUCGAACCCAUGAUACCUGGUUAUUGAUUUGACCUUUGCCCCACGGUGGGCGUCAAUUGUUAUGAAUUCGUUGAGAAAACCACACCAAUAAAAACUUGAUGCGUGGAGCAAAUUAAUACCAGAUAAUCAAAUCAAGCGAGUAGCAAAUAAUCCAAAACAAAAGUAAAUAGCAAGAGAUAAAAGGAAGAGAGAGAGAGAACACAAGAAUUUGUUUACCCAGUUCGGUCUAAUGAUGACCUAGUCUGGGGGAGAGAGCAGCUCUCCGUUCCACUAUAAUGAUAUGAGUUUCUUUACAAAGAGAUAUUGAGUUAUAAGAAUCAGUCUUCAAACCUAAUUCUACCCAAGUCCCAGCCUCUUCCCGUGACCAAGAAACUCAAUCUUAAUAGUGCUUUGUUCAAGGUGAAUCAAAACAAUCCCAACCCUAGUGUUGUUGCCAAGAGAAAUUCUCUAUAAACCCUAGUUUGUAUGUUGGUUUCUAAACCCUAUUUUUCUACACACUUUAUCAUAUGAUACAAGGCUUAUAUUUAUAGUGGAAAGUAAACACUUAAAAAACUGAAACAAAUCUAACUGAAAAUACGUUUUAAAAAUAUCUUCAGUGCGUCCAUCGUGGCACGAUGUCGGGCCAUCGUGGCAUGAAAUUUCCAGUAGCUUCCUCAGAAUCUUGCUUCAACAAUCGUGGUGCGAUGUUUCUCCAUCGUGGCACGAUUCUCCAGAUUUCUGAUUUGACCAUAUAAUCAUUAAUUCCUUGGACUAAUUAAUGUUUCACCUUACAGAAGUGUUGGGAAUCAUGACAUCCAUAGAAAGAAUGAGAGAAAACUAACAAACUCUUUGUAUUAUGCAAAAUGGAAUAUUACAAAUGAGUGAAAGUAUUCCAAUAAUCGGGUGAUUACAACUAUAUAUACUACUAUAGGGCUGUGGCUACGGUACGAGACCAUUAUAGGUUUCUCACCGUGCAAGACCUCUUAAUUUUUUUUUUUGUUUGUUUCAAAUUGUUUAGGAGCCAUAGGAUUUAAUUUUAAGUGAAAUACAGGGAUUAAUUUAAAAGUUCUCAAAAGUUGACUGUUAAAAUUUGUAUUGUUGAUAAACAUUGUGGAAUUUGUAGUUUCAUUUGAAAAGGGUGAUUUAGUCAAUGAACCCAAAAUAUUGUUUAAAAAUAUAGUAAUUGUCCUUAUAUUUACCAGCACGUGUCUUUCCGCUUUUUUUGUUGCGCUAACAGAUGUAAAUUAUGAACUGUAUUUUAUAAAAUUUUGAUUUUGAUUAAAUUAUAAGUAUAAAUAUUUGCGACUUUCUAAUUGUAACAAACCCAAAAAAAUCAUAUUUAUUUUUUUCAAUAACAGCUAUAAUAUAACAAAUAUAAUAUAAACCCUUAUAUUGUUUUUAAUACCACCAACAAUAUAUAUACAAAAACUUGUUUAAUGGAAUAAUUAAAAUUAUAAAAAAUUCAGCCUAAAAUCUAUAUCUCUUCAUACAUAAUAUUGUUCUUAUUGUAGUAAGAUAUUUCCUAUUUUAAUGGAAUUUAAUUUUUAAAUAAAAUCGUAAAAUUUAAAAUAAUAUUAUUAAAGGAUAAUAACAAAUUGUAACAAAAAAAAAUGAUAAUAACAAAUAAAAAGUUUAAAUUAAGUGUAAAAUAGGUCAUGAAAAAUCCAUCCCAAACUCAUGUAUUUCAAACUUAUUUUCUUUAUAUAUAGUAUAAAUUAAAAAAUUGUCCUUAUGUCGGAAUCUGCAUUGUCAAAACUAGCGAAAAUCCUCUAAUGACUAACUUUCGUUCUUUUAGAAUCUUCUAAAGAAUAACAAACAUUUAGAAUCCUCCAUUAUUCAUUUUCCAAUAUAUAAUAUACUUAAUCUUUAAAAAAAAUAGUUAUAAACAAUGUUUAAUUGUUUAUCGACACCGGUUUGAAUUAAAAAAAAAAAAAACAAACAACUUCUACUAAUUUUUAUGGCACUUUUUCCAUUUCUUUUUAAGUAUCGUUCGACUAUGGAUUUAGCGUUCUUAUUUAACUGUCGUUUUGGCAUUUUAUGGGUAAGAUUUGUCACUUGUACCAUUUCUCAAUUACUCUUAUCUUUUUCAUUAAAACUAAUUAAUGACACCUAUUUUAAAAACAAAAGUAUGUUACUUUUAAGCAAAAGAUGUUUUUUUUCUUCAAACAAAGUUUGUUUUUUUUGUUAUCUUAAACAUUCAAAUCUAUGUCACACGGUGUGAAUCUAGUACUAAAGUAUGUUGCAAUUAUUAAAAAAUAUGUGUACAAUAUUUAGGUACCGGUUGGCCGGCUUUUUUUCAGCUUCUCUACAUUUUUAAGGAGAAGCUGGGCCAAUUUAUUUCACAAGCACCUCUCUUCAACUCAUACCGACAAACUUUUCUUUUAUUUUUUAAUAAUAUAUUUCAAUUUAAUUUUUUCUUCCAUUUUAUUUUAUUUUAUUUUUUUGAACCGGUCCAUUUAAUUAUUUUUUUGAAGGAGGGUCCAUUUAAUUUUAUUAUAUUUUUUUUGUAGGAAUUUUAUUAUCUUUUUAUCACUUAUAUAUUUAGUUUCAAUAUCGUUUAAUCAUCACAACCUCAUAAAUAUUUUUAUUUCCUUUCUUCAACCUCGCAAAUAUAUACACACACAUUAGCAUUUAGAGUAAUACUUUAUGUCUUCCUGCCUGUUUUUUUGUUACGCUAAUGCGUAUAAUUUAUUUUUAGUGUUGCAUAAUGCAUAUAAUUAUUUUUUUGGUUAAUAGGUCUUUACCCCCUGUAAUAUAGGGCACUUUUGGUUUUGCCCCCUGUAAAUUUUUUUUUUUAGAUUCCGUCCUUGUAAAAUGAAGAUUCUUCAAGAUUGCCCCCUGAGCCCUGUGACUCAGCAGAAUCUAUGAUGUGGCGCCUACAUGGCAUUUUUUUUUCUUUUUUUUUUGGAUGCCAAGUGUAAAAAAUAAUUUACAUGUCAUUUAAAUUUAAAAAUAAAAAAAAAUCUAUUUUUUUUUAAAACGAAAAAUAAUUUAAAAAUCAGAAGAAAAAAAAUAGAAAUUAUUUUUCAAAAAUUUAAAAAAUUGAAAUUUUUUUUUUAAAAUAAAGUUCCAGAUUUUUUUUAAAAUACUUCCUAAUUCUUUUUAAAAAAUCGAAAAAAAUUUCAGAUAUUUUUUAAAAAAAUUAAGUUCCGGAUUUUUGUUAAAAUCAGAAAAAACAUGCAGAUUUUUUUAAUUUAAUUUUUUUUAAAAAAAAUAUUUUAUAUUUCAAAAUCUUUAUUCCAGAAAUUUUAUGAAUUCUUUUUUGAAAUUAAAUAAUUAGAAAAAAAUUCAAAUAUUUUUUACAAAUUCAAAAAAAUUAGAUAAUACUUUUUUUUCUAAAUUUAAUAUUUUUAAUUUAAUUCGGAUUUUUUUUAAAAAAUUUAGUAUAAUUUUUUUGGAAAAUUUGGAAAUAUAUUAAGUUCGAGAAUGGAAACGGUAUACCAUAUGGGUUUUCCUAUCAUUGAUGGGAAAUAUAUUAAUAUAGCAUUUAGAAAAAAAUUCAAAAAAUAUAUUCCUGAAUUUUUACGAAUUUAUUUUUUAUUUAAAAAUAAAAUAAAAUCAUUUUUUUUUCUGAAAUUAGGAAGUAUUUUAAAAAAAAAAAAACUGGAUUUUAUAAAAAAUUACAAAAACAAAUCAGAAUUUUUUCUAAACUUAAAAUUUUCGAAAAUAUCUGAAGUUAUGAUUUUAAAAAUUUAAAUAAAAUCAAUUUUUUUUCAGAUUAAAUAGUUGGAAUUUAAAAACAUUUAUAUCCAAAUUUUUAAAAAUUAAAAUAUUUUCCAGAAUUUUCAUUCUUUGUAGAAAAAAUUAAAAAAACAUUUUUAUUUCGAAAAAAAUCUGAAUGUUUUUUAAUUUCGAAAAAGAUAAGACAAUUUUCUAUUUCAGAAAAUAUAUCUAAAUGUUUUUUAACUUUUGGAAAAAAAAUCUAAUUUUUUUUCGAUUUAAAAAAAUAGUUUGAAUUUUUUCAGAUUUUUUAAAGUUUUGGAAAUUAAUUUUCAUAUUUUUUAAAAUAUGAUUUUCGGUUUUUUAAAUUUAAUUUUCUAUUUUAAUUUUUUUAAAUAAAAAUGACGUGUAAACUAUUUUUUACUAGUGGCAAGCAAAAAAAUAAAAAAUAAAAAGAAAAAGCCAUGUAGGCGCCACAUCAUAGAUUCUGCUGAGUCACAGGGCUCAGGGGGCAAUCUUGAAGAAUCUUCAUUUUACAAGGACGGAAUCUAAAAUUUUUUUUUUUUACAGGGGGCAAAACCAAAAGUGCCCUAUAUUACAGGGGGGUAAAGACCUAUUAACCCUUAUUUUUUUUAAUAUUUUGAUUACAAUUAAAAAUAUAAGUAUAGAUGCCUCAAAAAAGUUAUACUUAUAUAUAUUUUGCACCUUUAUAAUGUAACAAACUAUGCAUAUCUUUUUCUUAUUCAAAAAAUUUAAACAUAUCUUUUUCAUUGACAACAACAAUGUAACAAAUAUAACAUCAUAUAAUAUAAAUUCUUAUCUUUUUGAAUGACACCAAAAAUAUGGUAUUCUUAUAACAAAAUUUGUUAUAGAUUAUAAUUGGAAAAGAAUAAACCAACUAUUUUAAUAUUAUUUAUUUUAUUAUUUGUGUCUCCUUAAAUUAUUUCUUCUAUUCAAAUAUUUAACAAGUCCUUUAUAUGAUGAUACGAAUUUGUAUUCAUAUUACACAAUAUAAACGCCAUUGAGUAAAUAUAGUAUUUGUAAAAAAAAAUAUCUUUUAUAUUUUAAACAUUUUGGGUCCUGCUAACCGGUGCCCCCGGGGCACGGGUUAAGCAUACCAUAAAAGGGAAUUAUUACCAUAAAAGGAAAUUGUUUUUGACUUUAUUAUAAAUUAAUUACACAAUUUUAAUGCAUUAACUACUAUAUAAUUUCCUUUUUUAUAUCCUUAAUCAGUGUCCGGGGGCACCGGUUAACAUUUCCCAAACAUUUUUUCCCUUCAAAAAAUAUUUUAAACAUAUUUUUAUUUAUUAUGUUAAUUUAUAAUAAAUUUAAAGUUUUGUCCUCGUGAGCUUAGCUCAGUUGAUAUGGAUAAUGCAUAAAUAUAUACAAGGUCUGGGGUUCGAACCCUGGACACCACAAAAAAAAUAUUAAAAGUUUUGUACAAUAUUUUGCCAAACAACUUUUAACUUAAAAAUAGUUUUAAAACUAAAAGAAAAUGAAGAAAACAAACAGCUUUAGCUUAUUUUCUAAAGAGCUUUAUUUUAACUUUGUUUUAAAGUAAGUAGCUUUUAGUAGACCGUAAAAAAGUCUGGCCAAACGGUAUCUUAGAUUAUUGAUAAUUGUUUGUCAUGGGAGGGAGAUAAAGUGUGUUAAAAAUAUAAGAAUUUGUUGAAAAAAAAAGAGUGACUAACAAUUGUUUGUUAUAAGAAAAAGAUAACGCAUUAUAUUUAUUGACAAAGAAAGUGUGUGCCAAAAAAUAGAAAUUUAUUGACAGAUUAACACGAGGGUAUAAUAGGAAGAAAAAAUGCGUACAUUCAUUUCCUUAUUUUGAUGUUAGUAUUCCAAAACGACACCUUUUUUUUUUGAUGAAACAAAGGGGCUAACAGCCCAAAAGAACUAGAAAUCACGCGGGAAACUAACCGCUAAAGUAUCAGCAGCAACAUAAUUUAAACUAAAAUCAAGGAUAUAAUCAAAAAUACUAAUAGAGCUAUAUAAAGAAAGACCAAACUUUGCUAAACUAUCAGCAACCUGAUUUGCCUCUCGAAGCACAUGAGACCAAGUUAAGACGCAUCCCAACCUAUUCUGAUUCCUCCAAAACGACACUUAAAAAAGAAACGAAAGGAGUAAUAUAUAUUAAACUAAAAUUUAAUUUAUUUUUAUCCAAAUAUAGUUAAUAUAUGGUCAAAUGCAUCUAAAGGUCCUUUAAGUUUUUCGUUUUCCCAAAGUGAUCUUUUAUGUUUCAAAAGUCCUAAACAAGUCCUUUUAGUUUUUGAAUCGUUUCAAACAAGUCCUAUUGUAGAUGACAUAAUUGGUAAUUGCUUCAUUGAACUCAUCUUUGGUAUCAAAUCUGACUCCUAACACCCACUUAAAAUUAGUCAUCUUUUUAGGCAUGACAAAUGGUGGAUAAUGUUCUUUGUUGCUAUCAUCUGAAUCAUCACCAUUAUUCUCUAAAAAGACUUGUUUGAAACGAUUCGAAAACUAAAAGGACUUGUUUGGGACUUUUGAAACUUAAAGGACCACUUUAGGAAAAACGAAAAACUUAAAAGGACCUUUAGAUGCAUUUGACCUUAAUAUAUUAAUUUAAAUAGUUGGAAAUAAUUAACAUCUUCAACGAAUUGCGGAAGAGGGACAAGUUCCUAUUAAUGCUCCUCAGGUUAUGGCUCCCAAUGAUUCUGUUGUGUUGGCGCCUAUGAAGAAGAGUCACAGCGGUCGUGGGUUAUCAUUUCCGCCCCGGGGUACUCGUUCUCUAGAGUCGGGACCUUGGAGUCUUGAGUGGUUGAGUGAUCAACAUCAUGGGGAUGCAGGCGUUAUCUCUUCAUCCAGAAAGAAAGUAAAGAAGGUGGUGUGGCCUAGUUCUCAUCCGGUUGACAACCUUGUUAAGAAACGUAAGAAGGUGAAUGGCGUCCUGCGUCAUUGUGUGCAUAGUCUGAAAAAAGCGGUCCGGUUACCAUGUAAAGACCGCUCAUCGGUUUUAAAAUUUUUGAAGAAAAAUGUUAGGAAACGUCAAGGUUCCGACCAGCUUAAGAAAGUGGUGGAGGUGGUGUCUCAAAAUGUUUAUGAUGGUAUUUCUUCAUCUGACUCUAUGAAUAAUGACUGGUCUCACUGGGUGGUUUUAUAGGGGAACGAGAAGGUUGCGCUGGAGGAUGUUUGGGGUAUUGGUAAGGCUAUUGGGGUUCAGUUCGACGGGGAGUCCCAUAAUAUGUUUGGGGUGUUAGCUAGAAAAGGUAGAGGAAGGGGUCAAACUAAUAGUGAGGUCACUCUGGAAGGAGGAGGUGCGGUGGAGAGGGGUCGUUAGGUGUCGGACGUGGAGGGUGUGAGGAAGGGUGAGGGUGUUAGGGAUGAAGUUGAUUUCUUGGAAUGUUAGGGGAUUGGGAGGCUUAGAAAAGAGAAAGGAUGUUCGUUCUCUAGUUAUCGAAAAGAGUCCGUUGAUUUUGUGUUUACAAGAAACUAAGAUGCAAGUGUGUGAUGACGGUUUUUGUGCUUCUCUAUGGGGUAGCUCUGCAGUCUCCUUUUCUUUUCGUCCUUCUCAAGGGGCGUCCGGAGGGUUGCUAACGUUGUGGGAUAACUCAGAGGUGGAAGUGUGGUCUUCUUUUAGUUGUCCGCAUUCUUUGAUCAUCAAUGGCCGUUUCAUCAAAUCCAAUGAGGAAUUUUAUCUCCUUGUGACGCUGCUUCCCGAAGACUUUUAUGGGAGUCUUUAUCUCCUCGAUUACAUAUUUUAAGGGGGAAGAAAGUUUGUGUUUGUGGGGAUUUUAAUGCAGUCCGUUGUAGAGAGGAGAGAAGGUCCGUUUCAGAAGGUAAUAUCAACUCAGAUUUUACAUAGUUCAAUGCUUUUAUAGACUCUAAUUUUUUGUGUGAUCUUCCUUUGGGAGGAAGAAUAUUUACUUGGUUCAAAGGGGACGGUAAGUCGAUGAGUAGGCUUGACCGGAGUCUGUUGUCUAAAGAGUGGUGUUUGUUGUGGCCUAAUUGCUUACAAAUUGCGCAGUUGAGAGGAUUAUUGGAUCAUUAUCCUUUGGUUUUGUCUGUGGAUGAGGAAAAUUGGGGUCCGAGACCAACGAGAUUGUUGCAAUGUUGGAAGGAUAUUCCGGGGUACAAUCAAUUUGUGAGUAGCAAGUGGAGUUCUUUUCAGGUAGAUGGAUGGGGGGGUUAUGUGUUAAAGGAAAAAUUGAAAAUGAUAAAAUUAGCUCUGAAGGAGUGGCAUGCUUCUCAGACUCAAAACUUACCUAGGAAAAUUCUUGACCUCAUGGAACGUAUGGCAGCCUUAGAUGGUAAAGGUGAAAUGGAGGUGCUGACUGAAGACGAAUGUGCUGAGUUACUUGGUGUUUCGUCGGAUAUACACUCUUUGUCCCGUCUUAAUACUAGUAUUUGUUGGCAGCAGUCCCGUGUUCAGUGGUUGCGAGACGGGGACGCAAAUUCUAAAUUUUUCCACUCAAUUAUGUCGGGGUGGAGGCGCCUUAAUACUUUGUGUUCUAUUCUGGUUGAUGAUGUGGUGGUGGAGGGAGUGCAACCUAUUCGUAAUGCUGUUUUCACUCACUUUGCAAAUAUGCAGUUCAGCUCGUUAUCAGUGGCGAAAGGGGUGAGUUUAAUAAAGCAUUUCUCGGUUGAUGAAGUAAAGGUAGCUGUAUGGGAUUGUGAUAGUUUCAAGAGUCCGAGUCCGGAUGACAUUAAUUUUGGCUUUAUAAAGGAUUUUUGGUCGAACAUGAAGGAUGAUAUUAUGAGAUUUGUGACUGAGUUUCACCGCAACGGUAAAUUGUCAAAAGGCAUCAACACUACUUUUAUUGCUUUAAUUCCUAAAGUUGAUAGUCCUCAGAAGCUUAAUGAUUUUCGUCCUAUCUCUUUGGUGGGGAGUAUGUACAAAAUUUUGGCAAAAUUGCUCACUAAUAGACUUCGAGGGGUGAUUGACUCUGUUAUCUCCGACUCAGCACAAGACAACGGCACUACUGGCCUUGUCCACCAUCUCGGUCUUCUCCGCUCGUGACAUGGUGACCGGUAACGAACCUUCACCUUCAAAGCUUUCUCACACUUCUGCUGUAUUAACACCGCUUCCAUCUUUACCUUCCAUAACCCGAAAUCGUUAUCUCCGGUAAACUUCUCAAUAUCCCACUCUGAACCCAUGGUACUUAAUUAUCCUUCGACCCUUGCCCCACAGUGGGCGCCAAUUGUUGUGAAUUCGAUGAAAAAUCACACCAAUAACAACUUGAUGUGUGGAGCAAGGGAUAAUUAAGCAACCAAAAACCAAAGUGUAUGAAAGUUAUAAAUACAAGCCAAAAGUAGAAAACAACGGCGAGAAGAACACAAAGAAGAAGAAGAACACAAAGAAAUUUGUUGACCCAGUUCGGUCCAAUCUGAGCUAGUCUGGGGGAGAGAGCAGCCCUCCAAUCCACUAUAUGAUGAGUACCGUUACAAAGAGAAAUCAAUGGGUUACAAGAAUAAGUCUCCCGCCUAAUUCUACCCAAAGUCCCAAUCUCUUCCCGUAACCAAGAGACUCCAAUCCUAAUAGUGUUUCCCAAGGUGAAUCAACCCACAAACCCUAGUGUUUGCUCCUAAGAGACAAACUCUAUACAAACCCUAGUUUUGUUGUUGCUUUUCUAAACCCUUGUUUCAGCACCCUCUAUCUCUCUCUCUCUCUCAAAGUUUAGCCUGAUACAAGGUCUAUAUUUAUAGUAAAAGUAUAACUCAUAAAUUUGGAACAAAUACCACACUGAAGAUACGUUUUUUUUCUCCUUCAGUGAAAGAAUAUUUGCAUCAAAAAUAUAAUAUUCCCUUUCAAAAUAUAUUUGCAUCAAAUCGUUCUUCAUACGAUACAAAAAUAUAUUUAUUGUCCAUAAAUAUAUCUUCAGCACAAUAUAUAUUUGAAACAAAUCUUUUAUAUUUUUAGCAACAAUAUUCUCCAUCCAUCAAAUUUUGAGUCAUACUACAACAUGUACUCUAAUUAUAUUUGACAUAAGUAUAAAAAAUUAAGGUACAUUGAAUAAUAGCAACAAUAGGGUAUGACUGUCACCAAUAUAAUGCUAAUCUAUUUAACAAAAUUUGGAUAAUAGUAUCCACGAUAGGUGAGAUUACAAUUAUACAAAUCAAUAAUAUUUAUGCUUAAGAGAAUAUGAUAAAAUAAUAUCAUGCAUAAACAAUUGUACAUAAUUUACUCAACUUUGAUCAUAUUCAAAUAAUAGAAAAACAUGCUUAACAAUAUUUUAAACUAGCACAUCAUAAUAUCCAUAUUAGAACUCUUAGAAUAUUUUUUUCCUUUCAAUACUCCCACUAUAAAUUAGAAUUAGAAUAUAAAUACAAAUGGAGUAUUAUAGUAAAAUAUAUAAGAAUUAUAGAGUUCUAUUUAGAAUAUUCUGGAAAAAAGAUUUCACUUCUAUAUAGGAUAUCAUAAUUGCACAACAAAAGAGAAUAAUGAAUAAAUGUUUUCAUAUGUGCAAUAAUAUACGAUAAGUCACAAUAGGAUAAAAAUAAUUAAAUCACGACUUACCUCGUAAUGUGUGACAUUCAUCCUUAUGCUUAGAGCCAACGACUUUUGAUGAUUUAAAGAUAAUAUCUUAUAAUAUAGUCAUCUCAAAAUAAUCAUGAAUAGAGAAUAAGUCAUUAUAACUAAACAUAUAUGAGACUCUAAUUAUAAAUCAAUAUGAUUUAUAUAAGAAUUUAGACAUAAGGAUGAUAUUUGGUUUAAAAUUGCCCCAAAUUUAAUAAGUUGUUUUGAUAAUAUUUAACUAAUAAACAACAAAGAGCGUGCAAAUUUUAAUUCAUAAUUAGAAUUUUAGCAUAAAAAAAUGUAACAAUGCACUAUAUAUAGUUUAAUAUUAUCUUGAUUCAAAAAUUUAAUUGUGAAAAGACACAUAAUUAAAGAGUUAGCAUUAUUUGUCACAAAAUUUAGAAUAAUAAAUUACGUGUCUAGAUUAGAGAGUAUAGUAGAAAGUAUAAUCUAUAUUAAAGAGAAAUAUGCCAAUUUAAAUUCAUUUAAUAUAAAUGGCAUCUAUAAUAUACAAUUCACUAUACUUAUUUUUUUUUUGGAUAAACCGGGAGUGUGGGCAUGCAUCAAGAGGAAACACCGACAUCCUAACUAGGUUGGCACCCCGGGGAACCUCCAUCCUAUACAGCUACGCUCAAAUUUUAUUAAAAAAAAGGGGGAAAAAUAAUUACAAAGAGGGGGGACUAGGCCAAAACCCUCAAAAACAAACAAAGAACAAAGAAAAGAAAUCACAGACUAAGGAAAUCUGUAAUUAGGAAGUCCACAUCUAUCACGAAAAUAAUCAAAGCCUAAAUCCGGUGGUAGAGUAGAAUGCCAAACCGCACUGGUGAUGGAAUGACCAAGGUUUGCUAACCUGUCAGCACAAACACUACCUUCACGAUAUAUGUGGGAUGAAAUAACCCAAACUCCUAGGCGAAGAGCAUUGUGCCAACGAUUGCGAAGCAUAAUAGGAACCAACGAGGGAGACUUGAAGACCACAAUGGCACUUGUAGAAUCGCAUUCCAACCAGAGAUUGGUCCAACCAUGGAGAGCCGCAAAUUCCAGGGCAAAGAUGAUCCCCUGAACCUCGGAAGAAAAAACUGAGGCAUGACCCAGAUUACAAGAAAAUGCACCGAGGAAAGUACCUAAAUGAUCACGGAAGAUACCACCACAAGCAGCCCGAUUAUUAACAACCGAGCCAUCCGUAUUCACCUUCUUCCACGGAGGAGAGGGAGCUUUCCAAGAAACUGUAAUGAUGUCCAUGACGCGUCGAUGAUGAGGAGAAACAGCGAAAGCAUCAAGAAUUGGAGCAUCCAAUAAUAAACAUUGACCAGCAGACAGGUUACCGCUUAGAGACACGGCAGCCUGUAAUCUAACCUUGGCAGCAUGAAUAGAUACAACAUUCGAUGAGAAGCGUAGAGAAUUUCGCGACAACCAAAUAAUAUGUAAAGUAUGAACGAUUGCCGCCACAAAGAUGUCAGCGACCUGCGUGGAGCACCUAACCGGAACACAAUCCGAGAGGGCAGCCACAGUAGUGAGAUCAAUCACACAAUUUAACUUACCCCCAAUCCAAGACCAAAGCUCAACCGCAAAGGGACAAAGGAGGAACAAAUGCACAGAAGUUUCAUCAGUUAGCAUAGAUAAAUUGCAAAUAGAAACAAUAGCACAACCUCUAGCACGGAGGUUCUCAUCAGUGGGCAUCUUGCUAUGCAUCAAACGCCAAUAAAUAAAGGAGUGGGACGGUGGUAUACAACACCUCCAUAUCAAGUCCGGCCAAAGAAGCGUAGGUGCAGCCGGUGUCAAAAAAGAUUUUGCAUGUUUUGCGGUCAGCCUACCAUCCGUUGUGUGUUGCCAAACUAGCACGUCAGCAAGAGGGGAGGUUGGCAACACCAAUGUGUCCAAAGCAGAGGCCACAUGCGGCAGCAAGGCACCUGGGAAGUUCCAUGCUCAUUGUUAAUCACAUCCGAAACUGUCCCGGAGAAUAGGUCAUGAAUGUUCGGAUCAACAUGAAGAAGAUCAAGAAGAGGCUCACCCAUCCAGUUAUAUGAUCCAUUAAAUCAAUUUGUGACAAAGAUUAAAGAAGGUGUCAAAAUUUAUAUAUGUGGAGAUUGAUUAAUUAGAGAUUUUUGGAUCUUUAUGCUAAUAAUAUGACAAAUAGAGAUGUAUAUAUGUCAAGAAUAUACACAGUAUAAUAGUCAAGUUAAUUUUGACAGGACAAAUAAUUGAGGAUAUCAAGAAAUCUCAAAAUAUAUAUUAAUAAAGAAUAUUUGAUGCAAGAAUAUAAGUUUGAGUCUAAGAAUUUUCACAAUCAUAUAACACUUUAAAAGAAUAUUUUACACAAAUUUUAUUACUAUAAAAAGUAUUCUCACAUCGGAUAUUUUAGACUCAAAUAUAAAGAGUAUAUGAUUUAAAAGAGUUUAUAAUUCUCGUAUUAUUUGCAUCUAAUAUAGGAGAUUUCAUGAAGUAAUUUAAAUCACAAAUUUUAAGGGUCCAGAAUAAAUCAAAUCUUUUUUAAAAAUAUUUUGGAUGCAAGAAAAAUUAUAUUUUUAUCUCAAAAUAAUAUAAUAUUUACUAGUUUAAGUAGAGAUGUAAGAUUCCUAAUUGACAGAUCAUCUCAAGUUUGAGAGAGUAAGAUUUUUCACAAAUGUCAAACAAGACUAAGGAAUAUACAUAUAAUUUUCACACAAAAAAAAAUGAAAAUAUAAUUUAAUUAUCCCCAAAUAAUAACAUAUAAAAUUAUUUACAUGUGUCAAAAAAUUCCAAUAUAAUGUGGCAAAAAUCAUAAGAAUAGUAAAUAACAUUUAUUUGGCAUUUCAAGGAAAUAAAGUUUGGAAUCUUAAGUCUGGCGGUUCCCAACAGUUUUUUUUUUUUUUUUUUAAGAACGGUUUCUUCUUUGCCCAAUUUGCCCAAAAACGGGUCGUAACGACCCACAAAUAACCCGAAUCAAUUUAGCACUACAGGAUUCAGGAAAUAACGAUAAAGUAUGGGUUAGGCUCAGAAUUGAUCGAAUAAGAUUUUCCCUCUUUCAAUUUCACGAAUUCUUAAUCUAAUCGAGAGAAAUUAGAUUAUUGGGGUUUUGCGGAAUCCGAAAAAAUAAGACUGAAUUCUUAUAUACGGUUCAUGGGAUAUAGGUUCCGGCAAAAGAUUGUAUCAACCAUCAACUUUUGUUCAACAUAUAUAAUAAAACUCUAGAUCAAGCUUGAAAUAGACCCUUUGAUUCACUAUUAAAUUGGUCUAAUAAGAAUAGAGUUCAUCAAUUGUUAAGAGUAGCCAUAUUCACUAAACAUAUUCACUAUAUAUUGAAACAAACAUAUGGCAUAAAGAGAUUAUGUUGAAGGUCAUACAGUACACGUUUCAUGUAUAUUGCCACUUUCAUGAAUCAUACAAAUUAACAAUCUAUUCCUACGAUUAGAGAGUGAUAGCCAUAAAUGUAUCUAUAUGGUUCUAAUACCAAUUGAUAAAAAAAUUAGAAUUCAGGCAUGGAUCACUAGAUACGAGUUAUAGCAUAUCAGUAUCAAAGAAGGAAGAAGAAUUUGUGUACCUUGAAUUAUGUUGAUGAAUGAUAAUUGUCAUGACACGAAUGAUAACUGUCAUGACACGAAUGACUACCCUCAUUCCGUCUAGGUUUGCACCAUGCUGGUCAGAAUGUUUAACACGUUUAAAUAGCUAAACGGCUGAGGGCAGGGACCACUCAUUGGGCUUAGCUAAAUGGUCCAACCCAUCACGGUCCAUUUAGAAAGAAUAGCCCAAUCACACAUAUCCAUCUACUAAUUAGUGCUUAACACAAUAGACCAUAAUUUAUAGAGUAAAUAGUCAAUUUCCUCCCUGAAAUUGUAAGUUUCAUCUGUUGGAACAAAAUGUGUUUCACAAUGAACCUUAUUUAGUUUUGAUGAUAACAAGGUAUUAAAAAUUGUCAAUUGGUUAUUACUAAUGAUUAUUCAAGUGUACAGGACCAAAAGCUUGUCAAGCAAUUUCAAUAGGUCUUGGAAGAACAAUGAAAAGCAAAAGAAUUCCAAGCAUCUGAAGAAAACUGCUCCUGAAGCUGAAGUGCCUCUGAAGAGAUGACGUCAUCAGAAGCAGAAGAUCAUCAGAAGCAAGGUUUUCAUCAGAAGCAAAAUACCUUCACCAGAAGCUACAUUUGAUCCCUUAAUCAAACUGAAGAUUCAAAGUAGCUGUCUCUCAAUUCAGUCUUAUCCAAGAAGAACGAAGAAUUGAAAGGGAGGUAUCAACGGUCAUAUGGAUAUCACUGAGCACUUGUCUCCUAUUAACAGAGUUGACAUAGUACAAGUGUACAACCACUACCUCCACUACUCUGCUUUUGUCUACGCUACAAGACAAGACAACAGCCUUGCCUGCAGAUUCUGCGCCUUCAAGAUGGGAAUGAAUUUGAAGAUUAUUAUUCAAAGGACUACACCCAAAUCAGGCAAAGGAUUACUGGUGGAUGAUCAAAGGAUUUCAAACGACUCUUUAGACGUGCUGAUUAUCUCAACGUCUCUUUCACGCCUCUAUAUAAAGGAGUGAAGACUUGAAGAUAGUAGAUAGAGAUAUACAAGUUCAAAAGCGCCAAAACUCUGUCAAAUUGAUUCUACAAAGCACACAGAAUUUCUGCACUGAUUUGAUACAUCUUAGAAAUUCAAAGUCUAGAGUCUUUACUGUAUUGUAUUGAGAACACCACUGAUUGUAUAUCAAGUGUUCAAGUCAAACUCAAUUCUCUGUAUUUUUUGUUUGAUCAGAAGUCUCUUGCCUGCGUGCUUGAGCAUUAGAAGUCUCUUGCUUAGUGCUUGAGCAUUGGAAGACUCUUGCGUGUGUGCUUGAGCAUCUUUGUGAAGUCUCAUACUUAGAAAGUAUUGAGCAGUUGUAAUCGUUGUGAUUAUAGUGAAAUCUCCUUGGAAGUGCAAGGGGGACUGUACUACUUCCGUGUUGUGGAAGGAACCAGGAAAACUGCUUGUGUCUUUGUCUUUCUUUUCUCUGCUAUGUUCUUUUCCGCUGCAAAUCUUAUUCUGAUUAUUUCAUCAGAAGCACUCACAAACUGCUUCUGAAGUUUUAUCAGAAGAAGAAUUUUUAGAGAGAAAAAGAAAACACAAUUCAACCCCCCCCCCCUUGUGUUUUUCUCACCUUCAAUUGGUAUCAGAGCUUGCUCUGUUAUCAUAGCGCUUAACAGUGUUACAGAUCAAGAUCCUAUAGAAAAACAUGUCUAAAGGAGAAGAAUCAAAUACUACCACAAAAUACACAAGUGUCAAACAUGAUUAUGAUACUGCUGACAAGAAAACAGACUCUGGUAAAGCUCCUAAGUUUAAUGGAGAUCCAGAAGAGUUUUCAUGGUGGAAAACAAAUAUGUAUAGCUUUAUCAUGGGUUUGGAUGAAGAGCUAUGGGACAUAUUGGAAGAUGGAGUUGAUGACCUGGAUUUAGAUGAAGAAGGAGCUGCUAUAGACAGAAGAAUACAUACUCCUGCUCAGAAAAAGCUUUACAAGAAGCACCACAAAAUUAGAGGGAUUAUUGUGGCUUCUAUACCUCGCACCGAAUAUAUGAAGAUGAGUGACAAAUCUACUGCAAAGGCUAUGUUUGCGUCACUAUGUGCCAACUUUGAAGGCAGCAAGAAGGUGAAAGAGGCUAAAGCUUUGAUGCUUGUUCAUCAGUAUGAACUAUUCAGAAUGAAGGAUGAUGAGAGUAUUGAAGAAAUGUACUCAAGAUUUCAAACUUUGGUUUCUGGAUUGCAAAUACUGAAGAAAAGCUAUGUUGCUUCUGAUCAUGUCAGUAAGAUUUUGAGAAGCUUACCUUCAAGAUGGAGACCCAAAGUAACUGCUAUUGAGGAAGCUAAGGAUCUAAACACUUUAAGUGUUGAAGAUCUUGUUAGCUCACUCAAAGUGCAUGAAAUGAGUUUAAAUGAGCAUGAAUCCUCUAAGAAGAGUAAAUCCAUUGCUUUACCAUCUAAAGGAAAGACUUCAAAAUCUUCAAAAGCCUACAAAGCCAGUGAAUCUGAAGAAGAAUCACCUGAUGGAGAUUCUGAUGAAGAUCAGUCUAUGAAGAUGGCUAUGUUGUCCAACAAACUUGAGUAUCUGGCAAGGAAGCAAAAGAAAUUUUUGAGCAAGAGAGGUGGCUACAAGAACUCAAAGAAAGCAGAUCAGAAGGGGUGCUUCAACUGCAAGAAGCCUGGUCAUUUUAUUGCUGAUUGCCCUGAUCUUCAGAAGGAGAAAUCUAAAAGCAAAUCCAAGAAAUCAAGCUUCAGCUCCAGUAAAUUUAGAAAGCAAAUCAAAAAGAGCUUGAUGGCAACCUGGGAAGAUUUGAACAGUGAAUCUGGUUCUGAUAAAGAAGAAGCAGAUGAUGAUGCAAAGACAGCCAUGGGGUUAGUGGCAACAGUAUCAUCUGAAGCAGUUUCAGAAGCUGAAUCAGAUUCAGAAGAUGAAAAUGAGGUAUAUUCCAAAAUUCCUAGACAAGAACUUGUGGAUUCUCUAAAAGAACUUUUAUCACUGUUUGAGCACAGAACCAAUGAGUUGACAGAUUUAAUAGAAAAAUAUGUUGAUUUAAUGAAACAACAAAAGUCAACUCUAUUGGAACUAAAAGCUUCUGAAGAAGAACUAAAAGGGUUUAACCUCAUAUCAACAACAUAUGAAGAUAGACUCAAAACUCUUUGUCAGAAGCUACAAGAAAAAUGUGAUAAAGGUUCAGGCAAUAAACAUGAGAUUGCCUUGGAUGAUUUUAUUAUGGCUGGAAUAGACAGAAGCAAAGUUGCUUCUAUGAUCUACAGCACAUACAAGAACAAUGGCAAAGGGAUUGGAUACUCUGAGGAGAAAUCCAAAGAAUACAGUCUCAAGAGCUACUGUGAUUGUAUCAAGGAUGGAUUGAAAUCCACCUUUGUGCCUGAAGGUACAAAUGCUGUAACUGCUGUUCAGUCAGAACCUGAAGCUUCUGGUUCAAAGGCUAAGAUCACAUCAAAGCCAAAAAACCUCAAGUCCAAGGUUAUGACAAAAUCUGAUCCUAAGAGUCAAAAGAUUAAAAUUCUGAAAAGAUCAGAACAUGUUCAUCAGAGUCUGAUUAAACCAGAAUCUAAAAUCCCAAAGCAAAAGGAUCAGAAGAAUAAAGCAGUUACUGCUUCUGAGAAAACAAUACCAAAAGGUGACAAACCUAAAGUAUUGAAUGAUCAAAAGCCUCUCAGCAUUCACCCUAAGGUACAAGGGAGGAAAAGUAAAACCUCCAGAACUAACCCAAAAGGACCCAUGAAGAUAUGGGUACCUAAAUCUGAAUUAGCUAAAACUGCAGGUGUGCCUAAGGGCAAGAGAGAAACAAAGGUCAUGGUACCUAGACAGCGGAUGUUUAAGGCACAUGACUGGAGAGAAAGCUUUGUUCCUUACCCUUACAAUGAAAGAUGGAGGAGAAGUGAAGUUUGGUGGCAACCAAACUGGAAAAAUCAUUGGUACAUGUACUAUUGGUAACUCCUCCAUCUCAAUUAAUAAUGUGUGGCUAGUAGAUGGUCUGAAGCAUAACCUAUUGAGCAUUAGUCAAUUUUGUGACAAUGGGUAUGAUGUAAUGUUCAGUAAGACCAACUGCACACUAGUCAACAAGGAUGACAAAUCCAUUACAUUCAAGGGAAAGAGAGUUGAGAAUGUCUAUAAAAUAAAUUUCUCUGAUCUGGCUGAUCAGAAGGUAGUUUGCCUUAUGUCAAUGAAUGAUAAAAAAUGGAUAUGGCAUAAAAGGUUGGGACAUGCUAAUUGGAGAUUAAUUUCUAAAAUUAGCAAGUUACAACUUGUCAAAGGAUUGCCUAACAUUGAUUAUCAUUCAGAUGCACUCUGUGGUGCAUGUCAGAAAGGGAAGAUUGUGAAAAGUUCUUUCAAAUCUAAAGACAUUGUAUCAACCUCUAGACCCUUGGAAUUACUCCAUAUUGAUCUUUUUGGACCAGUUAACACUGCAUCCUUAUAUGGAAGUAAAUAUGGAUUAGUCAUUGUUGAUGAUUACAGCAGAUGGACUUGGGUAAAAUUCAUUAAAAGUAAAGAUUAUGCUUGUGAAGUGUUUAGCAGCUUCUGCACUCAAAUACAAUCUAAAAAAUGGGGUUGUAGAGAGAAAGAACAGAACUUUACAAGAAAUGGCCAGAACCAUGAUCCAUGAAAACAAUUUAGCUAAACAUUUCUGGGCAGAAGCAGUUAAUACUUCAUGUUAUAUUCAAAAUAGGAUCUAUAUUAGACCUAUGUUGGAGAAAACUGCAUAUGAACUCUUUAAAGGAAGAAGACCCAAUAUCUCUUACUUUCAUCAGUUUGGAUGUACUUGUUACAUUCUAAACACUAAAGACUAUCUGAAGAAAUUUGAUGCCAAGGCUCAAAGAGGAAUCUUUUUAGGUUACUCUGAAAGGUCAAAGGCAUACAGAGUGUAUAAUUCAGAAACACAUUGUGUUGAAGAAUCUAUGCAUGUUAAAUUUGAUGAUAGAGAGCCUGGAAGUAAAACUCCAGAGCAAAGUGAAAGUAAUGCAGGUACAUCUGAUUCUGAAGAUGCAUCAGAAUCUAAUCAACUUUCUGAUUCUGAAAAGAAUUCAGAAGUUGAAUCUAGUCCAGAAGCUGACAUCACUCCAGAAGCUGAGUCAAAUUCAGAAGCUGAACCUAGUCCAGAAAUACAGAAUGAAAAUGCUUCUGAGGAUAUUCAAGAUAACUCUCAGCAGGCUAUUCAACCUAAAUUCAAGCACAAAUCUUCACACCCUGAGGAGCUAAUCAUUGGAAGCAAAGAUAGUCCUAGAAGAACAAGAUCACAUUUCAGACAAGAAGAGUCAUUAAUAGGAUUGCUUUCAAUAAUUGAGCCUAAAGUUGUUGAAGAAGCUCUCUCAGAUGAUGGUUGGAUACUAGCUAUGCAAGAAGAACUAAAUCAGUUUCAGAGGAAUGAUGUGUGGGAUCUGAUACCCAAACCUUUUCAGAAGAACAUUAUUGGAACAAAAUGGGUAUUCAGAAACAAGUUGAAUGAACAAGGAGAGAUAACCAGAAACAAAGCCAGACUUGUUGCUCAAGGUUACAGUCAACAAGAGGGCAUUGAUUACACUGAAACAUUUGCUCCAGUUGCAAGAUUGGAAGCAAUCAGGUUACUUCUAUCCUAUGCAAUUAAUCAUGGCAUAAUAUUGUAUCAAAUGGAUGUCAAAAGUGCUUUUCUUAAUGGUGUCAUUGAAGAAGAAGUUUAUGUGAAACAACCUCCUGGAUUUGAGGAUCUUAAGCAUCCUGACCAUGUUUAUAAACUUAAGAAAUCACUAUAUGGCUUGAAACAAGCUCCCAGAGCUUGGUAUGAUAGACUAAGUAAUUUCUUAAUUAAAAAUGAUUUUGAAAGAGGACAAGUUGAUACAACACUCUUCAGAAAGACUCUUAAGAAAGACAUUUUGAUUGUGCAAAUAUAUGUUGAUGAUAUAAUAUUUGGUUCUACUAAUGCAUCUCUUUGCAAAGAAUUUUCUAAGUUAAUGCAGGAUGAAUUUGAAAUGAGUAUGAUGGGAGAAUUGAAGUUCUUUCUUGGAAUUCAAAUCAACCAAAGUAAAGAAGGAGUAUAUGUUCAUCAAACAAAAUAUACAAAGGAGCUUCUGAAGAAGUUUAAGCUAGAAGAUUGUAAAGUGAUGAACACUCCAAUGCAUCCAACCUGCACCUUAAGCAAAGAAGAUACUGGAACAAUAGUAGACCAGAAGCUAUACAGAGGUAUGAUUGGUUCUCUGUUAUACCUCACUGCAUCUAGACCUGAUAUUUUAUUCAGUGUAUGCUUGUGUGCAAGAUUUCAAUCAGAUCCUAGAGAAUCUCAUUUAACUGCUGUUAAGAGAAUCUUCAGGUAUUUGAUAGGAACAACUAAUCUUGGACUCCUGUAUAGGAAAUCCCUAGAUUAUAAGUUGAUUGGAUUCUGUGAUGCUGAUUAUGCUGGUGACAGGAUUGAAAGAAAAUCAACCAGUGGAAAUUGUCAAUUCCUGGGAGAGAAUCUGAUAUCCUGGGCAAGCAAAAGACAAGCAACUAUUGCUAUGUCUACUGCAGAAGCAGAAUACAUUUCAGCUGCAAGUUGUUGUACACAACUACUUUGGAUGAAACAUCAGUUGGAAGACUAUCAGAUUAAUGCUAACAGUAUUCCCAUUUUUUGUGAUAAUACUGCUGCUAUUUGUUUGUCAAAGAAUCCAAUUCUACAUUCAAGAGCCAAGCACAUUGAAAUCAAACACCAUUUUAUCAGAGACUAUGUUCAAAAAGGGAUUUUAGAUAUACAAUUCAUUGAUACUGAACAUCAAUGGGCUGAUAUAUUUACAAAACCUUUAUCUGUUGAAAGAUUUGAUUUUAUUAAGAAAAAUUUGAACAUGCACUUUGUGUCUGAUUGAAAAAUUGCUUGCCUCUGAAUAAGAAGUUUUUGGUUCUGAAGUUUAUUCAGAAGCAUCUGGUCCAUUAGAAGCUCUUAACUGAGGUUCUGAGGAAAAUGUGCUUCUGAAGAUGACGUCAGCACUAAUACUUCAGAAAAGGUAUUAUUUGCUUCUGAAUAGCAAGGCUAGUGGGAACGUUGGCAGUUACUUUUUGUGACAGCUGUCCCAUUACUCAAAGGUUAGUUUUCUAAAAAGUCUCUGACGUGGUCUAUUUGUAUUGGAGUAUAACAAAAAAAAAGGGCAAUGAUGUUUUACUUGCUUUUAAAUAUACUAUCACGCGCCCCCAAUUUGUCAUUAAUUCUAUGUUUGUUUGUCUCUACAAGAAGCAGAAGUUAAUGGGUUACUUCAGUCUUCUCAAUGGUCCGACCUAUGAAGUUCUGGUCAGACAAUUCUAGGUAAGAGCUUCUGUUUUUGACAAAUAUGCUGCUAAACAGGAAGAAGCUCAGAUGAUCCUGGUUGAUCCUACUUUGGAGGGAAAAACCAGAGAAGAAAUGGGUCUACUCGCCUUCACUGGGACUGAGAUUAGAUCAAGCGUCAUGGGGAUUCCUGUAACCAUCAAUGAGCAGGUUAUUGCUCAAGCCAUGAGAAGGGAUGCUUCUGGGACGUAGUGUGGAGAAGAAACUGCUGCUAAAGAUCCAGAAUGAGAACAUCUUUCCCAAAGGUGGAGGAAGUGAUCAACCUUCACUUGGUCACAAAGUCUUUCUGCAUCACACCAUCACUCAGGAAACAACAAUGAACGUUCCCAAGUAUAUGUUUAAAUACAUGAUCAAGGAACUUAAGAAGAGUCAGAUGGAGAACAGGAAGUACGUUCCUUAUGGAAGGCUGCUCUUUAUAAUCUUUCAAGAAGGAGGAAUCCUAAGUGCCCUGAAAGACGUGGGCAUUUAUGAUAAUCAGAAGCUGGGAGCAGUCACAGGAAAAAUAAUCAAUGGGGCAACUCUGGUAAAGAUGAGGCUGACUUCAACUUGCAAGAAACUAGAUACAAAUAUGCAUGAAUCUGAUGUCAUAUCUGAUCUAGUCACUCAUCACAUCCCUAUAUGCAAGAAAGAUCCCCUGGAUGUGCAAAGGGCUUACAUCAUGGACUUCUACAAAACCUACAAUAAGAAGAUUGAUCUGAAGGAUGUCCCUGAUGAAAUGUAUAGUGGUGCUCUGCCUGUGGCUAAAGGCAGAAAAUCCAAGAAGAAGCAUAUCACCAAGGAAGUAUACCUUGCUGAUGAUGCUACUGAGAAGGGUGCUCAGAAGCAUCAGAAAGCCAAGAAGGAAAAAUCUGCUAUGUCCACUAUUCAUGAGGAAGUGGAGGAUUUGGAUGAUGUCCCUCUUAUCAGGAAGAGGACAAGGAGUGCUCAAGAAACAGCAGAACAGCCUGCUUCUGAACAAACUGGUUCUGAACAAGCUGCUUCUGAUCAAGCUACUUCUGAAAAGCCUCUAAGUCCCAAAAAGAAAAGAGAAGCUGCUCUUCAGACCAUCAAAAGGAAGAGGUUUAAUAUAACAAGAAAUCUGAAGACAGCUGAGGGACGUAAAGAACAGAUGUUGGAAGAACUGGAAGAGAACUGGGAUGAGGACUCAAGUCCUAAGAAAGUGAAGAGGACUAUCAGCACUGAGCCUGAAGUCAUGCCCAGUUUUGAAGCAUCUGAGACUCAACUAAAAGAAGCUGAUGAGUAUGCCAGAACCAGAAUUUCAGAGAGGAAGAGGAUGAAGGAAGUUUUUGAGAAAGAAAGGGAAGAUCAGCUCAAGGCUGCAGGGUAUGAGCCUGAUCCUACAAUUGCUGCUAUGGCUUCUGAGAUGGAAACUAUUCAGCUUGGAGCAUCUUUGCUGACACAAGCUUUGAAGAAUAAGCAAGCUUCAGAAGCAUCAUCUUCAGAUCCUUCUGCAAAAGCUCCAGAAGCAUCUUCAAAAGCUAAUUCUUCAGGUACUUCAUCUCAGGUUCCCUCUUGUACUCAGACUCAAACUCUACCUACUCCACCCUCUUCACCUUCCUCAUCAUCAUCCACAGAAUCUGAUGAACCUAACCUGAACAAAGACAUAGAUAAUCUCCUUAACACUAAACCCACAAAACUAACAGAGUUAGGAACCUUUGACUUUGAGCAGACACAAAUUGAAUUUUCCAAGAACAGAAUUAAACUCUGUGAAAAAUUCAAUUUGCCCGCUUCACAUCCUUUAUAUCCAGUAGUUCCAGAAGCUGUCAGUAUACAACACCCACAACCAAACCAAGAACCUACCCAAACAAACUCACCAAAUAACCCAACUCCACAAAGAGCCUCUGAAGUAGUUUCAGAAGCAACUACUUCAGAAACCCCCCAACAACAAGAAUCCUCAACCCUUCACAACCUAGAAAAACAUCUAGGUGGUGAAAGACAACCAACACCCACAAAGGCCUCUAAGACAGUCCCUGAAAAGACUGUUUUGGAAAACCAAUAAGAAACCCAAACCAUCCCUGAACAAACUGUUCAGGAGCAAACUACUUCUGAACAAGUUGUUCCUGACCAACAAACAUCUCCUGACCAAGAGUUUGGUGCUUCUGAACAGUCUGUUCAUGAACAUCAUGACUCUGACCAAACAACAAAACAACAACAACCAGCUUCACCCACUUUCAUAGACUUAACCUCUGACCAACCCUCCUCAUCAAACACAAAUCAAACUGAACCCUCACCCAUUCCUGACAAUAUCCUUGAGACUGAGUAUAUUGAGGAACAACUGAUCAGACUUAGUGAGGAGAUUCAGACACUGAUUCUUCGCAGAACAGUUCAUGUACCUCCUAUUCACUAUUAUGAUCAGUGGAUGGAUCUGGAGAAAAGCUUUGUUGAUCUGAUGAGUCAGCUCAUAACCAAAUGUGUCUCAUCUCACUCUGCUAUGCUGAAGAAGCUGUUGGAUGAUAUGCAUGAAGCAGCCAAGGAGAAAGAGCUGAAUUUUGUGCCUCUGCUGGACAUCACUCCUUACUAUCCAGAAGAAGAGUACAUCACAAGGGCUGCAAGAAUUCAUGCUGGGCAUAAAAGGAAAAUGAGAGAAAAGGAUGAGUGUUAUACCCUGUUUUUGGACCUAAAAAUACUGGGCCCAAUUUCAUUUCAAACUUUGUCGAUUAUCAAAUUUCAACUGCACAGUUCAAAUUGUCUCUGCCUCGCAGUAUUUUCAAUCACAAUUUUACCUAUGUUUUUCUUGCAUAAAACCUUUCAAAAUGUCUUUACUUGUCUUGUGAGUCAUUCAAAAGUGUCUCUGAAUCAUUACAUUGCUUUUUCUACAGUUUAUUUCAAAAUUUGCAAAAAGUCAUACAGAAGGGUAUUUUGGUCAUUUCCUGCAGUGGGACCUAUUUUCAUCCUUGUGACUGUCUCUGAGUCUUUUCAGAUUAUUUUUAAACAUUUCAUCAGUAGACCUUGUUAAAAUUCAUUUCAAACUUGCAUCUGAGUCAGUGUCGAGUCAAUUUGAUUCUGUUUAGGUCAUUUUUAGCCCUAGGGGCAUUUUGGUCAUUUCACAUAAAAUUUUGGCAUGGGGAGGUUACUUUGAAGUACCUCAUUUAGGCCAUUGGUUCGUUUUAGUCCGUUUUGUCAAUUUUAUUUUGGUUUCACUUUACGUUUGAUCAAAUUGCGUUUUUUAUUCAAAUUUUAUUUUUUAUUGCAUUUUGGUCCCUCAAUUAAGGUCCCAAAAUUGCAUUUCAGUCCAAAAGUUUCUAAAAAUUGCAUUUCAGUCCUUUUUUAUUAUUUUUUUUUUUUUUGCAGAAAAGGUCCCAGGGGCAUUUUUGUCCAGAAUUUUCGCACAUUUUAGUCCAGUCCAGAUGUCACUUUUUUAUUGGUUCAGGUACACAUGGCAGCAUAUAAAAGGGGAACAGUGUCAGAUUUUUUCAGGGAUCCAUUCAUUACAAUACACAUCACCAAAAACAAAUUCCCAUUUUCUCUCUCUUUUCUGUUAGAUCAAAAACAGAAAUUUCUCAAGAACAAAACAGAACCCUAACCGAAAUUCAUCAUCAAAUUCUCAGAGAUUCGUGUACGAAUCUUCAUCAUCGAAUCGAUUCCACCGCAAUACAAGGUGCGAAUUCCUCACCGGAAGUGAAGAACUCAAGCACCGAUCACGGUAGGGAAAAAGAGGGAAAACCGAAUCUGCACAGAGGAAGGAGAAGAAGACAGAAUCAAAGAAACAGCAAGCAAAACGCGCACGCAAGCAAGCACACGCGCAAGCCAGCAAGCAAGCAAGCAAAACGCGCACGCAAGCAAGCACGCACGCAAGCCAGCAGGCAAGCGAGCAAGCACGCGAAGCACAAGCAGCAAGAGCCGUAACAGAAAACAAGAAGAGGUAAGCAUCCUCUUCGUUCGCAUCUCUUCCUUUUUCCACCGUUCUUUUACAAAAAUUUCAUCAAGAUUCAAACUCAGAUCUACUCCGAUUCAAGCUUUUUUCGAAAAAUCUAAGUUCGGAUUCGAGAAGUAUAUAAAAAAGGAUAUCUAAAAAUGUGAAAAUUUCUCGAAUCGGAGCAUUUUGAUUUUCCGGCACGGUGGCGCCGCCGCCAUCCGCCGCGCCGGAACGGAGGAGCUGGCCGGAGAAGAUGACCGGAAAGUUAGAGAGAAGGAGGAGCUUCUCUCUCUAAAAGAGAGAAGAAAGAGAAAGAGGAGUAACAAAUGAAAAAAACCGGACUUGAAGCAUAUAUAUAGAGCUUUGAACCGGUCCGGUUUAUUUUCGGUUUUUUCCUUUUCUUUUUCAGCCUCUAGAUCAAUCCAACGUCUCCUGUGCAAUCUGAGUUUUGUGUAUUGGGCUUUGGUUUGGGCUUAGGUUUUUUACGUUUUUUUGUUAUUUCCCUGCUAUCUGCACCAUAUGUCUUUGCUAUCAGCACCUGUUGCUUGCUCACUUUUUUACAAAAAAUUCCUAAAAAAUCCUAGUUGUUUCUUGAUAUAUUUUUGGUAUUUCUAUGGUGUUUUUGCAUAAAAAAAAUGGUAAAAUGGCAUGAAUUAAUUUCCAUGUGUGUUUACAUUUUUGGGUAUUAUUUUGGUUAUGUUUUUGUUCUUGACACUUUGAUGUGUGACAUGAACAAAUGAUACCCAAUCUUGUGAUGAAUACGCCUCUGGUCAUGUGCUUUCUUGCUGGUUUUUGGAUAUGAUUUUGUAAAUUUCUUGUUUUGCAAGCAACAAGUGUGUGUUUUAAGGAAUAAAGUGUCAAAUUCCUCUAGGAGUUUGGUGUGAUACUUUGCUUGCAUGUGUCUCUAUUAAUUCCGCAUCAUGGCUUGAAACUAAAUCUCUUUCAAAAUCGCCAUGAUGUGAUGAUUAUGGGUCACAAGCACAUUUAGGUAUCAUAUCAAAUUUUUUAUAGGUUUUUACCAUUUUAUUACUUCCUUUUUGCUAUUCUUAUACAAUCUCUUUUUAUUUAUCUCUUACUAUUUCAUGCUUUAUGAUUACUAACCAUUUCAUCUCAUGUGACAUACAUUUCAUAGCAUCCCACUAUCUCCUCCACUUUCUUUAGCUUAGCAUUUAUUCUCUUUGCAAGUUUUAACUCAUUUGGUGAUGUAAUUUGUUAUCAUUGGUUUGUAGCUUGGCAAAGGGGCCAUAGAAUGUAUUUAGGCAAUUGUUGUAAUAUGGACUAUGGACACUAUGACGCACCGACACGCACACACUCACCUUAGAUGUAUGCAUAGGAUUGUAUGGUUAAAUAAGCGUUUAGGUUUUAAAUACUUAGAGAAAAUCCAUCUUUUUCCAAAAAACAAUUGAACUUCACUUCAAUAAAUUUCAUAGUAAAUAUGAAGUCAACACUUCAUUUUUUUUCUUUUCUUUUUCUUAAGGAAAAUUCAAUUCAUCUUAACCAUUUAGACUUUCUUUCUAAUCACUAAUCAAACCUCACUUUUUUGCUAAAUCUAAUGCUCAUGAAGCCUCCCAAUCUCCUUCUUCAAAACCAUUUUCAAAACUUAAAAUCAAACAAUUAAAACAAAAACAAGUUUUUUAGCAAGAACUACGAACGGUUUUGAUCCCUUAAAAAGGGUACGUAGGCAAUGAGUCAAAACUCAUCCAAGCCGAAAUAAAAUUAAAUUCUACAACUUCUCUCCCCACAUUCUUAGCUAAAUAAACCUCCCAUUUUCAAAAGUAAGUAAAAAUAAGCGUGAAUAUAGACUUAGGAAAACGGCUCCUAUAGAGGACUAUAGUUACUCCGGGUGCCUAACACCUUCCCGUAGUAAAACCGACCCCCGAACUUAGAAUCUAAGGGUUUUUCUCAAUUUUUCCCUUCCCAAGAAAAAAGAGAGAUAUCAACGGUCGAAAGGUACAAGUCCAAUUAAUGGCUUGGCACCCAAAAACCAUGAUAACAGAAAUGGCGACUUCACUGGGGACUCAUUUUAGCGGGUCGCGCCUAGUUUUCUUUAGUUUAUAUUUACGCUUGUUUUAUUGCUUACAUAUGUGAAUAUUUGUUUACUUUCAUUCAACGUGUGGGGUGAGAAUAUCAAAAGUCCUAACCCGGGCUGAGUGAACUUAUGUUUAGGUAGAGAUAUAAUCGACAAUUCGAUCCGGGGGUUGCCUCGUGUAUUGGAUUAUGCGAUCAAUCUCACAUAGCUGAGGCAUUUUGAAGGUGAUAUUGUCGGCGUGUGUUGUCAUGCUUAGGCACUUCACUUUCAAUUGUUCGACGAAGCUAUGAACCGUAGUUACCAAACCCAUCCUAGCCUUUUUUAGGACGUAGUGCGGUGGCUAAAUUGAGUGUUGUCUCAAACUUUAGUCGUCACGCGAUACUACACUCAAACUAGACCUUCUCACAAAUAAUCAGGGAACGGGUGUCGUCCUGUACCACCAUGAUAUAUGUGAGAGAGGUUGCAGUUUGGGAACGGUGUUAGAACCUUGGUUACUACUAUCCAAAGCCUUAGUUCACCGGACGCCGUGUCCAUCCAUGGCCCUGUUACUUUGAAACUCAACCCACCUUGUUCUUUGUAACUAAACAAAACAAUCAUGCAUACAUGCAUUCAUGCAUAAACAUUUUUCAUGCAUUCAUCGAAGGGUUUAAACAAAUGAGAAUUUUUUGUAAAUAAUCACAGGUAUGAAGAAGACUAAGUGCUACAAGUUCAAGGAAGUGGAUCUGGUUGGUUUGAGAGAGUUGGCACUCAAGGUCAAGAGUCAAACAGGGUUCCGACUCCGGUAUGGGGGAUUGCUUACUUUGCUCCGAACCGAUGUGGAUGAGAAGCUAGUGCACACUCUAGUGCAAUUUUAUGAUCCGAGCUUCCGUUGCUUCACUUUCCCGGACUUCCAGUUGGUUCCUACUCUCGAGGCUUACUCCAAUCUAGUGGGUCUGCCUAUAGCCGAGAAGACACCUUUCACCGGUCCCGGGGCUCCUCUUACUCCUCUGGUUAUUGCUAAGGAUCUCCACCUCAAGACUUCCGACGUCUCCAACCAUCUUAUUACCAAGUCUCACAUCCGGGGGUUCACUUCAAAGUAUCUUCUUGAUCAGGCUAAUCUCAGUACUACUCGUCAGGAUACACUCGAGGCUAUUCUUGCUUUGCUUAUCUACGGGCUCAUUCUCUUCCCGAACCUCGACAACUUCGUGGACAUGAAUGCUAUCGAGAUCUUUCAUUCCAAGAACCCGGUUCCUACUUUGCUAGCGGAUACCUACCACGCCAUCCAUGACAGGACUCUCAAGGGCCGUGGGUAUAUUCUUUGCUGCACAUCUCUUUUGUAUAGGUGGUUUAUUUCGCACCUUCCGAGUUCCUUCCAUGAUAACUCGGAAAUUUGGUCCUACUCUCAGCGGAUUAUGGCUCUCACUCCUAAUGAGGUCGUCUGGCUCACUCCUGCCGCUCAAGUGAAGGAAAUCAUUAUGGGUUGUGGAGACUUUCUCAAUGUACCUCUUCUUGGUACUCGUGGAGGAAUCAACUACAAUCCCGAGCUUGCUAUGAGACAGUUUGGUUUCUCUAUGAAGUCGAAGCCCAUCAAUCUUGCCACAUCUCCAGAGUUCUUCUUCUACACGAAUGCUCCUACCGGACAAAGGAAAGCUUUCAUGGAUGCUUGGUCCAAGGUUCGAAGGAAAAGCGUGAGGCAUCUAGGUGUGAGAUCCGGUGUCACUCAUGAGGCCUAUACCCAGUGGGUGAUAGAUCGAGCUGAGGAGAUUGGUAUGCCUUAUCCAGCUAUGAGAUACGUGUCUUCGUCUACUCCAUCUAUGCCUCUACCUCUACUCCCCGCGACUCAGGAUAUGUAUCAGGAGCAUCUAGCUAUGGAGAGUCGUGAGAAGCAAGUGUGGAAAGCUCGGUACAAUCAAGCCGAGAAUCUAAUCAUGACUUUGGAUGGUAGAGAUGAGCAGAAGACUCAUGAGAAUCUAAUGUUGAAGAAAGAGCUAGCUAAGGCCCGGAGGGAAUUGGAAGAGAAAGACGAGCUGCUUAUGAGGGAUUCCAAGAGAGCUCGAGGACGACGAGAUUUCUUUGACAGAUACUGUGAUUCAGAUUCCGAGUCCGAUGAUCUUCCGACUACUUCCUAUGCUUGAGAGCUUUAUUUGUUUACUUUGUUGAAAAUGUUGUGUAAUUUUGAUUAUUUGCAAGAUUUCUAAUUUGUUUUAAAAUCCUUCGAUGAAAAAAAUAAGUCUUUUGCAUUCGCAUUUGCAUAUCAUGCAUCAUGUGCAUCAUACAUUGGUCACAAAGGCUUCCAAGUGCUCACUAUCUCCUGGUUCCUCUGUCGCAGUGUGAAAAGUGGCUCGUGCUCAGAGAGUUUACGAACCAGAUAGAACUGAUCGAACCAGAGAAUACAGAAGAAAGAAAAGGGCUAUGGAAGAAGAGAACGCUCAGCUUCGCACCGAGUUAGCCUCUCUAAAAGAGGAAUUGGCUAAAGCUAAUGACGUCAUGACUGCUCUACUAGCUGCUCAAGAGCAAUCAGCUACAACUAUCCCUACAACCACAGCUGCACCAGUAACUACAAGCGUGCUCCCUACCACUUCUGCAGACAAUCGCUUUACUAUGCCAGUGGGGUUUCCGUAUGGGCUUCCACCGUUCUUCACUCCCGUUGCUACAGCAAGCACCUCGGGCACUGCUAACAAUGUUCUGAUCCCUGCAACAAAUGCCGCCUCCAUCAUUGCUACUUUGCCACAAACAACAGCAGCUGUCACUGAGCCUCUGGUACACACUCUGCCUCAAGGUAUUAACAUCAACACACAGCACAGAAGCAUCCCCGUAACCAAGACUAUGGAAGAGAUGAUGGAGGAACUUGCUAAAGAACUCCGUCACGAGAUCCAGGCCAAUCGAGGGAAUACCGACUCUGUCAAAACUCAAGACCUUUGCUUAGUGUCAAAAGUGGAUGUCCCUAAAAAGUUCAAGAUUCCGGACUUCGACCGGUACAACGGGCUAACUUGCCCUCAAAAUCACAUCAUCAAAUACGUCCGGAAGAUGGGCAAUUACAAAGACAAUGAUUCCCUUAUGAUCCACUGUUUUCAGGAUAGUCUGAUGGAGGAUGCCGCAGAGUGGUAUACUAGUUUGAGUAAGAAUGACAUCCAUACCUUUGAUGAGUUAGCCACCGCUUUCAAGAGCCAUUAUGGGUUUAACACUCGACUGAGGCCAAAUAGGGAGUUUCUCAGGUCCCUAUCUCAGAAGAAGGAGGAAAGUUUCCGUGAAUAUGCGCAAAGGUGGAGAGGGGCGGCUGCCCGUAUCACUCCUGCUUUAGAUGAGGAAGAAAUGACCCAGACAUUCUUAAAGACCUUGAAGAAAGAUUAUGUUGAGAGGAUGAUCAUCGCUGCCCCGAACAACUUUUCGGAGAUGGUCACUAUGGGAACCCGUCUUGAGGAAGCCGUCAGGGAUGGAAUUAUUGUGUUUGAGAAAGCUGAAUCUUCUGCGAGUGCCUCGAAGAGGUAUGGUAAUGGACACCACAAGAAGAAAGAAACGGAAGUGGGGAUGGUGUCAGCUGGAGCCGGUCAAUCAAUGGCUACUGUUGCUCCCAUCAAUGCAGCUCAAAUGCCUCCGCCAUACCCAUAUAUGCCGUAUUCUCAGCAUCCUUUCUUCCCGCCAUUUUAUCAUCAGUACCCUCUGCCACCGGGUCAACCUCAAGUGCCCGUCAAUGCAAUUGCUCAACAGAUGAAACAACAGAUGCCGGUUCAACAACAACAACAAAAUCAGCAAGCUAGGCCUACUUUCCCUCCGAUACCGAUGUUAUAUGCUGAGUUGCUUCCAACUUUACUCCAGAGAGGGCAUUGUACAACUAGACAGGGUAAGCCCCCACCUGAUCCGUUGCCUCCAAGGUUCAGGUCUGAUCUCAAAUGCGACUUUCAUCAAGGUGCCCUAGGUCAUGAUGUCGAGGGGUGUUAUGCUUUGAAAUAUAUCGUGAAGAAGCUCAUCGAUCAAGGGAAGCUGACUUUUGAGAAUAAUGUUCCACAUGUCCUUGACAAUCCGCUACCAAAUCAUGCCGCUGUGAAUAUGAUCGAAGUGUGUGAAGAAGCUCCGAGGCUUGAUGUCCGCAAUGUCGCAACUCCUCUGGUGCCUCUGCACAUCAAGCUGUGCAAAGCUUCUCUGUUCAGUCAUGAUCAUGCCAAGUGUCUGGGAUGUCUCCGUGAUCCUUUGGGUUGUUAUACUGUUCAAGAAGACAUCCAAAGCCUGAUGAAUGAUAAUCUUCUGACUGUCAGUGAUGUUUGCGUGAUUGUGCCGGUUUUUCACGAUCCGCCUGUCAAGAGUGUAACUUUGAAGAAGAAUGCUGAGCCUUUGGUGAUAAGGUUGCCAGGACCAAUUCCUUAUGUUUCGGAUAAGGCUGUUCCAUACAAGUACAAUGCUACUAUGAUAGAAAAUGGAGUAGAGGUGCCUCUAGCCUCCUUUGCCACAGUAAGCAAUAUUGCCGAAGGGACUUCUGCAGCACUAAGAAGCGGGAAGGUUCGUCCGCCGUUAUUUCAGAAAAAGGUAGCUACACCGACCAUUCCACCAGUUGAAGAAGCAACUCCAACCGUUGUUUCACCCAUUGCUACAGAUGUGAACCAGCCUGGCAAAUCUAUAGAGGAUUCGAAUUUAGAUGAGAUUCUGAGAAUAAUAAAGAGGAGCGACUACAAGAUCGUUGAUCAGUUGCUGCAGACUCCUUCGAAGAUAUCUGUCUUGUCAUUACUCUUGAGCUCUGAGGCUCACAGGAAUACCUUGUUGAAAGUGCUGGAGCAGGCUUAUGUUGACCACGAAGUUACGGUAGAUCGUUUCGGUGGCAUAGUGGGAAACAUUACUGCUUGUAACAACCUCUGGUUCAGUGAAGAAGAGUUGCCGGAAGCGGGAAAGAGUCACAAUCUGGCUUUGCACAUCUCGGUAAAUUGUAAAUCAGACAUGAUAUCAAAUGUGUUGGUGGAUACCGGUUCCUCUCUCAAUGUAAUGCCCAAGACGACUCUAGAUCAGUUGAGCUACCGUGGGACCCCGUUGAGGAGAAGUACUUUCUUGGUCAAAGCUUUUGAUGGAUCUCGAAAGAAUGUGCUGGGAGAGAUAGACUUGCCGAUAACCAUUGGCCCUGAGAAUUUCUUGGUUACUUUCCAAGUGAUGGACAUUAAUGCAUCCUACAGUUGCCUGCUGGGAAGAUCGUGGAUACACGAUGCAGGUGCAGUUACUUCCACCUUACAUCAGAAGUUGAAAUUUGUGAAGAAUGGAAAACUCGUUACAAUCCAUGGUGAAGAAGCAUACUUAGUCAGCCAAUUGUCUUCUUUUUCUUGUAUUGAAGCAGGGUCUGCUGAAGGGACUGCUUUCCAGGGUUUGACCAUUGAAGGUGCAGAGUCUAAGGAAGCUGGGGCUGCUAUGGCUUCAUUGAAGGAUGCUCAGAGAGCCAUUCAAGAAGGUCAGACUGCCGGCUGGGGCAAGGUGAUACAGCUCUGUGAGAACAAGCGUAAAGAAGGUCUCGGGUUCUCCCCGUCAUCAAGGGUUUCCUCAGGGGUCUUCCACAGUGCUGGGUUUGUUAAUGCUAUCUCUGAAGAAGCCACUGGAUCUGGUCUCAGACCUGCAUUUGUUACACCAGGAGGCAUUACGACAAAUUGGGAUGCCAUUGACAUUCCAUCAAUCAUGCAUGUUUCUGAGUAAUGUGUCUUGUUGCUUUAAUGCUUUGUUUUCAAAAUAACAAUCCUCUCGCUCUGCCCAAAGCGAGAGUGAUAUUUUCUGUAAAGGCAUGUUUGUUUCGGCAUUGCCGUUGAUUAAUAAAAUUUUGUCGUUUCUUCCACGACUACUUUUUUUUUUAGUGCUUUUUCCCUUGGAAACAAUGGUAAUGCCAGAAAAAACCAAAACAUUUGUAUUUUCUUAUUAAUUUCAAAAAUCUGCAUGAAAAAAAAAAAACUCUUUCUAAAAUCAUCCAAUCAUUAUAUGCAGGUUGAACCAUAAUAAACCCGUUGAACACAGUAAUCCUACGGUUCCUCCAAAUUUUGAUUUCCCUGUGUAUGAAGCCGAAGAUGAGGAAGGUGAUGGCAUACCGUAUGAGAUUACUCGGUUACUUGAGCAAGAAAAGAAAGCCAUUCAGCCUCACCAGGAAGAGAUUGAGCUUGUCAACAUAGGUACCGAGGAAAACAAGCGAGAAAUCAAGAUUGGUGCUACUCUAGAGGAAGGGGUUAAACAGAAGAUCAUCCGACUCCUCCGGGAAUAUCCGGAUAUUUUUGCAUGGUCCUAUGAAGAUAUGCCAGGUCUAGACCCUAUGAUCGUGGAGCAUCGGAUCCCUACCAAGCCUGAAUGUCCUCCCGUCAGGCAGAAAUUGAGAAGGACUCAUCCUGACAUGGCCCUCAAGAUCAAGAAUGAAGUUCAAAAGCAGAUUGAUGCGGGUUUCCUCAUGACAGUUGAGUAUCCCGAAUGGGUUGCCAAUAUUGUGCCUGUGCCAAAGAAGGAUGGUAAAGUCCGGAUGUGUGUUGACUUCAGGGACUUGAACAAAGCCAGUCCAAAAGACAACUUUCCAUUACCUCAUAUUGAUGUGCUUGUUGAUAAUACUGCUCAAUCUAAGGUGUUCUCUUUCAUGGACGGUUUUUCCGGUUAUAAUCAGAUCAAAAUGUCUCCUGAAGAUAGAGAAAAGACAUCUUUUAUCACUCCAUGGGGUACCUUCUGCUACAAAGUGAUGUCGUUCGGCCUAAUCAAUGCUGGUGCUACCUACCAAAGGGGAAUGACCACUCUGUUUCAUGACAUGAUUCACAAAGAAGUCGAGGUAUAUGUGGAUGACAUGAUUGUGAAGUCAGCAGAUGAGGAGCAGCAUGUUGAAUAUUUAACAAAGAUGUUUGAAAGGUUGAGAAAAUACAAGCUGCGAUUGAAUCCCAACAAAUGUACAUUCGGCGUCAGAUCCGGCAAGUUGUUAGGCUUCGUUGUCAGCCAAAAGGGCAUUGAAGUCGAUCCUGAUAAAGUCCGGGCCAUCCGAGAAAUGCCAGCUCCACAGACAGAGAAGCAAGUCAGAGGUUUCUUGGGACGUUUGAAUUACAUCUCCCGAUUCAUAUCUCAUAUGACUGCAACCUGCGGGCCGAUCUUCAAGCUACUUAGAAAGAACCAGCCUGUUGUAUGGAAUGAUGAAUGCCAAGAAGCUUUUGAUAGCAUCAAGAAUUACCUGCUGGAACCACCUAUCCUUGUCCCUCCCGUGGAAGGAAGGCCUUUGAUUAUGUAUUUGGCAGUAUUUGACGAAUCCAUGAGAUGUGUACUUGGUCAACAAGAUGAAACCGGAAAGAAAGAGCAUGCUAUCUACUAUCUAAGCAAGAAGUUCACCGAUUGUGAAACUCGGUAUACAAUGCUUGAGAAGACUUGUUGUGCUCUAGCUUGGGCUGCUAAACGCCUGCGCCAUUAUUUGGUGAAUCAUACAACUUGGUUGAUAUCCAGAAUGGAUCCAAUAAAGUAUAUCUUUGAGAAAGCGGCCGUUACUGGGAAGAUCGCACGCUGGCAGAUGCUUUUGUCUGAAUAUGAUAUUGUGUUCAAAACUCAAAAGGCAAUCAAAGGCAGCAUUCUUGCCGAUCACCUGGCUUACCAGCCUCUCGAUGAUUAUCAACCAAUUGAAUUCGAUUUCCCUGAUGAAGAGAUCAUGUAUUUGAAAUCCAAAGACUGCGAAGAACCGUUGAUUGAUGAAGGUCCAGAUCCCAAUAGCAAGUGGGGUUUAGUCUUUGACGGUGCUGUCAAUGCUUAUGGUAAGGGAAUUGGGGCAGUCAUUGUAUCCCCGCAGGGGCAUCACAUUCCUUUUACCGCCAGAAUCUUGUUCGAAUGUACCAACAAUAUGGCUGAGUAUGAAGCAUGUAUCUUCGGGAUCGAGGAAGCAAUUGACAUGAGAAUCAAACACCUCGACAUCUAUGGAGAUUCUGCGCUCGUCAUCAAUCAGAUAAAGGGUGAAUGGGAGACCCACCAUGCUAAUUUGAUUCCUUAUCGUGAUUAUGCGAGACGUUUGCUGACAUAUUUUACAAAGGUUGAGCUGCACCAUAUUCCUCGUGAUGAGAACCAAAUGGCUGAUGCUCUUGCUACUCUAUCUUCCAUGUUUCGAGUGAACCAUUGGAAUGAUGUGCCAAUAAUCAAAGUGCAACGCCUUGAAAGACCUUCGCAUGUGUUUGCUAUUGGGGAUGUGAUCGAUCAGGCUGGUGAGAAUGUGGUUGACUAUAGACCCUGGUACUAUGACAUCAAGCAGUUCUUGCUGAGCCGUGAGUAUCCGCCAGGUGCUUCCAAACAAGACAAGAAGACCUUGAGAAGAUUGGCCAGUAGAUUCCUGUUAGAUGGAGAUAUUCUGUACAAGAGAAACUACGACAUGGUAUUGUUAAGAUGUGUUGAUGAACAUGAAGCAGAGCAGUUAAUGCAUGAUGUACAUGACGGUACCUUCGGGACCCAUGCUACAGGGCAUACUAUGUCAAGAAAGUUGCUACGGGCAGGUUACUACUGGAUGACUAUGGAGCAUGAUUGCUACCAGUACGCCAGAAAAUGUCACAAAUGUCAAAUCUAUGCUGAUAAGAUUCAUGUGCCUCCGCACGCUCUCAAUGUUAUGUCAUCCCCAUGGCCGUUCUCAAUGUGGGGCAUCGAUAUGAUCGGAAGGAUUGAACCGAAGGCUUCAAAUGGUCAUCGUUUCAUCUUAGUAGCAAUUGACUACUUCACCAAGUGGGUCGAAGCAGCAUCUUAUACCAAUGUGACCAAGCAAGUGGUAGCUAAGUUUAUCAAGAACAACCUCAUCUGUCGAUAUGGUGUUCCCAGCAAGAUUAUUACCGACAACGGUACCAACCUGAACAACAAUGUGGUGCAAGCUCUUUGUGAAGAAUUCAAAAUUGAGCAUCAUAACUCUUCUCCUUAUAGACCUCAGAUGAAUGGUGCAGUUGAGGCCGCCAACAAGAAUAUCAAGAGAAUCGUCCAGAAGAUGGUAACUACUUACAAGGACUGGCAUGAGAUGUUACCCUAUGCUCUGCAUGGCUACCGCACUACCGUGCGCAGUUCAACCGGGGCAACUCCUUUCUCUCUUGUAUAUGGUAUGGAAGCAGUUCUUCCUUUGGAAGUGGAGAUCCCAUCUCUCCGUGUGAUCAUGGAAGCAAAGUUAUCCGAGGCUGAAUGGUGCCAAAGCCGGUAUGAUCAGUUGAAUUUGAUUGAGGAAAAACGUAUGGAUGCCAUGGCUCGUGGACAGUCAUAUCAAGCAAGAAUGAAGACUGCCUUUGACAAGAAAGUCCAUCCUCGAGAAUUCAAGGUAGGGGAACUUGUAUUGAAAAGGAGGAUAGGCCAGCAACCCGACCCAAGGGGCAAGUGGACGCCUAACUAUGAAGGUCCUUAUGUUGUCAAGAAGGCCUUCUCCGGUGGUGCUUUAAUCCUUACACACAUGGAUGGUAUAGAACUUCCAAAUCCAGUGAAUGCCGAUAUAGUCAAGAAAUACUUUGCCUAGAAAUAUGAAAAGAACAGCGUGGUAGGUCGAAAACCCGAAAGGGCGGCCUAGGCAAAAAUGCGCUUCCCGGUGGAUCGAAAACCCGAAAGGGCGGUCCAGGCAAAAAUAAGGGACAAAAAAAAUAUAUAUGAAAAGCUCGCUGAGAUUGUACACAACUCAGGCAAGAAUGAGCGUCUCGAUGAGCCGAAAACCCGGAAGGGCGGUUCAUGCAAAAAUGAGAUUGAAACAAAAGGCAAGUAACUAUAUCUGACCAACCACCGUCCCCCUUGGGACAUCUGCUGCUGUUAAUGACUAUCUUCAUCUAAAGCUCCUACGCUUGCGAAUUCAAAGUUUCCAGGAAGUGUAAUGAUUGCUGUGUUCAAUGUACCACCAACCAAUAAAAUUACCAUUUUCCAAGCUUUGUGAAUCCGUGGAGUCAUGCCUUUGGCUGACCACCACUCUUAUACAUCAAUUUGAGCCUUUGCUUUUGUUUGAAAACUCUAUUUUCUUCUACUUUCAAAGUUAUAUACAAAAAUAUUUUCUUUCUAUUUUGAUAAUGACAAUGCUUGAAACAAACAUUUUGAAAAUUGAAAACUUUUUGUCUAUUUUGAAAAGCAAACCUGAGCAACAGGGUACAUUCAAAUGAAACAUGCAUGAGUGAGAGUAUGUUGAUGUCUAUUUCAAUAUGUGUUACAAGCAGGUUCUCCUCCAGGAUAGUCUGUGGUCAAUGGCAAGAAUGAAAAAACAGAAUAAAAAUGUAUGAAAAUAAAUGAGCUCGCUAAGUUGAAAACCCGAAAGGGCGGCUUAGGCAAAAAUGAGCACCCCGCUGGAUUGACAACCCGAAAGGGCAGUUCAGGCAAAAAUGGGGCAUUGAAAAGAAUUUAUUUCCCCGGUGGACCGAAAACCCGAAAGGGCGAUCCAGGCAAAAAUGGGAUGCAAAAAAUGAUGAAUGAAAUUAAGAAUAUAACAUGCAAAAAGCAUUGACCACAGAUGCAAUGUCUACAACAUACCCAGCACUGAAAUGCCCAGCACAACGGCGUUUUCCCCAGUAAGUCUUCCAAGAUUCUAUCCCCAGCAAGUUGCAUACCUACCUGCCCUCAGCCAUGGUUCCGAAACGUCUCCCAACGACGUCAUCUCCAAAGAGGAUUUCCAAGAAUGUGUAAUAUAGCACGAGCCACUACGUGCCCAAUACUCUGAUGUCUUGUCUUCCCCGUGAAGUCGUGCCUACAAAAUGCCAACAGUCAUGCAUUACAAGCAUUCAUACAUGCAUAAUCAUGCAUAUUACGUGCCCAUGCAUUUAAUGAAAUUGUUAUAUCAUCCAUGCAUAUUGCAUUUCCAAUGUCAACAUCAGUCUCAAUUCAAUACUCGUGUCAGGUUCUCUGUCAAAACCUUGUAAGCCAAUAACAUCAGUCUCAAUUUCUACCUUUCAAAUCAAAUCGACGUCAAAUCUCAAUCUAUAUUUUGUCAAACAAACUAAUCCCCAGUGAAUAUGUUUCUGUUUGGCCAAGUGGCUAGUUCAAGUCCAAGAACAGCUUGUACCUAUCAAUUUGCUUAUGUUAUCGGUCGAGUGCCCAGCUCAAUCCAAGAGCAGCUUGUACCUGUCAAUAUGUUUCCGUUUGGUCAAGUGGCUAGCUCAAUCCAAGAGCAGCUUGUACCUGUCUAUCUGUUUCUGUCCGGUGGAGUAACCAGUUCGAAUCCUUAAGAACAGCUCGUACUUGCCAAUUUUCCCUUUUUCCAGUCGAGUCACCAGUUCGAAUCCGUAAGAACAACUCGUGCUUGCCAAUUUUCCCUUUUUCCAGUCGGGUUACCAGUUCGAAUCCAUAAGAACAACUCGCACUUUCCAAUAUCUCCCAAGUGAGUUACCAGUUCGAAUCCAUAAGAACAACUCAUGUUUGUCCAGUAACCUCUAUCCCCUGUGAAGUGACCAGUUCGAAUCCAUAAGAACAACUCGCAGUUGUCUGUUUGUUUCAUCCCCGGUCAAGUGGCUAGUUUGAAUCCAAGAACAGCUUGUACCUGUCCAACUUGUUUCUAGUUUCCCGUUACUCUGCUAUUCGCUAUCUUUGUCAAUGUCUACCAAUCCCGCAAUGGAUACGACAUAUUUUGUUAAUUCCAAUCCCCAUGAGGUCUUGCAUUCAUAAUCCAAAUGAUGCAUGGCAUGCAUAUUAUUUGAAAAUGGGUAGGCGUAUUUUUACGUCCAAACACAGUGUAAAUGCUAAUAUUUAAGUAUCUUCGUCCUGUCAAGCCAAAGACUCCGUCUCUUGAUUCUCCAGACAAAGAAACUUAAAUAGGGGCAGCUGUUAUACCCUGUUUUUGGACCUAAAAAUACUGGGCCCAAUUUCAUUUCAAACUUUGUCGAUUAUCAAAUUUCAACUGCACAGUUCAAAUUGUCUCUGCCUCGCAGUAUUUUCAAUCACAAUUUUACCUAUGUUUUUCUUGCAUAAAACCUUUCAAAAUGUCUUUACUUGUCUUGUGAGUCAUUCAAAAGUGUCUCUGAAUCAUUACAUUGCUUUUUCUACAGUUUAUUUCAAAAUUUGCAAAAAGUCAUACAGAAGGGUAUUUUGGUCAUUUCCUGCAGUGGGACCUAUUUUCAUCCUUGUGACUGUCUCUGAGUCUUUUCAGAUUAUUUUUAAACAUUUCAUCAGUAGACCUUGUUAAAAUUCAUUUCAAACUUGCAUCUGAGUCAGUGUCGAGUCAAUUUGAUUCUGUUUAGGUCAUUUUUAGCCCUAGGGGCAUUUUGGUCAUUUCACAUAAAAUUUUGGCAUGGGGAGGUUACUUUGAAGUACCUCAUUUAGGCCAUUGGUUCGUUUUAGUCCGUUUUGUCAAUUUUAUUUUGGUUUCACUUUACGUUUGAUCAAAUUGCGUUUUUUAUUCAAAUUUUAUUUUUUAUUGCAUUUUGGUCCCUCAAUUAAGGUCCCAAAAUUGCAUUUCAGUCCAAAAGUUUCUAAAAAUUGCAUUUCAGUCCUUUUUUAUUAUUUUUUUUUUUUUUGCAGAAAAGGUCCCAGGGGCAUUUUUGUCCAGAAUUUUCGCACAUUUUAGUCCAGUCCAGAUGUCACUUUUUUAUUGGUUCAGGUACACAUGGCAGCAUAUAAAAGGGGAACAGUGUCAGAUUUUUUCAGGGAUCCAUUCAUUACAAUACACAUCACCAAAAACAAAUUCCCAUUUUCUCUCUCUUUUCUGUUAGAUCAAAAACAGAAAUUUCUCAAGAACAAAACAGAACCCUAACCGAAAUUCAUCAUCAAAUUCUCAGAGAUUCGUGUACGAAUCUUCAUCAUCGAAUCGAUUCCACCGCAAUACAAGGUGCGAAUUCCUCACCGGAAGUGAAGAACUCAAGCACCGAUCACGGUAGGGAAAAAGAGGGAAAACCGAAUCUGCACAGAGGAAGGAGAAGAAGACAGAAUCAAAGAAACAGCAAGCAAAACGCGCACGCAAGCAAGCACACGCGCAAGCCAGCAAGCAAGCAAGCAAAACGCGCACGCAAGCAAGCACGCACGCAAGCCAGCAGGCAAGCGAGCAAGCACGCGAAGCACAAGCAGCAAGAGCCGUAACAGAAAACAAGAAGAGGUAAGCAUCCUCUUCGUUCGCAUCUCUUCCUUUUUCCACCGUUCUUUUACAAAAAUUUCAUCAAGAUUCAAACUCAGAUCUACUCCGAUUCAAGCUUUUUUCGAAAAAUCUAAGUUCGGAUUCGAGAAGUAUAUAAAAAAGGAUAUCUAAAAAUGUGAAAAUUUCUCGAAUCGGAGCAUUUUGAUUUUCCGGCACGGUGGCGCCGCCGCCAUCCGCCGCGCCGGAACGGAGGAGCUGGCCGGAGAAGAUGACCGGAAAGUUAGAGAGAAGGAGGAGCUUCUCUCUCUAAAAGAGAGAAGAAAGAGAAAGAGGAGUAACAAAUGAAAAAAACCGGACUUGAAGCAUAUAUAUAGAGCUUUGAACCGGUCCGGUUUAUUUUCGGUUUUUUCCUUUUCUUUUUCAGCCUCUAGAUCAAUCCAACGUCUCCUGUGCAAUCUGAGUUUUGUGUAUUGGGCUUUGGUUUGGGCUUAGGUUUUUUACGUUUUUUUGUUAUUUCCCUGCUAUCUGCACCAUAUGUCUUUGCUAUCAGCACCUGUUGCUUGCUCACUUUUUUACAAAAAAUUCCUAAAAAAUCCUAGUUGUUUCUUGAUAUAUUUUUGGUAUUUCUAUGGUGUUUUUGCAUAAAAAAAAUGGUAAAAUGGCAUGAAUUAAUUUCCAUGUGUGUUUACAUUUUUGGGUAUUAUUUUGGUUAUGUUUUUGUUCUUGACACUUUGAUGUGUGACAUGAACAAAUGAUACCCAAUCUUGUGAUGAAUACGCCUCUGGUCAUGUGCUUUCUUGCUGGUUUUUGGAUAUGAUUUUGUAAAUUUCUUGUUUUGCAAGCAACAAGUGUGUGUUUUAAGGAAUAAAGUGUCAAAUUCCUCUAGGAGUUUGGUGUGAUACUUUGCUUGCAUGUGUCUCUAUUAAUUCCACAUCAUGGCUUGAAACUAAAUCUCUUUCAAAAUCGCCAUGAUGUGAUGAUUAUGGGUCACAAGCACAUUUAGGUAUCAUAUCAAAUUUUUUAUAGGUUUUUACCAUUUUAUUACUUCCUUUUUGCUAUUCUUAUACAAUCUCUUUUUAUUUAUCUCUUACUAUUUCAUGCUUUAUGAUUACUAACCAUUUCAUCUCAUGUGACAUACAUUUCAUAGCAUCCCACUAUCUCCUCCACUUUCUUUAGCUUAGCAUUUAUUCUCUUUGCAAGUUUUAACUCAUUUGGUGAUGUAAUUUGUUAUCAUUGGUUUGUAGCUUGGCAAAGGGGCCAUAGAAUGUAUUUAGGCAAUUGUUGUAAUAUGGACUAUGGACACUAUGACGCACCGACACGCACACACUCACCUUAGAUGUAUGCAUAGGAUUGUAUGGUUAAAUAAGCGUUUAGGUUUUAAAUACUUAGAGAAAAUCCAUCUUUUUCCAAAAAACAAUUGAACUUCACUUCAAAAAAUUUCAUAGUAAAUAUGAAGUCAACACUUCAUUUUUUUUCUUUUCUUUUUCUUAAGGAAAAUUCAAUUCAUCUUAACCAUUUAGACUUUCUUUCUAAUCACUAAUCAAACCUCACUUUUUUGCUAAAUCUAAUGCUCAUGAAGCCUCCCAAUCUCCUUCUUCAAAACCAUUUUCAAAACUUAAAAUCAAACAAUUAAAACAAAAACAAGUUUUUUAGCAAGAACUACGAACGGUUUUGAUCCCUUAAAAAGGGUACGUAGGCAAUGAGUCAAAACUCAUCCAAGCCGAAAUAAAAUUAAAUUCUACAACUUCUCUCCCCACAUUCUUAGCUAAAUAAACCUCCCAUUUUCAAAAGUAAGUAAAAAUAAGCGUGAAUAUAGACUUAGGAAAACGGCUCCUAUAGAGGACUAUAGUUACUCCGGGUGCCUAACACCUUCCCGUAGUAAAACCGACCCCCGAACUUAGAAUCUAAGGGUUUUUCUCAAUUUUUCCCUUCCCAAGAAAAAAGAGAGAUAUCAACGGUCGAAAGGUACAAGUCCAAUUAAUGGCUUGGCACCCAAAAACCAUGAUAACAAUGAGCUACUUCAGAAGAAAGAUGAUCAAAUCAAGUAUCUCUUAGAAUAGUUGUAUAAGCAAGCCCAACCUUAGUUGCACACCCAACUCUAGCUUGUUUUUACUUUUGUUCUCUGUAGCUUUGCCUUUGUAUUAUACUUUCUUUAUAAAUAUCAUCAUUGUUUAUAAAUCAUAUGUUCUAUACUUUUAAUUCUGAUAAUAUUUACUGUUUUUAAUAUUGUCUGCUUCUGAUAUUGUUUAUGUUUUUAAGGUUUAUAUGUUUAUAUGCUCUGCUACUCUUUCUUUUGUUUUUAUUCUUUUUGUUGAUGACAAAAGGGAGAGUAAAUGUAUAGUAUUUUUUAAUGCACUGAGCCCCACUAUAACCACUUCAAAACCUUUUAAAUACUUCUGAUUUUAUUAAAUUUUUAUAAGUUUUUUAUUGAAAUUUAAUUAAUAAGAAUAGAACUCAGGGGGAGCUUACAAACCUCACCUUAAAGAUCUAUUAGACUCAGGGGGAGCUUACAAACCUCUAUCCCAGUGGUCAACUUAUUAAUUAGAUCAACAACAAUUGAACAUUUUAAAUACUAGUGUUUGUCAUCAUCAAAAAGGGGGAGAUUGUUGGAACAAAAUGUGUUUCACAAUGAACCUUAUUUAGUUUUGAUGAUAACAAGGUAUUAAAAAUUAUCAAUUGGUUAUUACUAAUGAUUAUUCAAGUGUACAGGACCAAAAGCUUGUCAAGCAAUUUCAAUAGGUCUUGGAAGAACAAUGAAAAGCAAAAGAAUUCCAAGCAUCUGAAGAAAACUGCUCCUGAAGCUGAAGUGCCUCUGAAGAGAUGACGUCAUCAGAAGCAGAAGAUCAUCAGAAGCAAAAUAUCUUCACCAGAAGCUACAUUUGAUCCCUUAAUCAAACUGAAGAUUCAAAGUAGCUGUCUCUCAAUUCAGUCUUAUCCAAGAAGAACGAAGAAUUGAAAGGGAGGUAUCAACGGUCAUAUGGAUAUCACUGAGCACUUGUCUCCUAUUAACAGAGUUGACAUAGUACAAGUGUACAACCACUACCUCCACUACUCUGCUUUUGUCUACGCUACAAGACAAGACAACAGCCUUGCCUGCAGAUUUUGCGCCUUCAAGAUGGGAAUGAAUUUGAAGAUUAUUCUUCAAAGGACUACACCCAAAUCAGGCAAAGGAUUACUGGUGGAUGAUCAAAGGAUUUCAAACGACUCUUUCGACGUGCUGAUUAUCUCAACGUCUCUUUCACGCCUCUAUAUAAAGGAUUGAAGACUUGAAGAUAGUAGAUAGAGAUAUACAAGUUCAAAAGCGCCAAAACUCUGUCAAAUUGAUUCUACAAAGCACACAGAAUUUCUGCACUGAUUUGAUACAUCUUAGAAAUUCAAAGUCUAGAGUCUUUACUGUAUUGUAUUGAGAACACCACUGAUUGUAUAUCAAGUGUUCAAGUCAAACUCAAUUCUCUGUAUUUUUUGUUUGAUCAGAAGUCUCUUGCCUGCGUGCUUGAGCAUUAGAAGUCUCUUGCUUAGUGCUUGAGCAUUGGAAGACUCUUGCGUGUGUGUUUGAGCAUCUUUGUGAAGUCUCAUACUUAGAAAGUAUUGAGCAGUUGUAAUCGUUGUGAUUAUAGUGAAAUCUCCUUGGAAGUGCAAGGGGGACUGGACUACUUCCGUGUUGUGGAAGGAACCAGGAUAACUGCUUGUGUCUUUGUCUUUCUUUUCUCUGCUCUGUUCUUUUCCGCUGCAAAUCUUAUUCUGAUUAUUUCAUCAGAAGCACUCACAAACUGCUUCUGAAGUUUUAUCAGAAGAAGAAUUUUUAGAGAGAAAAAGAAAAUACAAUUCAACCCCCCCCCCCCCCCCCCCCCCCCUUCUUGUGUUUUUCUCACCUUCAUCAUCAAUUACCCCCCUGAAAUUAACGAAACUUCAAUUACCCCCCUGAAAUUUCACAACGUUGGUCAAUUUACCCCCUCCGUCAAAUUUUUCUGUUAGUGAACUGACGUUUUGCAAAUACCCCCCUGAAGUUUUGCACUUAUGUGCAAAAUGCCCCCCAAACUUAAAAAUUUAUAUUAUUUUUUUUCUUAAAAAUAAACAAUUAAUAGUUAAAUAUUAAAGCUAACUAUUAAUUUUGGAGUUUGAAAAAACUACAUACAUAUAUACAUCAAAAUAGGGAAAAUGUGUAUUUUUAAAGUAACAAUAAUGGUUAUUUCUAAUAGACAAAUUAUUAUUUUUAGAGGUUUAUAAACAAAUUAAUAAUCAGAUUUAAAUUUAUAUUUUCUCCUUCACCAUCUUAGUCUUUUAACUCCUCAAACUCCUACAACAAUUUGCUCAAACCAUUUAAACUACACAACUCCCAAUAUUAAUCCACAAAUCAUCCCAUUAUUGUCACUUUAAAAAAUACAUAUUUUCCCCAUUUUGGAGCCUAUUUUGAUGUAUAUAUGCAUGUAGUUUUCUCAAAUUCCAAAAUUAAUACUACCUCCGCCCCUAAUUAUAAGACCCUUUUGAGAAUUUUUUUUGUCCCUUUUUAUAAGACCCCUUUUCUAUUUCCAACUACAUUAAUUAUUUCUUUACAUACAUGCCCCUAUUUAUUAUACAUCUUUUUCUUCAAUCAGCAAUAAAUAGAAUGUUGAAAACAUAAGCCAACCCUCUUUCUUAAAGGAUAAAAUUGUAAAAACAAUAGUAAUUACAAACAUAUUUAAUACAAAUAUUCACUAUCUUAAUUCACGUUAUUUUUUCAAAAGGGCCUUAUAAUUAGGGACGGAGGUAGUAGUUAGUUUUAAUAUUUAACUAUUAAUUGUUUGUUUUUAAGAAAAAAAUAAUAUAAAUUUUUAAGUUUGGGGGCAUUUUGCACAUAAGUGCAAAACUUCAGGGGGGGUAUUUGCAAAACGUCAUGUUCACUAACAGAAAAAUUUGACGGAGGGGGUAAAUUGACUAACGUUGUGAAAUUUCAGGGGGGUAAUUGAAGUUUUGUUAAUUUCAGGGGGGUAAUUGACGAAACUUACAAUUUCAGGGGGGAAAUUGACUAUUUACUCAUAAUUUAUAUUAUAACAUUUUAUCAUAAUUGAUUAUUGUCAAUCCAUAAUUGAUUAAUUAAAUAAUUAAUCCAACAUAUAACACUCAUACGAGCCGUGUCAGACAACUCAUAUAAAUAUCUAAAAUAUUUUUUUUCUCUCUUACUUCCAUGUACCGUAGAUACAAGAUUUACAUAUGUUUUGAAAAAUGUUGAUCAAUUAGAGGCUAAAAUACAUUACAUAUGAUUAUAACAUUUUUAACUUUUUUGAAGGAGUUGAAUAAAUAAAGGUCAAAUUAUACGAUAUCUUGUUUUAGAACUUUUUCUAAUAAAAUAACUUACUUAAGUUAUAUGCUUAUCUAUGUGGUGAUGUCGGUGUCCUAUAUUUUUGAUGCUGAAGUAUCCGUGUUAGUGUCGUGUUAGAUGUACAUGUUGGAGUCCAUGUUACUAGUGGAUUAUUGGUGUUAUAGCAAUAAUGUCAUAUAUUCUUAUCAUUUACGUUCAUACCUUCAUUCAGUGAAUGUUAUAUUGUUCAGCAAUGUCACUCUAGUCUCUAAUAUAAGUGAUUAGAAAAAUGAUAAUAUGAUAGUGGUAUAUGACUCAUGACUCAUUAGAGGACUUUUCCUAUCUCUUUCCAAAAGCAAUUCCUAAAGUAAAAAUGUACACAGAGAUUCAGAUUUCUUUAAUUGAGUGUGUAACUUUUCCUUUUUCUUUGUAUCAAUUAUUUUGAAGGAUGUGGGUCCAUUAAUCACUGAUGACCUUUGCUUUCCAGCUUUUAAAUUUUGUUUCUUACGCAACAAAUAAGUCUUCUUGAGUCUACCUUUACCAUCCAAAAACAUUACUGUAUCCAUUCACAUUUCUCUCAAAACAUCAUUUAAACUUUCUUCCUUGCUAAUUUACCCUUGGUGUGAUACCGAAGUGUAGGUUCCCCAUUUGUAAAUGUUAACCAUUGAGUUAACUAGAAGAUUUUGUGCUAUCAUGAUUCUGCAUUUAGUGUACAAUAUUCAAUUAGUUGCUUUUUAAUUACUUUGUUGUCUUAUUUUUCUAAUUUUAAAAUUCUUGUAGUUAUUGCUUUGUAAUCUAAGAUGAUGGUAAAGAAAUGAAAUAAGUUAGUAAAAUACUAUUAUUUUGAUUGUCUUCUUUUCUCUUUAUUAGAGAUUUGUCGUAGCCUUCUAUUCAGGCUGACAUAUCACAUUUUCUUUCCAAUCAGUUAUCAUAAUAUCUUUAAUAGUUAAUCUAUAAAUUAGUUUUGUUACUUCUAUGCGUAUAAUUUUAUAUUUAUGUUGUAAUAUUGUUACACUUUUUUUUUUUGUGACAAAACACUUUGUUCUCUUUUUGUAAAAAUGUUUGAGAGGAGCAAAAUGGUUGUCACUGCCACAGGAUUAGAUUUACUUAUUCAUAAUCUGCAUAAGCAAGAGUAGAAUGAAAUCGUGAUAAUAAUAUUCUCAAUUCACAUAUGCAUGUGAUUGUGAACAAUCUUAUGGUAAAAAAAAAUUUACAGUUGUAAUCUUUUGCUCAUUAUACAACAUUUAUUGUUGUUGAUACAUUUGGUUUGGCUGAGAAACAUGAGUAAAUUAUGCAAAUGUCCUUCGGCUGUUAACUGCCGAAAUUUAAAAGAACCGGCUGCAGCUAACUGCCGAGGAAAACUUUGGCAGUUAACUGCCGAGGAAUUUCAAAUCUGAAAUUAAAUAAGGAAAUACACCUAAGUUUUCCUUUUAAUUCUUUAAUCCUUUUAAGGAAUUAAACAUAAUUAUUUUUAUGAUUUCAUUCAUAUGAUUUUGUUGCCAUAAAUGAAGAAAUAUGAGAGAUGAAUAAUAUCUACAAUCGGUAGUUAAUGGAUCUAAAAUGAUGAUUCAAUAAAAAAAAAUGCAACAACAAAAACGUUACAAAUGAUAGAAUAAUUAUAUUUGUAAUUAUUAGUAAUUAAUUUCAUUGAUGUCUAUCAUUAUUCAUAGGUUUGACUAACCUAUUACUCCCUCCGUCCCAAAUUGUAUGCCGCUUUAAAAAAAAAAUUGUCUCAAAUUAUACGUCGCUUAACAAUACCAAUGAAACAUUAAUGUUACUUUUCCUAUUAUAUCCUUAACUAUUUAUUACUCUCUCUUCUUUCAAUUCUUUCAUUUAUCUUUCCCAUAUAAUUUAUUAAGGACAAUUUUGUAAAACAACUCAUAAUAUCUCUUUCCCACACAAUAUUAAUUAAAUUUCUUAAUAUGUGUGAAAUGCCCAAAACAACAUACAAUUUGGGACGGAGGGAGUAUUACUUUAUAGACUGGUGCUAAUCACACCAAAAAAAAAAACAAGUUAAACCCAAAUUUAUUUAAAAUUUUACAAUAAUACCAAAAUUGCCCUCUUCAUGUAAAUUUUUAAAAAUCCAUCGUUUACGAUCAUUCUGAACCCUUACCCCCUUUCAUCCACAAAUCACCAUAGAUGUGCAACCAAUAUCUUAAUCAACAUCUUUGUUAUUGAUUUGUAAUAUAUUCAUAAAGGUUAGUGAAUUUCAUGAAUUUCAUUUUCGAUGAGUUUCUAUUUGUUUAUUGUUUGUUUUGGUAUGAGAUAUGUCUGUCAGUCAAUUCGAUUUUAAGUGAGAGGUUAGUGUAAAUUAAGUUUAUGUGUAUGUAUAUAAAAGGGGUUAGUGUAGUUUACGUAUGUAGGUUAAUGUAAAUUCAAGUUUACGUAUGUUCAAUUUAGGUUAGUGUAAAUUCAGUUUACUUACAUUCAAUCUAGGUUAAUGUAAAUUAAGUUUACUUAUGUUCAAUUUAAGUUAAUGUAAAUUUAGUUUACGUAUGUAUAUAAGAGGUUAGUGUAAAUUCAGUUUACUUACGUUCAAUCUAGGUUAAUGUAAAUUAAGUUUACUUACGUUCAAUCUAGGUUAAUGUAAAUUAAGUUUACUUAUGUUCAAUCUAAGUUAAUGUAAAUUCAGUUUACUUACAUUCAAUCUUGUAAAUUAAGUUUGUAAAUUUAGUUUACUUACGUUCAAUCUAGGUUAAUGUAAAUUAAGUUUACUUAUGUUCAAUUUAGGUUAAUGUAAAUUAAGUUUACUUAUGUUCAAUUUACGUUAAUGUAAAUUUAGUUAAUUUGAAAUUUUUAUUUUAGUUAAAGGGUAUAUUAGUCAUUCUAGGGUGUAACUUGUUUUUUUUGGGGUGUGACUAACACCAGUCUACUUUAUACUAAUAUUUAUGAUAUUAUUACUUUAGGGGGAUGUAUUGGAUUAAGAUUCUAUGGGAUUUUAAAAGACUUUUUAAUUAUGAAAAAGUCUUGUGGUAUUCAAUCAAGACUUUUUGCAAUUUAAAAAAAGUCUUGUGGUAUUCAAUCAAGACUCUUUGUCAUUUUAAAAAAGUCUUGAGGUAUUCAAUCAAGACUUUUCAUCAUUUAAAAAAAGUAUUGUGGUAUUCAAAAUCAUUCAAAUUUCGAAGGAUUGUUUAAUAAAUUGGAUUUUGAUGGAUUUUGUAGUGUAAUUUUAACAAUGAAAAGAUGAGAUUUCUUGAGAUUGUUUUUAUUUUAAAAGUUACUAUUUUUUUCUUCUCAUCUCUCUCUCUCUCUCUCUGACAAAUUUUUUUUUUUGAAAGAGUUGUAAGUGCUGGCAUAAUUUUAAAUAUGUACAAUUGAAUUUUAUGGGAAUAACAUUUUUAACAAAUAAAAAAUGUGUAUUGAGAAUAAUGUGUUAGAGUGUUUUUUAGUCCCUUAAAAUCUUAUAAAUUUCAUAAAAUUCUUAAAAUUUGAAAAUCAAUAGUAAAAGAAUUUUUUAUUGGUUUUAUUUUUCUUUAUUCAAACACUAGAAUUUAUUUGUUCAUUAUUUUUAUCAUUCACGCUUGUAAGUUUGCUCUUUUUCCCCUAAAAUUUAUUGAACCUUUUGAAAUUUUAAAAUCACAUGAAAUCCUUUGAAAUCCUUAAAAGUCUGUGUGAUAAAUCCUUUAAAAUCUUGAGUGUAUAAAGUCUUUUACAUAAAAAGUCUUUUAAAAUAUCACAGAAUCAAUACAAUCUCACACAAUCUUUUAAAAUCUUAAAGACUUUUUUUUAUUAAAAUAGUCUUUUAAAAUCCUAAUCCAAUACAUCCCCCUUAAUUAACAUGAAAAACGCAACAGCAAAAAAUAAAAAUGGUCGCCAUCGGUAAUUAAUGGACCUAAAAUGGUGAUUCAAUAAAAAAAAUGCAACAACAAAAACAUUAUAAAUAAAAAGAGCAUUUAAGUCCUCAAAAAACAUUUCAAUAAGUGUAAAAAUUAAGCAUUUGAAUAUUGGUUUGCAAAUUACUUAUAUAAAAAAAAUCGUUGUGCACAAUUAUUUUAAUGUAGAAAAUAUAACAACAUAUUAUACCUUAAAAAAAUCGUUGUGCACAAUUAUUUUAACGAUUUUUAUUAUUAUUUUUAUUUAAGUAAUAUGCAAAACAAUAUUCAAAUGCUUAAUUUUUACGCUGAUUUAAAUGCUAUUCUUAAUAAGAUAUAUACGCAUAAGUAUAAUACUGCAAUUGUUUGAAAUUUAUCAAAAUAUUGAUGCUAUUCCUUGGACUAAUUAAUGUUUCACCUUACAAAAUUGUUAGGAAACAUGACAUCCAUGGAAAGAAUGAGAGAAAACUAACAAACUCUUUGUAGUAUGGAAAAUGGAAUAUUACAAAUGAGUGAAAGUAUCCCACUAAUGGGGUGGUUACAACUAUAUAUAAUAAUAUAGAAGUAAUACUACUUGUAACUCUUGUUCAAAAAAAAAUUCUACUUGUAACUAAACUAUAUCUCUAAUAAAAAUCACUUUUAUCCCAGUAAUCAUCCCAUAAGUCAUAGUUCAACUGACAAAAAUGCCGAAAUUGUUAGGUUGGACGUCAUGGUCGGGGUUCGAACCCGAUACCUCCACUUUACGUGUGUGAGUUUAUGAUAACUUUGUCAACUCGUCUAUUUAAAAAAAGAUUUCCCCAGAAAUCAGUCUAAGAAAAAAACAAGUAAUCAGUAUCAAACGUAUAUUCAAGCACUAAUCAAUACCUAAAUUCAGCAAGCUUCCAAAAUGAUAUAAUUAUUUGGCAACAAUGCAUGCCUUUUAUCAAUAUAAGAAAGAUUCUUUAAAAAAUAUCAAUAUAAGAAAGAUGCACAUAACAGUUAUCAUCAUAUGUAAUCAGCAUGUUUCAUUAGAUUUCAUAUCACAUAAAAUCGUCAACAAAGGCGUUUCCCUAAAAAAAAAUCUUGAAACAAAAACUGAAAUUUCAAGAGCAAAUUACACAUCAAAAUAUUAAUGUCAUAUUUUCUUAUCAUUUACGUUCAUACCUAUUUUUCAGCAAUGUCACUCUAGUCUCUAAUAUAAGUGAUUAGAAAAAUGAUAAUAUGAUAGUGGUAUAUGACUCAUGACUCAUUAGAGGACUUUUCCUAUCUCUUUCCAAAAGCAAUUCCUAAAGUAAAAAUGUACACAGAGAUUCAGAUUUCUUUAAUUGAGUGUGCAACUUUUCCUUUUUCUUUGUAUUAAUUAUUUUGAAGGAUGUGGGUCCAUUAAUCACUGAUGAACUUUGCUUUCCAGCUUUCAAAUUUUGCUGUAUGCACUAUCAGUAUUAACUAUUCAUUCACAUGCGAGUCAUUGCUCCUUACUUGCAAUUAUUUCUAUCAUUCAAUCUUCAUAGUUCUUAAUUUCCUUCAAAAUUUCAUCUAAAACUUUUUUCCUUGCUGCUUUACUAUACCAAUCAGAGAUGGCUGCAGCUUUGGUUGGAGGUGCGUUUCUGUCUGCUUCUGUUCAAACCUUAAUGGACAAACUAACUUCACCUGAGUUUCGUGAUUAUUUCACAAGAACAGAGUUGAAUGAAUCAUUGAUGUAUGAGAUGGAAACAAGUCUACUUACUCUUGAGGUUGUACUAGAUGAUGCAGAGGAGAAGCAGAUCCUCAAACCCAGAAUCAAACAAUGGUUGGAUCGGUUAAAAGAUGCAAUCUAUGAUGCAGAGGAUUUACUCAAUCAAAUCAGCUACAAUGCCCUACGAUGCAAGCUGGAGAAGAAACAAGCUAUCAAUUCUGAAAUGGAGAAGAUUACAGAUCAGUUUCAGAACUUGCUUUCAACUACAAACUCAAAUGAAGAGAUCAAUUCUGAAAUGGAGAAGAUUUGUAAAAGGCUGCAAACUUUUGUCCAGCAGAGCACCGCCAUCGGCUUGCAACACACUGUAAGUGGUAGAGUUUCUCAUAGACUGCCUUCAAGUUCAGUGGUAAAUGAAUCUCUCAUGGUGGGUAGGAAGGGUGACAAAGAGACAAUAAUGAACAUGUUGCUAUCACAGAGAGACACAACCCAUAAUAAUAUAGGUGUUGUUGCAAUUUUGGGCAUGGGAGGUUUAGGAAAAACUACCCUUGCCCAACUUGUUUACAAUGAUAAAGAAGUUCAACAACAUUUUGAUUUGAAGGCAUGGGUUUGUGUGUCUGAGGAUUUUGAUAUUAUGAGAGUAACAAAGUCUCUCCUUGAAUCUGUCACUUCCACAACUUGGGAUAGCAAAGAUCUUGAUGUCCUUCGAGUUGAGUUAAAGAAAAUCUCGAGGGAGAAAAGAUUUUUGUUUGUGUUCGAUGAUCUGUGGAAUGACAAUUAUAAUGAUUGGAGUGAACUAGCAAGUCCCUUCAUUGAUGGAAAACCUGGAAGCAUGGUGAUUAUAACAACGCGCGAACAAAAAGUUGCUGAGGUGGCACACACAUUUCCUAUACAUAAAUUAGAACUUCUAUCAAAUGAAGAUUGUUGGUCCUUACUUUCAAAGCAUGCAUUGGGAAGCGACGAGUUUCACCAUAGUUCAAACACAACCCUUGAAGAAACAGGCAGGAAGAUUGCAAGAAAGUGUGGAGGAUUGCCAAUAGCUGCUAAAACAUUAGGAGGACUUCUACGUUCAAAGGUAGACAUAACAGAGUGGACUUCAAUUUUGAACAGCAACAUAUGGAACUUGCGCAAUGAUAAUAUUCUUCCUGCAUUGCAUUUGAGUUAUCAAUAUCUUCCCUCUCAUUUGAAGAGAUGUUUUGCAUAUUGUUCAAUUUUUCCAAAGGAUUACCCACUUGAUAGGAAGCAAUUGGUUUUGUUGUGGAUGGCAGAAGGCUUCCUUGAUUGUUCUCAAGGGGGGAAAACAAUGGAGGAAUUAGGUGAUGAUUGUUUUGCUGAAUUGUUAUCGAGAUCUUUAAUUCAACAAUCAAGCGAUGAUGCUCAUGGCGAAAAGUUUGUGAUGCAUGACCUUAUCAAUGAUUUAGCUACAUUCGUAUCAGGAAAAAUUUGUUGCAGGCUUGAAUGUGGUGACAUGCCUGAAAAUGUUCGUCACUUCUCAUAUAACCAAGAAGACUAUGACAUUUUCAUGAAGUUUGAGAAAUUAAAAAACUUCAACUGCUUGCGAAGCUUCCUAUCCACUUACUCUACGCCGUACAUAUUCAAUUGCUUAUCCUUAAAGGUGCUUGAUGAUUUGCUAUCAUCACAAAAAAGGUUGCGUGUGUUAUCUCUAUCAAAGUAUGUAAACAUCACCAAACUACCAGAUACAAUUGGCAAUUUAGUGCAAUUGCGGUAUCUAGAUAUCUCUUUCACUAAAAUCGAAAGCUUGCCUGAUACAACAUGUAACCUUUACAAUUUGCAGACCUUGAAUUUAUCAAGUUGUGGGAGUCUCACUGAAUUGCCAGUACAUAUUGGAAAUUUAGUCAAUUUACGUCAGCUUGAUAUAAGUGGGACUGACAUAAAUGAGUUGCCUGUGGAAAUUGGGGGACUAGAAAACCUUCAAACUCUCACCCUUUUUUUAGUGGGUAAGCACAAUGUAGGGUUAAGCAUCAAAGAGCUAAGGAAAUUCCCAAACCUACAGGGAAAACUUACCAUCAAGAACCUGGAUAAUGUUGUUGAUGCCAGAGAGGCACACGAUGCCAACUUGAAAAGCAAAGAGAAGAUUGAGAAGUUAGAGCUGAUAUGGGGAAAACAAAGUGAAGAUUCGCAAA